RNAcentral lists this long non-coding RNA (108305 nucleotides) under Lactuca sativa (garden lettuce). RNAcentral's name for it is "long non-coding RNA (LSAT_LNC005113)". Lineage: Eukaryota; Viridiplantae; Streptophyta; Magnoliopsida; Asterales; Asteraceae. The record is from RNAcentral.
UAAGGGUACCAAGUGAUUUGCAUGGUUACUUCACACCUCGUUUUGUGAUCCUCGGUAUCCCAGUCACAAAACUUGGAGGGCACACUCGAGAUUGAAACAUGCCUUUGAAAAGUUCAUUGAAUCUCAAAGAAUCUAGGAAUUUCUAAGAACCAUUCAAAAACCUAAUACUAAAAUAUUGCGGUUUUCGUGGUGGAAAUUGGUGAAUCGUCAUUCACCUACCUUUCAAAUAUGAUAUAGCUUAGAUUACGGCAUACCUCUUCUAAGUUAUAUUAUAUUGUGAUUGGAUCCUAGCCUUAAUAUUACAUUUGGGUGUUUUAUUAAGGACUCUCUUAUAUCUAAACUAAUCUUGUCCUCUUUCCUUCAGAUGUCUUUCAACAAUGCUUCUGGCUCUAAUCCUAAUGGCUCCUUUACCCUUAUGAACUUGUGUGGGAAAGUCACCUUUGAUGGAUCCAACUUCAAUGAGUGGAUCAGAAACAUCAGGAUGAUUACCCGCUACGAGGACAAAGAAUAUGUCCUUGACAAGGAGCUUAAGGAGAUUGAUGAGUCCACUGCAACUCCUCAGGAGAUCGCUGAAUUUCGGGCACAUGAAAGGGAUGCUACGAAAGUGGCUUGCAUCAUGAUGGCCACGAUGACAGCGGAACUCCAAAAGUCUUAUGAGGAUUUCUACCCUUAUGACAUGCACCAAGAUUUGAUGGAAAGAUACCAUCAAAGUGCAAGACAAGAGAGGUAUGAAAUCAUCUGCUCCAUGAUAACAACCAUGAUGAAGGACGGGGAAUCCGUCACGAGCCACAUGCAGAAAAUGCAAAGGUAUGUGGAUCGUUUGCUGAAGCUUAAUGUGAACUUCCCGGAGGAUCUUGCAAUAGAUAUUAUUUUGCAUUCCUUACCAUCGUGCUAUGAUCAAUUCCGCAUGACAUAUCACAUGAACAAGGAAGAAGUCACCCUCAGCAAACUUCAGGGACUUCUCAAGACCGCAGAAACAGGUCUUAAGGGGAAGUCGGUUGCUAUCACUCCUACUCAAAACUCUACUCCGGUUUUGGCAAUCGGGAAAAGUCGAGGGAGGAAGAGAAAGAGCUCUUCUAAGGGUACCAAGGCUCGGACCCUUGAUGGCUCUUCUUCAAGUGGAACCAAGAAAGGUUUCGUUACUCCUUCUUCUGACCCAAAAGAGGCUGAAUGCUUCUAUUGCCAUGAAAAAGCUCAUUGGAAGCGGAACUGCCCAAAAUACCAGCAAGAUGUGAAGGAUGGGAAAGUUAAACCCAACCAUGCAGGUAUUUACACUAUCAUUUCUAAUAACUCACCCCAUUCUAAUUCUUGGGUCCUUGAUACCGGGUGUGGUAUUCACAUUUGUUGUGACUUGCAGGGACUAAGAAGAAGUGAGGAUGUGGAGCAAGGAAGGAUAAACUUGAUCAUGGGGAAUAGGAAAGCUAUACCUGUUACCAAGAUUGGAGUUUAUACUUUAUCGCUAAGUAGUGGGUUUAGUUUAGAUUUGAAUAAGUGUUGUUAUUCGCCAGGAAUGGCAAGAAAUAUUAUUUCCUUUCAUGCUUUGUACAAACAAGGGUUUACCUUUUCAUUUAAUAAUGAAGUUGGUUCUAUAGAUGUUUUCUAUAAUAAUGUCUUUUAUUUUAAAGCAUUACCUUGUGAUGGUGUGUAUGAAGCUGUAUCUGUUGUAGAUAACUUGGGAAAUAAUGUUUUGUGUAUUGAUUCUACUAAUAAUAACUUGGAUAAAGCAUCUUUAUGGCAUUGUCGUCUUGGACAUAUAAGCAAGAAACGCAUAGGCCAACUCCAAAAGGAUGGAGUCUUGGAGUCGUUUGACCUAAAGUCAGAUGAUAGUUGCGAAUCAUGCUUACUUGGAAAAAUGACAAAGUCACCCUUCACAGGUUCGUGUGAGAGGGGUGAAGGUUUGUUGGACCUUAUACACACGGAUGUGUGUGGACCAUUCAAACAUGCCACAAGGGAUGCUAAUCGUUAUUAUUUGACUUUUACUGAUGAUUAUAGUAGAUAUGGAUAUGUCUACUUGAUCAAGCAUAAGUCAGAGACUUUCGAGAGGUUUAAGGAAUUUAAACAGGAAGUCGAGAAUCAAUUGGGCAGGAACAUUAAGAUGCUUCGAUCCGAUCGUGGUGGUGAGUAUCUUAGUUCAGAGUUCCUCGACUAUCUAAGGGAAUGUGGGAUAGUCUCACAAUUGACACCUCCCAGGACACCACAGUUGAAUGGUGUGGCUGAGAGGCGUAAUCGAACCUUGUUAGAUAUGGUUCGUUCCAUGAUGAGUCGAGCUACGCUACCAAUCUCAUUCUGGGGGUAUGCCUUAGAGACUGCCGCCCAUAUUCUUAAUCUAGUCCCUACAAAGAAAGUUGCCAAAACUCCUCACGAGAUGUGGACUGGUAAAGUACCUAAACUAGACCACAUCAAGAUUUGGGGUUGCGAGGCUUUCGUGAGACGCGAGACUCAUGAUAAGCUCGAACCUCGAAGCGAGAGGUGUAUUUUCAUCGGUUACCCACAGCGAUCCUUUGGUUACCUCUUCUACAGACCUAGUGACAAUGUGGUCUUUGUAGCAAGAAGAGGAGUCUUUCGAGAAAGAGAGUUUAUAAGCCAAGGAGACAGUGGGAGGCAAAUUGAUCUUGAAGAAAUUCAAGAAUCAAGCGGUGAAGGAACUUCAAACUCUAGCCCUCAACUUGAGGAGGAAACUCCUGUUGAGCCAAUUGACAAAUCUGUACCUCUGAGACGUUCCACGAGAGUUAGGAGUGCACCUGAGCAUUACUAUGGAUUCCAUAUUACUGCAGAAGGUGAGACACUUAUUAGUGAUGAGACACUAGUAAGUCAAGAUGACCCUAACAGCUACGAGGAAGCCAUGGCAGGCCCCGAGUCUGCUAAAUGGAAAGAGGCUAUGGAUAGCGAGAUACAAUCCAUGUAUGACAAUCAAGUUUGGAACUUGGUUGAAAAUGUACCAGGUCGUAAGACAGUAGGGUGCAAAUGGGUCUUCAAGAAGAAGACCGACAUGGAUGGUAAAGUACACACUUAUAAGGCUAGACUGGUUGCAAAGGGCUUCUCUCAAAUUCCUGGAGUGGAUUAUGAUGAGACCUUUUCUCCGGUAGCCAAGAUUAAGUCUAUUCGGGUUCUGUUAGCCAUAGCUGCAUUUCAUGACUAUGAAAUAUGGCAGAUGGAUGUCAAAACCGCUUUCCUUAAUGGAAAGUUGGCUGAAGAUGUUUACAUGAGUCAGCCAGAGGGUUUUGUCAGCAACGAGUACCCUAAUAGAGUGUGUAAGCUUGAGAAAUCCAUUUAUGGAUUGAAGCAAGCACCUCGCAGAUGGAAUCUUUGCUUUGAUGAAAAGGUCAAGGAAUUUGGCUUUUCUAGGAGUGAAGAUGAAUCUUGUGUGUAUGUCAAGGCUAGUGGGAGUAUAGUUAGCUUUUUGGUAUUGUAUGUGGAUGACAUACUACUCAUAGGAAACGACAUUCCAACCCUGCAGGAAGUAAAGUCCUGGCUUGGGAAGUGUUUCGCUAUGAAGGACCUUGGUGAAGCUGCCUAUAUUCUAGGGAUAAGAAUCUUGAGAGAUCGGAGUAAAAGACUAAUUGGACUUAGUCAGAGUACCUACUUGGAUAAGGUGCUGAAGAGAUUCAGCAUGCAGGAUUCCAAGAAAGGAGAGUUACCCAUCCAGAGUAACACCAGAUUGAGUAAGACACAAAGCCCUAGCACUGAGGCUGAGAUAGCAGAAAUGAGUCGAACACCUUACGCUUCGGCUGUAGGAUCGAUCAUGUAUGCUAUGACGUGUACUCGACCCGAUGUAGCUUUUGCCUUGAGCAUGGUUAGCAGGUAUCAGGCGAACCCUGGCAAGGCACACUGGACUGCGGUAAAGAAUAUCCUCAAGUACCUACGGAGGACUAAGGACUGGGUCCUUACCCUCGGUGGGAGUGAUGACUUGAGAGUUGUAGGGUAUAGUGAUGCUAGCUUCCAGACUGAUAGGGAUAAUUUCCGCUCUCAGUCGGGCUGGGUCUUUACCCUAAACGGAGGAGCAAUUUCUUGGAAGAGUUCCAAGCAAGAGACAGUGGCAGAUUCUACUUGUGAAUCAGAGUAUAUUGCAGCUAGUGAAGCAGCAAAGGAGGCGAUAUGGCUGAAGAACUUCAUUGGAGACCUUGGAGUUGUACCAGCUAUUAAAGAGCCAAUGGAAAUUUUCUGUGAUAGUGAAAGUGCUGUUGCCUUAGCCAAGGAACCAAGGGAUCAUGGGAGAUCCAGACACAUCGACAGAAAAUACCAUUUCAUUAGACAUCGGAUCGAAGAAGGACUCCUCGUGGCAAAGAGGGUAUCAUCGGAUGAGAACCCAGCAGAUCCCCUCACGAAGGGACUGAGUAGGGUUAAGCAUCUCCAGCAUGCUCGGAGCAUAGGGCUGAAGGAUGAUAUAAGUUUUAGUAGUUAGAUAACCCAGAAAUUUGUAAAGUGUAAUUGACAUUUGAUGAUGAAUAAAAGGUGUUUUAUUUAUGAGUAAAGUGUUGCUAUCUCUUGUCGAUCGUUUACUAUAUUUCUUUUGCAUGUUUUGACUUCCAGAAUAAUUUUGUUUGGUAUAACAUAUUAUUCAAACCUCCACAGUCGGUCAUAUGUUGGAAGUAGAUAUGAAUCAAGACUGUCAUGUUUGGUUGUAGAGGUCUUGGACAAGGCUACAACAAUCAUGAGUGCUCAUAAGUUCUGAGCAUUGGACUCAACCCACGCUCACUGGAAUCACUUCAUGGAAUUCUAUCUCGAGUGAUCGUGAGACGGUAAUAUCAUAUAAGUCUUCAAACCUAGAGAUAUGAUUUGUUACUUACAAGUUGGUUAUGCAUUGACUGUACGAAACCGCAUUGGUAACUCGAUGUUAUAAAACGUACUUUUGUGUGUAAUUCAAUGAGUGGUAGAACAAACAUAUGAGUCGAAGUUUAUCUGUUCCUUCUUGGAUUAGAAGCUGAUAUCUGGGCCCCUCGAUGAUUUUGUUUUGACCCAUGUACCGGGCCCGGUCAGAACUAAGUUGAUGUGUUCAAUUAAGUUCUAUGUCAAACAAAUCGGAAAUCGGGAAACAAAUGCUGGACAAUAAGCAAGACAAUGUUCCAUGUAUUUGUCCGGCUGAUAUCUAGAACGGAGGAUUAUAUGAUCACUUAUCUUAAAUGGCGUACCAUCAUCUUCUCAGUUCCGAGAGACCUUGAAAGAGCUACGAUUGCCGGUCGGUUCCUGAAGUACUAGAGAUAUAGUUAUUAGACUUAUCCAAGUGGGAGACUGUUGGAUAAGGUGUCUAAGUCCAUAACUAUUUCGGGCUUGUACUUGACCCGACCCGGCAUGGUCCAUUUGGGUUGCAUGGCACCAUGCAAUUGGAUAGACUAAAUGAGAGAAAUAACACUUGGAGAUUAUUAAUAUAUUAUAAGUUCUAAUAUAUUAAUAAUAUUAUUUGAUUAGUUGAUCAAAGAAUUAAUUUGGAAUUAAUUAAGUGAUCAAAGGAUAACUAAUUAAAUAUAUGGGUUGAUUGUGUAAAUCAUCCAUAUCUUGUAUAGUGGGCUAAGAGGCUCCAUGGAUUAUCAAGUUGGGUUCUACCCAUAGGAUGCUCCAUGGAUGCUCCAUGGGAGUUACAAAUCCAUGGAUCAUGAAAAUGAAGAGUCAUGACACAUUAGGGUUUACAUGGUGUAACCCUAGAUGUGUCAACACUAUAUAAGGAUCCCAUUCUCCACCAAAAUCGGCACUACUACUACUACUACUAAGGAAACAAGAGGGCUUGGCCGAUUUUGAAGUGUGUGUUAUCUCAAGAGUCUUUCCAAGAGCAUUUGGUGUUGUGUGAAGCAUUUGAGGCAUCACACUUGGGGUGCUAGGCUCACAAGGUUUCAAGGAACACAAGCAACAACAAGGUAAGUUAUUCUAUCUAUGAUUCAAGUUAAAAUUGUUCCCCAUGUAUGCUAGAUAGGAAUAUAACCUUGGAAUUCAACUUUGCAUGAUAAUUAGACAAACAUAGAUCCAAGGUUAUUAGGGUUGCAUGUACACUUAGGAAGUGUUAGAAUGCUCAAAACCCAUCAAUUUUAUGGUAUGUGGUAGUUUCGGGAGCUCAUUAAGCUUCGUGCUGAUAGUUUCAAUUUUGGUUUCAGGUACCUUAGCUAGCAAGGGGAAGGGCUCGGGAUGAUGGCAUAGCACCCACCACAAUUUAGCCUAUGAGUUAAACUCUGAUAUUUUGUUAUGAUUUGACAUCAGUUCCGAUAUGAGACAUAUUUUGUGAUAUUUUGAAAUACACGACUUAUGGUUUUAUUAUAUUAUAUUUUGAUAUUAUGGUUUCAGUAAUGUGUUAAAACAAAACUUUUUGGCUUGUAUUUUUGGGAUGUUUCAGAGGCAAUUCUUGAGGAAAGUACGGAUAUAUGUGGAAGGUAGUAUGGGCCAGUACUACUGAAAGUAGAGGAUCCGUACUCGAGUCAAAGAGGGCCAAGAUGGAACCAAGAAACUUGGGGAGUGUAUGAGACCUCUCAAAAGUAUGUAUGAUCCUGACGUUUACGUGUUUUAUUUUCAAUAUGGUGGUCACAUGACAUGGACAGGAGGUUUAGGAUCUAGAUCAGGAUCAGGAUCAGGCUCGGGUGAAAGGUAUGAGCGGUUCGAUGAUGGGCUACGCGAGUUCAUCGUGUCUGAGAUCACGAGAGGCAUCCUUGAGGCGUCCCCGGUUGUUUUCGGGUCGAUCAAGGAAGGGAUUGUUGAGCUGAUGGAGGAUCGCCUCUGAGCAUUCCGGAGUGACUUGGCGUCCAACCAGUCGGGUACGCGCACACUGUCCUUUUAAGGAAUUUUGAGGGAGUGGUGCUCCAGACUUUCAUGGGGCAAAGGACCCCAUUGCAGCCAGGAGAUGGAUUGCGGACAACCAGUCUGCAUAGUUGAAGAGCUUCUGCCCGAAGGGGUCGAAGGUCGGAUUUUUGUAGGUUGUUUGAGGGACAGAGCUAGAGAUUGGUGGGAGUCAGUUGGUGACUCGCUGCGAGCCCUAGCUGUGGAGGCUAUGACUUGGUCAGACUUUGUGACCAGGUUCAGGGUUGAGUUUGCGCCGGCAGUAGAGCUUCAGCAGGUGGCCAGGGAGUUUCUGGAUAUGAGAUAGACUAUGGAGUCAGUGGCAUAGAUCACCGCCAAGUUCAGGGAGAGGAACUUUUUGGUACCUCAGUAUGCUGGGGAUAAGGAGAUGCGGAACAUGUUACUAUGACAUGUUGAGCGCUGACAUUCAGGAGCGUAUCAGCUAUUCAGCUUGCCCGAACUUGGAGUCCAUGAUUGCCAAGGCACGAGAGAGGGAGAUUGAUUUGGAGCACUUCAUGAAGAGGAAGGCAGAGACUGAGUCGGUUACAGGGGUUUAGGGGAAGAAACCCAAGGGAUCCGACGUCAGGUCGAAGGGCUAGCCGGGCCAGAUCAGCUGCAAGAAAUGUAGCAAGCCGCAUGAGGGAGCUUGUAGAGUAGGAUCGUCAGGCUGCUACAAGUGCGGCAAGACGGGGAACUUUGGCAGGGAUUGUACUGCCCCCGCACUCAGAGUUCAGACAUCAGACCUGAUUUGCUUCGAUAAGAAGGCCAACUGCCCUAGUUUGUCAGUAGUAUCAGCAGCAUCGCCAGUGGUGGUGCCGACUCCAGCGAUAGCAUGAGUUGUGGAUGGCCGGAAGGUUAAGGCAGACGCUCCAGUGGUGCAGAGCCGAGCGUUUCAGUUAACAACCGAGAGGGCACACGCCGCACCCGAUGUGGUGACGUGUAUGAUUUCUUCUCUCUAAUCUUUUAUGUUAUGUCGUUGUAAUUUUGAUAUGUGAUAUAUAUGUUCUAUUUAGGAUCGUUCCGUGUGAACGGUAUCCCAGUUCAAGUGUUUUUUGACUCGGGUGCUACCCGAUCAUUUGUCUCUCUUGCGCUUAGCAACAUGUUUCCUCAGUCCUCGGGCACAUUGGAUUGCCCUAUAGAGGUUGAGAUUGCAGAUGACCGGUCAGUGCGGGCAUCAGAGGUUUUCAGGGAUUGUGUUUUGAGAUAAUUCGAGGAGCGUUACCUGGUAGACUUGGUUCCCAUACUGUUGCGGGGAACAAAGUUAUUAUAGGUAUGGAUUGGCUAAGCCCCAAUGGGGUGGUGAUCGACUGCGCACAGUAGUUGGUGCAGAUCAGAACCCCAAGUGGGGGAGAUCAGGUGAUUCAGGGCGAGAGCCCAUAGCGAGGACCAACAUUAUGUUCAGCAGCGAGGGCUAGGCGCUACCUUCACCAGAGUUGUGCGGGAUAUGUUACCUAUGUUGUGGAUAUCCGGGAGGCGGGUAAGGCGACGGUGGUCGAUGUGCCAAUAGUACGAGAGUUCACGGAUGUAUUCCCCGAGGAGUUUCCUGUGAUACCUCCGAAGAUGCAGGUAGAGUUCAGGAUCGACCUAGUCCCAGGUGCGGCUCUGAUAGCCAAGGCACCGUAUCGGUUGGCUCCUCCUGAUAUGUAGGAGUUGUCUACAUAGCUGCAGGAGCUGUUAAACAGGGGAUUCAUUAGAACGAGCAGUUCACCCCGGGGAUCCCCAAUUUCAUUUGUAAAGAAGAAGGACGGUUUGCAUUGGAUGUGUAUAGAUUAUAGGUAGCUGAAUAAGGUAACGGUGAAGAACCGUUACCCACUCCCGAUGAUUGAUGACCUCUUUGACUAGCUACAGGGAGCAUCUUGGUUCUCUAAGAUUGAUUUACGUUCAGGUUAUCAUCAUAUGAGGUUCAGAGAAGAGGAUGUGCAGAAGACAGCCUUUCGGAUGCGUUAUGGUCACUAUGAGUUUGUGGUGAUGCAGUUCGGGCUCACCAACGCUCCUGCCGCAUUCAUAGAUCUCAUGAGAUGUGCAGGCCAAUGACACGAGAGAAGCAUGAGGAGCACUUGCGGGAGGUUCUGGAUACAUUGAGGAUGGAGAGCUUGUAUGCUAAGUUUUCCAUGUGUGAGUUCUGUUUGCGCGAGGUGUAGUUUCUUCGGCACCUUGCAAACCAGAACGAGAUUUUGGUUGACCCGGCCAAGUUGGAGGCCGCGAUGAGAUGGAAGGUUCCGAGGUCUCCAUCUGAGAUUCAGAUCUUUCUGGGACUGGCGGGCUACUAUUAGAGAUUUAUUCUGGACUUCUCCAAGAAAGUCGUUCCCUUGAACCGAGUGACGAGGAAAGUCGUGGUCUUUCGUUGGGGGCAUUAACAACAGGCCGCGUUUGAGACGUUGAGACAAAGAUUAUGCGAGGCGCCAAUCUUAGCCCUGCUGGAGGGCAUGAAGGAUUUUUUAGUAUAUUGUGAUGUUUCCAUCUCAGGUUUGGGCACGGUAUUGAUGCAGAGAGGGCAUUUUAUCGCUUACGCUUCGAGGUAGCUGAAGCCUCACGAGGCGAACUAUCCGACGCAUGAUUUGGAGCUGGGGGCUGUUGUUUUCGCCCUCAUGAUUUGGCGCCAUUACCUCUAUAUGUUUCAUUUUACUAUUUACACUGACCACAAGAGCCUGAGGUAUCUCAUGGAUCAGCCAAAUCUGAAUAUGAGGCAGCGUCGGUGGCUUGAUGUGGUAAACGAUUAUGAUUGCGAGAUCCUCUACCACCAGGGGAAGGCCAAUGUCGUGGCCGAUGCGAUUAGCUGCAAGGUAGCGCCAAUGAGGGAUAUUUGCAUGAGGAUGACAGUUGUGACUUCAGUGUUGGAGCAGAUUCGGGAGGCCCAGCACGAGGCCAUGAAAGAGGAGCAUCGGAAGAGCGAGCGUAUUGUGGGUCGGGUUUCCUCCUUCUACUAUGAUUUUCAGGGAUUGUUGACUCUUCACCGUAGAGUGUGGGUCCCAUAUCAUGGUGGUGUGCGUCAGGUAUUGAUGGAGGAGGCAUCUAAAUCCAGCUUCUCUAUCCAUAUCGGGGCGACAAAGAUGUACAAAGAUCUUUGUCUUGAUUUUUGGUGGUCCUGUAUGAAGAGGGACGUAGCUUGGUUUGUGGAGAGGUGUCUGACCUGCAGGAAGGUCAAGGCUGAGCACCAGAGACCCAACGGCAAGGUCCAGCCGUUGGAUAUCCCAUUGUGUAAAUGGGAGGAUAUUACUAUGGAUUUUAUCACGAAGCAUCCCAGGACCGCACGAGGGGUAGAUUCGAUUUGGGUCAUUGUUGAUUGAUUGAGCAAGAGUGCCCAUUUCAUUCUGAUUUAGGAGAGAAUUUCAGCCGAGAAGUUGGCCGACAUCUAUAUCAAGGAGGUAGUGGCACGACACGGGGUGCAAGUUUCGGUGAUUUUCGACAGGGAUGUGCAGUUCACAUCCAGGUUUUGGAAGAAGUUUCAUGACGAGUUGGGUACUCGUCUGCACUUUAGCACUGCCUUUCACCCGCAGACGGAUGGUCAGAGCGAGUAGACCAUCCAGACUCUAGACGAUAUGUUGUGGGCGUGUGUUUUAGAUUUUGGAGGUAGUUGGCAUACUUACCUUCCGUUAGCGGAGUUCUCCUAUAAUAAAAGCUAUCAUGCGAGUAUCACCGUCUUCCCUUAGAGAUGUUGUAUGGGAGGAAGUGCAGGACCCUGAUAUGCUGGGGUGAGGUUCGUCAGAGUGUCAUGGGGAGUAGCGAGGUGGUACUGAAGACGACAGAGAGGAUCCAACAGGUUCGGAGCAGGCUUCAGACUGCUCAGAGUCGGCAGAAAAUUUAUGUCGACAAGUGUCAAUCGGACCUGGAGUUCUAGGUCGAGGAUAUGGUGCUCCUGAAAGUUUCACCUUGGAAGGGCGUCAUUUGAUUCAGGAAGCGGGGGAAGGUGGGCCCCAGGUAUAUUGGACCCUUCAGGGUUGUAGCCCGGCUGGGCAAGGUGGUAUAUAGGCUGGAUCUGCCAUCCGAACUCAGUCAGAUACAUAACACUUUUCACGUCUCCAAGUUGCGGAAGUGUCUAGUGGAUAAUUCAUUGUAGUUCCAUUUAGAGGAUAUGCAUGUGGAUGACACCCUUAAUUACAUCGAGCGGCCAAUGGCAAUCCUUGACACGAAAUCAAAGGAUCUGAGGAACAACAUAGAGGAGCUAGUUAUGGUGCAAUGGUGGCACCGCAAGGGCUCGGAAUGGACCUAGGAUCCGGAGGACGAGAUGAGGGAGCAUUACCCCGAGCUUUUUCAGGACCGAGUAGCAGACUUCGAGGACGAAGUCUAAGAUAAGUGGGGGAGAUUUGUAACUCCCAAUUCCUGGUAUGCCUUUAAUUAAAGUAUUUAUUAUGUUUUUCUCUAGGACUUGAUGAGUUGGAGUCCCAACUCGUCUAAUAUAGUCGUGAUCCGCGGGAAGUUUAAGUAAUCUACUCGUCGAGUCGGGAGACCGACUCGGCGAGUAGACGCUGUUUGAGUGAAACCCUAAAUCGAGGGUUCGCACCCUAUUUAAAAGCAUUAUAACCCCUCAACUCAGCCCCCAUCAUCCAUAGCAAACCAUAACUCGGAACCCUAGCCUUGUUUGAUUGUUCUAAGGUCAUUUUGUACAUUUUGGUGGUUUGUGAAAUUUGAGAAGAGGAAAGGAGCUUGGGAGUUCAAGUGGGAGCUUGGAGAUCCAGAGAUUUUGUUCAAUUUCCAGCUCAUUUAAGGUAAAAAGCUCCUAUCUUGAUCUUCCAUGUAAAUAAUCAUCUUUAGGGCUUGGAUCUUGGUUUAUUUAGGGCUUUCUAAUCCAUUUUCAGGUUGUGAAGUGUAAUACAAAGUUAUGACUUCAGAUCUGGGGCCAUUAGGGGUCUUUAUGGCAUAAAGAUGCCAACUUUGUUGUCAUAAACAGCCCAUGCAUCUUGUAGACCAUCUUUUAUGGCUUUUUGAACCAAAUAUCCCAUGCGUGUGCACCAAGCUUGAGACUUUACAUGUAAUAUGGACAUUAGGAGGCCAGAUCUAUAAUUUUGAUGUGUUAAAACCAAUUAAAUCGAAAGUAUAGUAAUGGUCAAGGAUGGACUCUGCGAGUCGCUCUUUGGACUCAGCGAGUCGAGGUAUAAUGACCACCAAAUCCCUUCUGUCGAAGGACCAGAUGAUAGUGUGGAAGCUUCCCCAGUUUUUUAGGCUAUUAAGGGACCUGGGAAUCAUGGGACUCGACGAGUGCUAAAACACACUCGGCGAGUCCAAGGCAAUCUCCCAGUCUUUGAAGAUGAACUCGACGAGUUGUUCUUACAACUCGGCGAGUCAUAGACUGGACACAUUCAUAUUCUGAAGAUGAACUCGACGAGUUCAAGGAAGAACUCACUGAGUCGGUUGAAGAUUGACUGAAGUGUUGUUCAAGGUGAACUCGUCAGGCUCUAGCUAGACUCUAGGAGUGGGGAUAGUAUUAUGUUGAUGAAGGGACUCGACGAGUUGGCGGACCAACUCGGCGAGUCUGGUAAACCAAAGAGUUGACUUGACCAGGGUUUAACUUUGACUUUGACUUUGACUUGGAUUCAAGUUGACCCUUGAAGGGGUUGUGGGUACAAAUUGAUAACUUUGAAGGGUUGUUGUGUAGGGAUUGAGGAGUCGAAGAGAUCCGAAUUUCACAUUGAGGACAGUGCAGAUGCUACACGACAUCAAGGUGAGUUACCUUCCAGUAGGGGUGGGUCUAAGGCUAUAAUGUCGGCCCACCAACAAGAGUAAUGGGUAGAUAAUUGUCUUUGUGAUAAUUAUCUUAGUAUGCUUAUGUGAUAUGCUUAUGAGAUAUGCUUAUGUGAUAUGCUAUGUGAGUUAGUGGUAGUAGCAAGGAAUAGCUUUUCCCUGACUUUGUCGUUAGGACCGAAGGGUAGGUCAGUACCCCAGAUAUGUCUAACUGUAUGAUUAUAUUUUGUUAUUAUAUGAUAGAGUUAGGGGUGAAAUAGUCCCCGAUGCCGGUUGAGAUAGACCGGAGGGUAGUAGGCCCCCUAGAAAGACUGGACACGGGUAUGUCAGCACCCCAAAAUGGCUUCACAUGGGUAGGUCAGCACCUCGGAAUGGCUUGACAUGGGUAGGUCGGGCAACCUAGAGUUGUCCGACAGUAUGUAUGCUAUGUGAUUGUAUGGUAUGUGGUAUGAUGGGGGAACUCACUAAGCUUUGUGCUUACAAUUUCAGUUUUGGUUUCAGGUACCUCUUCAUCCAAGGGGAAAGAGCCGACGCCGUAGCAGCGCAUCACACACACACAUUUGAUUUCCACAUUGAUUUUUUUGGGAUUGUACUUUUAUUUAUACUAAUGUUCGAUGUUGUGAUUUUUAGACUUAUUCAUUAUGGUUAUGGGUUGAUAUGAUAUUGAAUUACGAACGAUAUUUUUUAGGCUCGAAAUUUAGGAUGUUACAACUGUAUUGAGAUCUUUGAUCUAGGAUAUACAGGGUUUUUACGUGAAAAAGGGCCAUGAGUUAGUUCUCCGAUACUCAACAAAUCGCAGUGCGUUCCUCCGUGUUCAUACAGAUAUUGCAAGUAGUCUCCUUCUAAGCCAAGUCUGGGUCCUUGUAUAACUGUGGUGAGAAGGGUCUUUAUGAUUCUUUGAUCCACAUGGAUUUUUUUAGUCAUGAUUACUUUUCAAGGCACAACGGUGAUCUUUAAAGAAUACUCAUUCGAAGAAACUAGAAGUAAAGAUUAUUUUUCAACAUUCAAUCUUUCAACCCCAGAAGAAAGGUGAAGUUGUACUUGAAGUUAUGUGAUAAUUUGCAUUGAAGCCUCCUCAAUCAAUUUGCUGCUAUCUAUGAACUUGUUGAAGUGAUCCAGAAGAAUUGGUGUAUCUAUAAUUAUUUUCUUUGAAGUUUCUCCAAGCUGCAAGUGUUGAUUUUCAAGAAUCCUUACAAGAAGCCUGUACACUCAAUGUGCGUUCAAAUUCAAAUACUUAUAAGGAUGUCCAACUACUAAAGAUGAAGUUAUUCAUGAAGAAAAUUCAUAUGUUCAUCUUGAAGUUGUGAAGAAAUCGAAGACAAAAUCCGAAGUCAAGAAUGAAGAGAAGAUUAAAAAAAACUACAAACCCAGGGGGAGACUGUUAGGACUAAAUUAUGGUUUAUUCUAAGUGAAAAGAAAGAUAUAGACAAAGGGGGAUAUUGUUAGGUCAUAAAUUUUGACUUGUACUUUUCCUUUCAGAAGAUAUUAGAGUUCCCGGUCUAGGAUUGAAAACACCAUGUUUUGGUGUUGUUUGGACCAAAAUCACCUAUGAUUUUGGUUAGGUAUAAUGUUGUUUUGUUUGGGUUUUAGGCUUGGGCUUUGUUACUAGGUCUAGGUAUAAAUAGUGUCAUUUGAGCCUUGUAAUGUGUGUGGGACGUUUUUGGGGGCUGCCAUAAGCUUAGAACGUGAUUUGGAGAGAAACAAAAGAGAAACAAGAGAGAACUUAGUGUAAUCAAGAAUCCUAUGUACCCGACUAGUCAAUAAUAUUGUGCAUUGAAGUGUAAUCAAGAAUCUUAUUCUAUAUUUCAUCUUGUCUAAUUCACUUGAUUGGUAUUUUUCACCAUCAAGUGAAUCCGAUUGAUACAUCGUACCAUUUUGGGUUUUACACAAAUAAGCUACGUCAGGCCAAUGCAGACAUCUACUAGCCUAGGGGACUUGUUAACGUAUCCCAAUAGGAACAUGUUAAUGAUAACAUAACCACUAUCUUUAGGACGGCCUAGCUAACGGUCACGAAUCCUAUGUAGCUCUAGACCCGGGUCCUUGCUCUCGCGCUAGGACCCUCAUGUUUGGUGCCCUCAGGCCCAGGUCCAAUUCUUGAUGACAAUCUCUGAUCUAUAAUAAGACAAAACACAGUUGGUUGUCUCCCAGAUCGACACGUGUAGUGCCUAAGGCACUGUCCUCUGUUUAUUCUGCUUCAAUAGUAUAUGACCACUAGUGGUGCAAGAUGCACCAAUGGGACGCCUCCACGUCCUUUUGGGCAAGACGAGACAAAGGACACCAUUAGGAUCGUGUGCUAGGAACAAAUGGUUUAAAAGGAACCGUCUUCUCUAGAAGAAGGUAUCACCUUCUCUCUAUCAAAAACCCUAAUUUCCUUAUUGUCAAACAUAUACUAACUAGUCCGUUGAAGCUUCGUAGCUGGACUAUCUUCUUGACGUCGACUGAUGUUAUAUCUUCAUUCCUAGGAUUAUAGGACUCAACCCAACCAGAAUCAUCGAGUGACGGUGUUAAGUCAAAAGCUCAUAUCACAACAGAUACUUGUAUUAUAUCUAGUUCAUAAAAGUAUCUAUACACUCACCUGAUUAAGGUCAAAGAUCCUCUGGAAAGCUAGCUCAUCGAUUAAUUCUUCAACUUAUCCCUUUUAAACAACCUAAAUAUGAAUAUUACAAUGCUUUAGAAUUCAUUCAUAUUUAUAAACUUAUAAAAUAUUUCUGGAUUCUUCAAUAAUUCAAAGAAAUACUUCAAGUUAUAUCAAAUAAGGAACAACCAAGUAAGAUCAUAUCGGAUUUAGGAUCCGUUUGGUGUAUAUAUAUAUAUAUAUAUAUAUAUGUGUGUGUGUGUGUGUGUGUGUCUCUAUNNNNNNNUAUAUAUAUAUAUAUACAAUACAUACUAUUUGGAAAAUCCAGUUUAAACACCUCACUAGAUCAAGAGUAGACAUCACUCUCGUAAGUAGAUCAAUACAUAUUAUGAAUUGAAAUCCCUGAUAAAUCUUAUUUAUAAAUUCAUAAUAACGAAUAUGAAUAUAAAUAUAAGUUACACCUAAAGUGUAGUAAGUCUAGAUUAACAUAUAGAGUUUCUAGGAAAAGUAUGAGAAGUUUGUAGGCAGACCUUCGACUCCAAACACUUAUUUCUGUUUGGCCGUCUGAUGCUCCAUAGCUUCACUACUAACACUUAAAAACUCCUAAGUUUGGGGCUCAGGUUGCUGGAAGAAUUUGAGAGAGUUUAGAAAGGAACUUUUGUGAAAAAUGACAGAAUUUUUAGCUCUAUUUAUAGGCAUGAAAUGCGUCGCACUUUGGCUGGGGGUGCCGCACCCAGGCGACGUUACUCCCCCCAUUUGUUGCCACAUGACUGGCUACUGUUGGUCCACAUCAUCAUCUCGGUGGAAUAUCCGGCUUUCUCUUCACCAUGUGGUGUGUUCUCAGGCCGCCACAUCAUCUGUCUCUCUCAUAGGAGCUCCACUUUCGACGUUCUUUAUAUAAAUGCAUAGGUAAUUUUGUGUACUACAACUUUCUUGUAUAUUUUAAAUUCAUAUUUUCUAUAUAUUAUGCAGUUAAAAUGUAUGCGAAAAUCGUAACUCCUUCAUAGGAACUUCGAUCUCGAUUGUCUUUAUAUCGACGGAUUCUUAUUUAUGAUAUCUUCAAAUCUCGUUUAUAUUGUUUUGACUAAUAAUCAAUUUAUUCUAAUUUCAAUUUCUAUGUCGCACAUUAUUGUGUUGUGUCAAAAUGAAACUUCGAAAAAUCAUAAUUUCUUCGUACGAAAUCAUAUUUAAGCGUUCUUUAUAUGAACUCUUUUGGAAUUACAAUUACUAUGACUUUAAUCUAGAUCACUUAGGAUAAUAAGCAGCCUGUCUCCAAUUUAUAUUUUACGACACAUUUUGUCGUAUAGGGCUAAAAAAAACUUUAAAAAAUAAAAACUUCUUCAUAUGAAGUCAGAUUUUGGCAACCGGCAUCAUGACUACUACAACUUUCAUCAAUACAAUUUAUCAUAAAUAAUCUUCUAUAAAAAAUGUCUAUUUAUCGUAGUCGUUAAUUUAUGAUAUAGUUGUAUACAAAUAUUAUAAACCUAUAAUAUUUUCCCAUAAAACAUGUACAAAAUAUAUAAAUAUCAUCUAAAAUGUGUAGCCCUAACUUAUGGGUGUUACAUACACUCAGUUAUACAUACAUUGUAACUUUAGUAUGCCUUUUAUUAACAAAUUUUCCAACAACUUAACAAUGUUUAAUGCCUUUCAUGAGCUUAUAUAUGGCUAGGAAAUAGGAGAGUAACAUGUAAAGCUAGGUUUGGUUAAUUACAUUAUCAAUAGUAUGCAUUGAUAAAUUCCAACAUGUUAGGGUAUGUUCAAAACAUACCCCUAAGGGCUAGAAUUCAGCCACACCAUAGCCACUAUGCCACUGGGUUGUUGUAGUGCACCACCGACGACAAUGAGGGUUUUCAGUGGUGGUCAUUAUGGUUGAUUAGGGUAGACUUGAUGCUAGAAAGAAUAGGAACUAAAAGAAGAGUACCUUUUAUGGAUUUUGAUGUAGCAAUAUUUUGAAUUCUUUCUCGUCCCGUUUACACACCUCCGUUGCCUUGUCAUUCCCCUUAGGAGAAGAAAUGGACAAAGGCAGCAACAAUCUCGUCGAUCGCUAUGUGAUGUUUCUUAAAUUAUAUGUAUUUUAAAGGACAUAUCAUGUGCUUUUUAAUAGGUACUUUUAUAGUUAGGUAGGAUAAAGAUGCUUAAUUUUUAUACAUUUAUUUUUUGCAGCUAAACAUGAUUAUACGAUGAAAUAAAAGCUGAAAAGAGCAAUUUUGGAGCAUAAUUUUAUGGAUUAAUGAUUAAGGAAGACAGGUGGAUAUUAGCAUGGAGAAUAUUUUGAAGAUUUUGAAGAUUUUAGAGAAAUAUACCAAAUUUACGAAUUUAUGUCUCGAUUUAUUGGUUUUGAUAUAUUUUUCAUUUCUAAAAAGGCAAUAAAUAAAGCUUUAAUUCUUACAAGACAUAAAAUGUUAAAUAUACAUAAGAUAUACAAAAAGAGGCUCUCAAAAUGAAUAAUUGGUUUGUUGUAUACUAGAUUUCUUUGGUUUUUUCUUUUUUUCUUAGUUAGUUCAUGGGCCAAGUCUUAUUACUUUUGUUUAGACAUACAUGAUCUAACUUGAUUAUGGUUUGGUUCAUUUGAAAGGCUACUAGUUUUUAUUCAAUCUAUUAUGACAUGCUUGAUUAAAUAUGAAUGUGUAUUGAUCUUAGUAUUUUUUAUGUCUAUUUAGUUGAGUAUAUAAUUUUAUGGCUAAGUUCAGAUUAUGUUACUUCAAUCAAUUGCUUAGUUAAUAACUAGGAGACCGUGACUUACUAAAGUGUAGGUAGAUCUGACUAGUAGGGGAAUCCCUAGGUUAAAAAUAAAAAUAUUGAUUUAAUAUUCAUGAUUGUACUAUUGAUUAUGUAACUUGAGAAGUCACCACUAACUAUGGGACUCAUGAUACCAAUUAACUCUAUCAUAAUACGAAUUAAUAUAAGGAUCUAUGAAAUAUAUCCCUGUUGAUAGAUAACUUAGAAAUAUAUGAUUAAGGACUUUGAGUUUGAAUUAUUCUAUUUAGAAAUCAUUCGAUUUCCAUUAAUCUCCAUUCCACUUCGUAUGAAUCAACUCAUAACCACUUUGAUCCCCUCGACUUUCUAAACUUUCUUGUUUACCCCAGUCACCAAUAGUUUAAUGAUACCAACAUUUCAUAUUUAUCUAUCAACAAAUCCAACAUUACUUAAAUUUUAUCAAUAUAACCGUCACAAUUCAAUUUUGAAAACGUAUUGGCCUUUCUGCAAUGUGUGGAGGGCAAAAUAGUAGCUAUAUUAAAAAUCAAUGUCGGUGGAUGUUUUCACCGACAAUUGUCAUCCCUCCACUUUCUAAAAUGACAUUUUAUAUCCCUUUACUUUUAAAAUACUUUUUAAAAUGAUAUUUUUCACCCCUUUACUUUUUAGAAUGUUACUUUGACCCCUCCACUUUGAACUUUGUAAAAUAUCAAUUUCAUGACCUCCAUUUUGUAAACUUUCUUGUUUAUCCCCAUUAUAUACAUAAUCUGAUUUUCCUUAAAAACUUCCAUUCCUUAACUUUGAAAAAAAAUUACAUACUUAUUUGUAUGUAUAUAUGUCGGUAUAUAUUUGAAAAAAAUUACAUACUUAGAAUUUCCGUUUGUUAAUUUUUCUUUUUAAUCUUACUUGCUUUUUCAUGUACAUGUCGGUAUAAACCGGAGUUUGUCUACAUUUCAAAGUUAUUUUUUUAACAUUUUCAUGCUUAUUUUUAUAUAUGCUUCCUACGUAUGAGUCGGGUUAUAUAUGAUAUGUUUUUUUAUUAUUUUAACUUCCAUUCAUUAACUUCGAAAAAAAUAUUACUUAUUUUUAUGUACUUGUCGUUAUAAAUUUCAGCAUUUUUUUUGUUUUCGUGCUUUUUUUUAUGUAUGUUUCCUAUUUAUGAAUUUUUUCACAUAUAAUAGAUUUUCAUUCNACGUUUCGAGGUAAAUUUUGUGUACGUUUUCGAGCUUACCUUUAUGUAUGUUUUUUAUACAUAAGUUUAGUCACAUAUAAUAUGUUUUCAUACAAAAAUAUAAAUUGGAGUUAGUUAAUGGUAUCGACCUUAUAUAUUUAUCUAUCAACAAACGCAAAAGUACCUAACUUUUAUAAUACAAUCAUCAACAUUCAACUUACCAAACAGAUCGUCGCGACAACGCGCGACAGGCAAAAUCCUAGUUACGUGUUAACUAUUAAAUAAGUACUACUUAAUAUAUGGUAGUUAUCUAAUCAUAUAUUAAUUACAUAAUAAUCCUUCAACUUUUGAAUUUCUAAUUAAGUCACCAUAUUUAUAAUGAAUUAACAAAUUAGUCCUUUUUAAAUUGUUUAUUUUGUUUUCAACCUUGAUUGCACUUUAUGUGUAAUCCAAUAGACCUAUGCAUUUUAACAAUUUUCCAACAGUACAAUAAUAGGGAGAGGUGUUUUAAGAAAUUUGGAUAGUAAUGGGAUGUGGUUUGAAACUUGGUUGUUUAUGGAUUAAACAAUCUUGAUUGACAAGGGAAGAAGGUGGUUAGAGAAGUAGCUGCCUAUAGAAGAAAUAAUUGUGAGAAGGGAGAGGAUUAGGGUAUGCUCAUAUGUCGCUUUAGGAUGUCGACAACAUGGAAAGAAAAAUAGGCGUAAAAUCAUCAAGGUUAUGAUACCUUGUAAGAUAUUAUAAUUGUUUGAUAUCGUUAAUUUUCAAUUUUACACUAUAUAUACAGAUACAACAUAACAUAACUAAUCUAUAGAAUUCCCUAAGAAAACUAGGAAGCUCGUGUAACAACUAAACUUGUGUGACAAGAUGCUUGUGAGAGAAACUACUAAACUUGUAUGACAAUUAUGCUUGUGAAAGAAACAAAUUUGUGUGGCAAAUAAGAUAUAUACAUGACCAUUUCUAAUAAAUUUAUAUCAUAUUUGUUUAUAGAAAUGUAGUAAAGUAUAAAUUUUCCAUGAAAAUCCUUAUUCAAAGAAGAAACCAGAUUAUCCUAAUGAAUAAUCAUGUCAAAACAAUACUCAACCUUUUAGAUUAAGUUUCUUCUUUUCCUAAACUUACCAAAUACGUUAAUACUGUAUUUUUAACUAUUCGGAAAAAUAAAAAAUAGGCAUUUGUUCAUAAAAUUAAAUUAUAGAAAUACCUAUACUUAGUCACAAAGUUACUGAAAUGGCCCCUAGGAAAUACAAAAAUUUACAGAAAAGGUCCCUGUAUGAAAUAGUUAUAAAAAUUGUCCUGGUAAGAUUUAUAAAGUUACAAACACAGUCUUGGAAGAAAUCAAAAAUUACAUAAAUGUUCCUUGUAAGAAAUAGUUACAUAAUUAGUCCUUAUAAUAAAUAAUUACAUAAAUAGUCCCUAUAUAAUAACGAAAUUACAAAAAUAUUGUCCGUAAUGAGAUUAUAGAAAUAUGUCAUAUGUAAUAUCGAAAUUGCAGAAAUAGUUUGUACAUAAAACCACGUCGAACAAUAUAAAAAAAGAGACCAUCGAUAUGACAUAAAUGAUCUUUGUAUAGUACUGAUAAUAUAUGAUCAGUCAUUGUGUAAUGAAAUUUUAGAAAUGGACCUUGUGUAAUAUCAUAUUACAAAAAUAUUUCAUGUGUAAGACAAAAUUACAGUCAUGGCCCAUGUGUAAUAGCAAAAAUAUAAAGAUGAUUUGUGUAUCAGAACAUUAGAUAAAUUUCAUUGAAAAUAUAAUAUUAACAAAACCGCUGUAAUGUGCACCGCACUAAUUUCUCAUUAAUUGUGAGGAUAUGUACUUAUCCACAACAUAAAUCAAAUAUAUUUUUACUUUAUGUUCAUACCCAGGUUCAUACGUAUUUGAUCAAGACAAGUAUCAAGUUUAACUAAUGUGUUAAAAGAAAUCAAAUAUCCUCUUACUCAUUAUUCUAUAUGAGUAGGAUGAUAGAUAGGAACAAAAUAUAGAUUGAUGUUUGAUUUUUUCAUGAGAAAAAUCAAAUAUCUUCUUAUCUUUUUUCCUAUCCACAAUAUUUGUUGCAGAUUCUACAUUAUGGAAACACUUACAAUAAACCAAUUCGUCCUAAAUUUGAUAUCUGUAACACCUUAUUUUCAUUUUACAAUAGAAUUUCAUAUAAAUGUUUUUUUAUAAAGUUUGAAGUAUAAUUAUACUACUUUUUAGCCUAAGUAAUCUAAAUGAAAGUCGUAGUAAUCGAAAUUACGAAAAUGUGCAUAUAAAGAACGUCUAAAUCGGACUUUGUAUGAAAAAGUUAUAAUUUUUCGAAGUUUCUGGUAAACACAUAAAUAGAAAUUAAUAUCAGUUGAUUGUUAGCCAAAACAAUGUAAACGAGAGUUGAAGAUGUGGUAAAUACAAAUAGUUAGAUAUACAGACAGUCGAGAACGGAGUUCAUAUAAAAGAGUUAUGAUUUUCACACAGAUUUUAACAAUUUAAUCUCUAUAAAAAUUUGAAUUUAAAAUAGAAUAAAAAUUAGUUAUUGAGAUCGACAGAGAGAUUAUAGUACUCGGAAAUACCUAUGAUUAGAUAUAAAGAACAUCAAACCCAGAGCUCGUAUGCGAAAGUUAUGAUUUCUCGAGAAUCACGAAAAAUAAAUGUUGAGAGUGACGUGGCAGUACCGUAGUGCACCACAUGGUGAAGUUGAGGUCGGACCCUCAACCAACCUCUUCGAUGUGAACCAACAAUAACGUGACACAAGACACCUUAAUAAUAGAACAUGAUGCGGCGCACCCUAUGAACAUGCAUUUAAAGAGGAGUUGGGAUUUGCUCAUUUUUCAAACCAUUUCAAUCAAUAUAUUUCUCAAACUUUCUCCAAAACCUCUAGGGUCUGACUUCUAAGUCUCGAGCAAUUUAGCGCGGUGUUGCGACAUUGGAAAUCCUAAUGAAAUGAAGUAUUCGGGGUCAAAGCUCUGCCUGCGAAGUUUCUGACUUUUUGCAAACUAUGUAUGUUAAGCUGGACUUACUACGCUUUAUGUGUAACUUAUAUUUAUAUUCUUAAUCAUUAUUAUGAAUCUAUAAAUAAGAUUUAUUAGUGAUUCCAAAUCAAAAUACUGAUUGAUGUACUUACGGGAGUGAUCUUACCUUGUUAAUCCUUAUUUGAUAAAACUUGAAGCAUUCAUUGGGAUUAGUGAAAAUAUUUUUAUUACCAGAUUGUCAUAGAAAUUAAUAAGUUAUAGUAUUAUAGAUUAAUACUUGUUAGACAUGUUACCCGUCGGUUGGAUCACGAGUCAGAUAGUUCAUAGUCGUCUGAGUAAUUUUUCAGGUGAGUUAUUUCACUAUACUAUGUAUUACAAUAUGUAUCCAUGUAUGUUAGGAUGUAAGAGCUAGUAGAGGAGGGUCAGAAGUGUAGUCUCUAUGUGCUUAAAUGUUAUUGUAUUUGAGUUAUUCGUUACGGUUAAGUGUGGGGUUGAUAGCGGAAUGAUUAUAGGUCCGGAGUUUAUAGACUCAUGUUGAUGACGAAUUGUCAGACAUGCUGUAAGUCUAGACACACAUAUUAUUGGUGGAUCGACAAAAUGUCGCGAGCUAAUUGAUGGAUCGACAAAAGGUCGCGAGCCAUCGUUUGUAUGCAUGUAUAUGUAUUUUGAUAUAUGGUAUCUUGGGGAACUCAUUAAACUUCGUACUUAUCCAGUUGAUUACAAAUGAUUUCAAGAUUUUAAAAAUAAAAAACAUUAUGAAAUUGAGACGUCACAAUGUCUUUUAAUUUUGAGACAUAUUAGACAUAUCAUGAGAUAAUGAUUUAUACAAAAUUAAUUGUUAGGGCGUGUUGCUCUAAAAUAAUAAUUAUCCUCUCAUUUUUUAUGCAACCUCCUACGUUUUUAUCGUAACAUAUUUACUGUUUUAUGAUUUAUGUAGUUGUUGGUAUUAGUAUUGAAUUGUGUUUUGAAUUCAUUCGAUAUUAUGACCGAAUUGCUUAAAUUUUUGAAUGAAAGACAAUAUUUCACUACCCAUUCCUCACAUGAUUGCUCAUGACGGUAUCAUUUUCCGAGUUAAAGCUAUGAAAGUAGAUUUAAGGGUUACUACCGGUUGAAAACAAAAAUUGCUUAAUUAUGCCAUUUUGUUGUAAAUCAAAAACAAACAAAUCAUAAUUUUCCUAUGGUCUUUAGCAUUUAAGAAGGCUUAUUGAUAUAAAAAUCUUAAUGUUUUUUAAGUUUUGUCGGUUUAAUUCUUGUGACUAUUUUUAAUAACAUUAAUGUAAAAAAAAGUUUAUUUUUGCCCUUCAUGAACUAAGUCUCAUAAAACCACUUACACCAAAAACAAAAAAGAAUCAUGCAAAUUCUAUUUUAUCUAAAUUUUUUUUAUUAAACGGGAAAUGUAUUUUAAGUAAACCUAACUUAUUUCAUUUAUGUGUACAUGAGUUGAACCCUCGAUAUAAUGGAAGAAGGGUAAAACCGGAUACCAUUACACUAAAACGCUUAGGUAAUCAUUCACUUAUUUAAUUCAUACAAUGACUCCAAAGAAAUGAUAAAUGUGAAACUAGUCGGACUAUAAAUCCCCCUAAUAUAUUAAUAUUUUUUUGACAUAUGUCACAUUGUUAUUUAUUUUGAUACAUGUAAUUUUGUGGUUACUUUAAAUUAAUUUUUAUUCUACAUGUCAUUUUAUGGUUUUUUCAUUUUAUUAAAUUUUUGAUAGCAUUUAUAUGUGAUAAUAAAUGCAUAUCGAUUUCAUUAAUAAACUUUCCUUUUAAUUUCAAAAUUACAAAAUUAAAUAUUCGUUAAUUUUCUUUAUUUAUUUAUCUAAAUUAUUUGUUUAAAUUUAAAAAAGAAAAAAAAACACUUUAAUUUUUAUAAAUCAACAUUUUUCUCACUUUUAUUAUAAGUUAAAACUUCUCAAAUGUUUAAAAUUUUGUAUUUAGUUUUUUCUUUUAAAUAAACUCAUUUAAUAAAUGGGUCUAAUGUCCAUUUGUGCUACGUCACGGGUUCUAAUAAAGUGUGAUAAACAUUUAAAAAUUAACAUAAGUUACUAUGAUGUUAUAGAAUUUUACUUUCAAAUGGACCGUCACUCGCAUAUAUACAAUAUAUAACAAUGUAUGUGUGGUUGUGUAUAUGAGUGUGUGUCCAUAAAGUCAUGAUUGAUGACGAAAAUCCCUUCCACCGUUGCAAAAAUUCAUAGAGAUUUCACUUGUUAUAGAAUGAACCACAAUUGUUUUUAUAUUGUAUUUUCAUGCAUUCUCAUAAUUAGACAAACAAAAACAUAAGAUGAAUGCAAAAUACUUUUUGGCCUGAUUAAAAAACAUAACCACAUAAACAUGUUAUUUUUACCUUAAUCAAAAUAGGUUGCUUGUUUUGUUAAAACAGAUCAUGUGAUAAAAAUUAAAAACAUAGAUAAAAAUUAAAAACAUAAAAAUGUAAGCACACUGUCUUUUCAUGCUCAAAAUCAUACCAGGUAAAUGCAAACCUAAAGACCAUAAAGUGCAUUGCUCUUUUCAGAAGAAGAUACUAAUUGACAGAAAACCAAACAUUAACACCAAAGUUUAUAUUUUUCUUAAAUGGUCCCUUCUAAAGAAAAAAAAAACUUACAUUUACUAUCCUUGUACCACUUAAUUUCUACCUGCUUUAUUUGCCUUCUUCCAAAAAACGAAAAACGUAGCAUUCCAAGUGGGAGAGUAUUAGUUCCAUCUCUUUUACCAAAACCAAUCUGCAAAUUGUAGUUUGAGCUCUCACUUUCUUGUAGGUUACGAUUUUCUUUUUCAUAUGUAGGUGGACAGCCCAAUCUCACCUUGGUUCGGUAGCAACUGUUAGCAACCGAAUCUUCUGCAGAGCCUAAGUUCAUCCUUCUUCCCCACCAAGCCGAUCAUCCCCUACGAACCUCUUCAUACUAAUAACAUGUAAAUGUUGAAGAUUCUUAUAUAACUUAUUUAGAUCAAAUGAAAAACAAUUUAUAUAAUCACAUUACCUUUUAGCUAAAUAAAAAUAAAAAUAUAUUUCCAGCCAAACCUAAGUGCAUCAACAACCUUUUAUAUCGUAUAGAAACAAACAACAUAACUGUAGCAACAAUAUGACAUUCUUUCAUCCAUAUUUUGUAGAAAAACCUGAGAGAAUUACAACUAUGAGAGACUAUAACAACAAAACUUGGGUCUUAAAAAAUUAAUCUGCUAGAAAAGAUAUAUUAAGGAUUAAAAUUUAAAAGAAAAACCAGAAAAAGGUAGGAAUAAUCGAGGAAAAAGAUAUUCAGGUGUUUGUACUCAUCCACCUACUUUAUUGAAUUUGGUAAAUGCUUAGGUCAACAAUUCAUCAUAAUUCAACCGUCAUCCUCCUUCAUCAUACAAGAUUUUUUGCCACCACGAAGGAGGUGUUGAGCCGAAAUCCACCGAUGGAUUUUGGAGGUGAUUGUAGAUGGUGGUGACAGCGUUCGUGGUGGUGUUCACGAUGUGUGCUUCUCUAUGCGAGAUUCAUGGUAGUAAGCUAUGGUUACGGAUGCAACAGAUGGAGAGGUUUCAAGUAUGUUGCUUCAAGUCAUCAUAUUGAGUUUGGAAGUGAAGAACCAAAUGUUGUCUUUAGCUCAAUAACCACUACCACACACCACUACCUCCAAAACCUUCUGAAAAAAAAUUAAAUUUCAAACGAAUCACCUUUCAAUAUAUUAGUAAAAUCUGUAAAAAAGAGAGAUAAAAAAAAUGAAAAAAUGAAACCCAUACCAGCUUUGGAGAUGACCGAAGGUGGCGAUAGGAGGGUGGCAACGGCUGUAGCACUAUUUUGUGUGGUUGCUUCUUCCUUCUUCCCUCUUGAUCUCCUCCAAUCUUAGCACCUUCGAAUGUUUCUCUGAUUAUCAGAGCAUAUAACGUAAAAAACUAAAAGAAAGACAAUGAUUUUGAAGGAUGAAAAUAGAGGAAAAGCUGAUGACUCACGACAACGACCUGAAAAUCAAAACUAGGGUUGUAGAUUUCAUGAGACUUUACCUCUCUUCUUCCUUGUCUCUCUCUCUCUCUUCAUCUCAAUCGAUAACGUGGUGACUAGCGGUGAAGCAUAACUCAUUCAAGAAGGGGCGUUGACCCCUGUGGCUGUUGUUAUUCCUCCUCCCAUUAAUUGGAUUGGAUUUAAUCAAAAAGAGAUAUGUAUCAGUGAAGAAGAUGUGUAACACUCCAAUCUAGGUAUUCCAUUGUUCACCCUCAAGUGCUUCAAUUUUGUCAAAAAUGGUCCUUUCCGUACGUUGGGUGUACAUUUGUGUACGCUUAGCAUACGUGUGUGAGGGCAUUGAGUGACUGGGGCUCGUACGUUGGGCAUACGGGCAUUAUGUGGUGCGUAGGAGGCAGAUAUCUCAAACCCUAAUUCUUUGACUUGCAACCUAUUUAAGCAAUCUUAUAUCAUUUGGACCAAAACCUAAUCAGCCUCCAUAGCCUCAUUUCGGCCCUUAACCCCAAAUUUUCAUUUGAGUGUGAUCCUUGAGCUUAAAGAAUGUUUUGGUGGCCAUUUUAGAGAGCAUUCAAGAAGGAGAAGGUGGUGAUCAAGUAUUGGGUGUCAUUAAGCUUCUAGAUCCUGCAUCUAGUUUAUCUUUAGGAACUUCUAGUGGUAUAAAGUCAUAACCUUUUCAUCUCUUUUUUUAGUUUGAGUUAGGGUUUUGUUAUGAAGUCCCUUGUUGGUUCUUGGACCCUCUCUUGAGAGUUGAGCAACUCUAGAGACUAAGAUAGUUAGAUCUAAGCUUUUUUUACCAUACUUGAUGCAUAAAGGUGUCAUCUUGAUUGUUGUUUUCAUACCAUGCAUGAGUUUAAGGUCUUAAAUGAGGUCUUAAUGAGAAUGAAGUAUUGGGAACCCUUAUGGCAUGCAAGGGCAUAAAGCUGCCAACUUUAUGCCCUAGGAAAUAUUAAUGGACUCAGAUCUGAAGUUUAACAUUAAAAUCCCAAGUAUUAAGCACUAAAUGUUCGCUGGUGCAUACCAUGCUUUUACGUCGGGUGUAAUAUUGUGUAUGCUACGCGUACAACCAAAGGGCUCAGUAAGCUAAGUGCACUGGAGUGGUACGCUGGGCGUACGCACCCUCGAUAGGUUUGGGCUUCAUGUUGGCUUGUAAGCAUUUUGGGCCUUAUUCAUUUUUCGGCAUGGUCCUAUUUUGAGUUAAUGGUCUGAUUAUUUUGUUUUGCACCAUAGUUGUUUUGGUUGGACCUUAUUGGGCCAUGUGCCCUGUUAAUAACUUUUAUCUUGGAUCCUAGGCCCAUUAGUAAAGGAAAGACUUUUGGGCCACCAUGUAAGGACUUAGGCUUAGGUUUUUGGACUCUUUGACUAGGUUGAGUUAUAAACCUAAUUUAGUGGUAUUUGUACCAUUAUUCAGUGUGAUGUUUCAGGCUGAUAGGUGAGUGGCUAUUCUGUUUAGUAGACUGAGGUGAGUCUUCUCAUCAUACCAAUGGGUCGAAGGCACCAAUGUCGGCCCAUUAUCUGAUGUGUAGUAAUUGAUUGAUAUGCAAUUGCAUGCUUUGUGGUAUGGAUUGUUUUAUGUUAAGACCAUGGGGGGAGCCCAUGGCACCUGGAUAUCAGAACAUGGGGGAGCCCACGACAUUCCAGGUGAAGACCAUGGGGGUGCCAUGACACUUGGUUAUCAGACAGCGGAGGGAGCCCAUGGCAUUCCAAGUAAAGACCAUGGAGGGAGUCCAUGGCAAUUCAUGUAUGCGUUUCUAUUGCAUGGUUUUUUUAUGAUUGUAUGUGUUGUGCAUUUUCGAAAACUCACUAGGCGUUUCCUUAAAGUUUGUUGGGUGUUUGAGGUACUUUUGGCUCUAAGGGCAAGAGCCUGGCUUGAUGGCGUAGCUUGCACUCUUCAGUAUUUCAAACUCAUUGUUUUGGAUACUCAGAUCUUUUGAACAAUGUAUUAUGUGGGAAAGAAAUUCGGAUACUAUUUUUAGUUAAUAAAUGAAAAUUAUUACCUAUGUUUUUGGGUUGUUACAAGACGAUUGGCUAACGAAAGUGGUGGAGGGAGUAGAUGUAAAACACAUGUGCUGGUACUUGGGAGUGCGUUGGACAAAAUUUGUAGAACACAUGUGAUAAGGGACCCAAUAUGUAACAAUAGAAAACUGGUGUGGCAAAAUCCUAAAGACACUAAACUAUACUAUUCCCUAAGGCUUUAAGAAUUAAUAUAAAUAUUAAUAUUGUAUCCAGUUUAGCGAAUUAAUAAAGAUGUGAUUGAUUACAAGUAUGAUUAAUAUAAUCAUUUAUAUAAAAUAAAUGAUUAAUGUAUAUUAAAAUCUGAGAGUAUUACCAAAACGCAGGCCAAAACUUCGUAUAUAAGUUGUUUCACGAAAAUGAUAUAUAUAUANNNNNNNNNNNNNNNNNNNNNNNNNNNNNNNNNNNNNNNNNNNNNNNNNNNNNNNNNNNNNNNNNNNNNNNNNNNNNNNNNNNNNNNNNNNNNNNNUAUGUUUGUGACUUUCAAAAUCUCAAUAUAUGUAUAGUAGCAUCCACUUUUUCCAGGUUUCUUUUCAAAGGUUAAUUAUUUCAUGCUUUUGGGAUUUUGCAACACUACGAUGUGGCAUUAGGUGGGCCACAAUGUGACAUUUGUUGAUGAGGAACGUGCAUCAACACAAUAGCAUGACGUGGCAUAUUUUUUUCCACGACGUGGUGACUUUAUUAUCCCAAAACCUUAAUUUCGGGACUAAUUCCAAGGGUUUCUCUUUGGCAGCACCCACCCUCUGAGAUCCUAUCACAUCCACUACGUCGCAUAUCGUUGAUUUAUUUUGACUUAGGUCAUCCAUCUGCAAAACCAACACCCAAUUUUAAUCAUUCAACUUUCCUACAUCCAGUAAGAGCUCCAUUAUCACAAACAAAAUUUAUGAGCAGUUUACCGAACACCUUAUGUCUACAUUAAAUCAGCUUGAAGAAUUAUACGAGGUAAAAGAAAACCGGCCAUCGAUGUAUGAAUUUAAUUAGGGCAUGGAAAUUAUAAUAAAAACGACAAUCAAAAUUAAUACUGCUUCAUUGUGCACUUUUUGGAGGUAAGUGUUCAAAUUCAAGUAAUUAAUAAUUUUUUUGUUGUUCUAAACCUUUUGGCAUAAACAAAAUUAACAUGGUUCGCAUUCUAAAACCUCCAUCAAAAUCCUUUGAUUUUCCAUCGAUAACACCUCAUUUUUGAUUUACUGUAAUAUGUAAAUUAAAGGAACAUUUUAAAUGCCACGGGUAACAAAAAGAAUGCAGGGGAGAAAGAUGGUUCCUAAAGUUUAGGCUAAAAUUCACCGCUUUCAAUUUCCUGAGGACAAUUUCACCAUAUAUAUUGUCAUCCUAACAUUGAGAAUACAAAAAGAAAAUAAAAACAUUCAAAAUUACCAAAAGAACCAUGAUUACCAUGAAUGGAAACGAAAGGCACCCAAGACACAUGGAAAAUCAUGUCCACCACCAUGAAGGAGGUGUUCAGUCCAAAUGUACCGAUGGGUUUUGGGGAUGAUUGUGGAUGGUGGCGACAGUGUUCGUAGUGGUGUUCAUGAUGUGUUCUUCUUUAUGUGAGAUUGAGGGUUUUAGGUUAUGGUGACGACUAUAAAAGAUGGAGAGGUUUCAAGUACGUUGAUCUGAGUCAUCAUAUCGAGUUUGGAAGUGAAGAACCAAAUGUUGUCAUUGGCUCAAAAACCACUGCCACACACCACCAUCUCCAAAACCUUUUGCAAAAAAAAUUUAAUCUUAGACGAAUCACCUUUCAAUAUAUCAAUAAAAUCUAGUAGAAAGAGAGAGAUCAACGAAAAAGGAAAAAACAAAACCCAUACCUGUAGUGGAGAUGACCUGAGGUGGGAAUGGGGAGGGAGGGCGGCGACGGCCGGAGUGUUGGUGUGCGUGGUUACUUCUUCCUUCUUCCCUUUGAAUCUCCUCCGAUCUCUACACCUUCAAAUGUUUCUCUGAUUAGCAGAGAAAAUAUCCUAUAAAACUAAAAGAAACACGAUGAUUUCAUAGGAUGAAAAGAGAGGAAAAGCUGACGAUUGACGACAACGACCUGAAAAUCGAAAACUAAGGGUGUUUAUUUCAACAGACUUUUACCUCACGUCUUCCUUCUACCUCCAUCAAAAUUGAUAACGUAAUGACUGGCAGUAAAGCAUAAAUCAUGUUAGAAAGGGCAUCGAACUCUGGGGUUGCUUUUGUUCCUCCUCUUUGUCAAUCGGAAAGGAUAUUUAGAUAUAUAUAUAUAUAUAUAUANNNNNNNNNNNNNNNNNNNNNNNNNNNNNNNNNNNNNNNNNNNNNNNNNNNNNNNNNNNNNNNNNNNNNNNNNNNNNNNNNNNNNNNNNNNNNNNNNNNNNNNNNNNNNNNNNNNNNNNNNNNNNNNNNNNNNNNNNNNNNNNNNNNNNNNNNNNNNNNNNNNNNNNNNNNNNNNNNNNNNNNNNNNNNNNNNNNNNNNNNNNNNNNNNNNNNNNNNNNNNNNNNNNNNNNNNNNNNNNNNNNNNNNNNNNNNNNNNNNNNNNNNNNNNNNNNNNNNNNNNNNNNNNNNNNNNNNNNNNNNNNNNNNNNNNNNNNNNNNNNNNNNNNNNNNNNNNNNNNNNNNNNNNNNNNNNNNNNNNNNNNNNNNNNNNNNNNNNNNNNNNNNNNNNNNNNNNNNNNNNNNNNNNNNNNNNNNNNNNNNNNNNNNNNNNNNNNNNNNNNNNNNNNNNNNNNNNNNNNNNNNNNNNNNNNNNNNNNNNNNNNNNNNNNNNNNNNNNNNNNNNNNNNNNNNNNNNNNNNNNNNNNNNNNNNNNNNNNNNNNNNNNNNNNNNNNNNNNNNNNNNNNNNNNNNNNNNNNNNNNNNNNNNNNNNNNNNNNNNNNNNNNNNNNNNNNNNNNNNNNNNNNNNNNNNNNNNNNNNNNNNNNNNNNNNNNNNNNNNNNNNNNNNNNNNNNNNNNNNNNNNNNNNNNNNNNNNNNNNNNNNNNNNNNNNNNNNNNNNNNNNNNNNNNNNNNNNNNNNNNNNNNNNNNNNNNNNNNNNNNNNNNNNNNNNNNNNNNNNNNNNNNNNNNNNNNNNNNNNNNNNNNNNNNNNNNNNNNNNNNNNNNNNNNNNNNNNNNNNNNNNNNNNNNNNNNNNNNNNNNNNNNNNNNNNNNNNNNNNNNNNNNNNNNNNNNNNNNNNNNNNNNNNNNNNNNNNNNNNNNNNNNNNNNNNNNNNNNNNNNNNNNNNNNNNNNNNNNNNNNNNNNNNNNNNNNNNNNNNNNNNNNNNNNNNNNNNNNNNNNNNNNNNNNNNNNNNNNNNNNNNNNNNNNNNNNNNNNNNNNNNNNNNNNNNNNNNNNNNNNNNNNNNNNNNNNNNNNNNNNNNNNNNNNNNNNNNNNNNNNNNNNNNNNNNNNNNNNNNNNNNNNNNNNNNNNNNNNNNNNNNNNNNNNNNNNNNNNNNNNNNNNNNNNNNNNNNNNNNNNNNNNNNNNNNNNNNNNNNNNNNNNNNNNNNNNNNNNNNNNNNNNNNNNNNNNNNNNNNNNNNNNNNNNNNNNNNNNNNNNNNNNNNNNNNNNNNNNNNNNNNNNNNNNNNNNNNNNNNNNNNNNNNNNNNNNNNNNNNNNNNNNNNNNNNNNNNNNNNNNNNNNNNNNNNNNNNNNNNNNNNNNNNNNNNNNNNNNNNNNNNNNNNNNNNNNNNNNNNNNNNNNNNNNNNNNNNNNNNNNNNNNNNNNNNNNNNNNNNNNNNNNNNNNNNNNNNNNNNNNNNNNNNNNNNNNNNNNNNNNNNNNNNNNNNNCCACCCACUAACACCACCAUCUGUCACUACCACCCGCCUACACUAACCACCACCCAUCACUACCACCACCUCUACUACCAACGACCACCACCCACCACCACUACCAACACUUGCCACUACCACCAACCACCACCCACUAACACCACCAUCUGUCACUACCACCUGCCUACACUCCCCAUCACCCGCCAAAACCACAACCACCACCACACGUUACCACCACCCACCACCCACUCCCCCCCGCCAACACUAACCACCACCCAUCAAUACCACCUCCUCUACUACCAACCAUCACCACCCAUCAUAUUUACCAACACUUGCCACUACCACCAGCCACUACCCACCAACACCACCAUCUGUCACUAUCACCCAUCUACACCACUCAUCACCCGCCAAAACCACAACCACCACCAGCCGCCGACACCACUCGUCACCACCACCCACCACCAUCAUUAUUACUACCUACCAACCCCUAUUAUGACCACCCACUUCUACCACUAACCACCACCACCCACCAACAUUACCAAUACUCGCCACUAUCUCCAACCACUACCUACCAACACCACCACCCACCCACUACCACCCACCUCUACUAUACAUCACCAACACUUGCCACCACCACCAUCUAUCAUUCACAAAAACCAUAACUACCACAACCUAUCACCAUUAACCACCACCAUCGACCCACCACACAUUACCACCACCCAUCAACACCGCCCGUCACCACCUUCACCACCACCCGCCACCACUCACCCACAUCAUUACCACCUACCACCAUAUUACCCACCACUAAACAUCACUACACGCCACCACCACCCACCAUCAUCCACCCAUAAACACCACCACCACUACCAACCUAUCCAUAACCUAUCAUAACCACCAUCCCCACAACUACACACCACUUAUCACCACCGCAACCACUACCUACCACUACUACAAACCAACUAUUACCCACGAACCGCAACACUCACCACCACCCAUUGCUACUAACCACCACCCUACGCCACCUACUCCACCAUCAUAACCACCACACACAACUACUCAUCUCCACCACAUGACCACCAUCCACUACUUAUAACCACCAACACUAUAUGUGAUUAAAUGUAUAUAAUGUUAUAAAUCGUGUCUGAUUGUAUGUAUUAUUCAUAGAAAUCACAUGUGAUUAAAUACAUAUAAUCACAUGUGCUUAUAUGUAUCUAAUCACAUAUGAUUUAUAUAAAUAAGAUUUAUUUUCAAGUUUUCCAUUAAAUAAUUUUGCUCAUGUACUUACUCAUAUCUGAUUAUACUUAUUUACUCACAAAUGAUUAAUAUGAACAACAAUCUGUUUUCACAUUUUUUGAUUAAAUGGUUGUUCUCUUGAAUAUAAUCACAUAUGAUUAUAUAUAUCCAAUCACAUAUGAUUUAUAUUGACACUAUUCUUUUUGUUAAUAUAAAUCAUAUGUGAUUAUACAAUUAAAAAAAACUCACUAAACUACACGACUCACCACCCACCCAACACAUCCACGACCACUACCUACCACCCACCAACCACCAAUCACCACCAUCUACAACCCAUCAACCACCAACCACCACCACCCACAACCAGUACCAACCACUCAUCACUAGUUCACUACAACCAACAACCCACUACCACCACUCACCACCACCAACCCUACCACCAUCACGUACUGUCACCACCACUACUAACCCCACUACCAUUAUGCACCAUCACCACCAUCACCAAGCACCCACCACCACCGACCAAUCACUAACACCACCCAUCAGCAGGACCUGCCUACACCACCUAUCACCACCAAUCAACACCACCACCCAAUCUAUCACCCACCAAAACCACCACUACCACGAACUACCACCCACCAAAACCACCACCACCAACAACAACUACCCACCACCUACCACGAUCACUACCACCAGCCAACACUAACCACCACCCAUCACUACCACCACCUCUACUACCAACGACCACCACCCACCACCACUACCAACACUUGCCACUACCACCAACCACCACCCACUAACACCACCAUCUGUCACUACCACCUGCCUACACUCCCCAUCACCCGCCAAAACCACAACCACCACCACACGUUACCACCACCCACCACCCACUACCACCCGCCAACACUAACCACCACCCAUCAAUACCACCUCCUCUACUACCAACCAUCACCACCCAUCAUAUUUACCAACACUUGCCACUACCACCAGCCACUACCCACCAACACCACCAUCUGUCACUAUCACCCAUCUACACCACUCAUCACCCGCCAAAACCACAACCACCACCAGCCGCCGACACCACUCGUCACCACCACCCACCACCAUCAUUAUUACUACCUACCAACCCCUAUUAUGACCACCCACUUCUACCACUAACCACCACCACCCACCAACAUUACCAAUACUCGCCACUAUCUCCAACCACUACCUACCAACACCACCACCCACCCACUACCACCCACCUCUACUAUACAUCACCAACACUUGCCACCACCACCAUCUAUCAUUCACAAAAACCAUAACUACCACAACCUAUCACCAUUAACCACCACCAUCGACCCACCACACAUUACCACCACCCAUCAACACCGCCCGUCACCACCUUCACCACCACCCGCCACCACUCACCCACAUCAUUACCACCUACCACCAUAUUACCCACCACUAAACAUCACUACACGCCACCACCACCCACCAUCAUCCACCCAUAAACACCACCACCACUACCAACCUAUCCAUAACCUAUCAUAACCACCAUCCCCACAACUACACACCACUUAUCACCACCGCAACCACUACCUACCACUACUACAAACCAACUAUUACCCACGAACCGCAACACUCACCACCACCCAUUGCUACUAACCACCACCCUACGCCACCUACUCCACCAUCAUAACCACCACACACAACUACUCAUCUCCACCACAUGACCACCAUCCACUACUUAUAACCACCAACACUAUAUGUGAUUAAAUGUAUAUAAUGUUAUAAAUCGUGUCUGAUUGUAUGUAUUAUUCAUAGAAAUCACAUGUGAUUAAAUACAUAUAAUCACAUGUGCUUAUAUGUAUCUAAUCACAUAUGAUUUAUAUAAAUAAGAUUUAUUUUCAAGUUUUCCAUUAAAUAAUUUUGCUCAUGUACUUACUCAUAUCUGAUUAUACUUAUUUACUCACAAAUGAUUAAUAUGAACAACAAUCUGUUUUCACAUUUUUUGAUUAAAUGGUUGUUCUCUUGAAUAUAAUCACAUAUGAUUAUAUAUAUCCAAUCACAUAUGAUUUAUAUUGACACUAUUCUUUUUGUUAAUAUAAAUCAUAUGUGAUUAUACAAUUAAAAAAAACUCACUAAACUACACGACUCACCACCCACCCAACACAUCCACGACCACUACCUACCACCNUAUAUAUAUAUAUAAUCACAUGUGAUUAGAUGUAUUUAAUCACAUGUGAUUAUAUGUAUCUAAUAUAAUAUUAUUUAAAUAGACACGAUUCAUUUUCAAAUUUUCGAUUCAAUAAUUUUCUCUUGUUUUUAAUCACAUGUGAUAAUAUGUAAUUAAUCAAAUAUGAUUACUAUGGGCACAGAACAACUUCUGAAUCAAGAACGCAAAAACAAAUCUUGCGCUCAUAAAUUAUAUGUUGUUUGAUACAUAUAAUCACAUGUGAUUAAAUACACGAGAACAAAUAUUAAAUCAGAAAUGUAAAACGAAUAUUGUCUAUAUAAAUCAUAUGUGAUUAAAUACAUAAAUCUAAUCAUAUGUGAUUAAAUAAUGAGAACAACUAUUGGAUCGAGAAAGCGAAAAUGAAUGUUUUCCUCAUAAAUCAUAUGUUAUUAGAUACAUAUAAUCACGUAUGAUUAUAUAUAUUUAAUCACAUAUGAUUAAUAGGGAUAAAGAUUUGUUUUCACGUUCUUGAUUCAUUAUUUGUUAUUGUGUAGAUAAUAAAUGUGAUUAUACACACACACACACAGAUANNNNNNNNNNNNNNNNNAUAUAUAUAUAUAUAUAUAUAUAUAUAUAUAUAUAUAUAUAUAUACAUAUAUAAUCACAUGAUUUAUAUAUAAACGAUUUGGUUUUUUUCCAAAUAAAAUCGUAUGUGAUUAGAAACAUACAAUCAUAUUUGAUUAAAUGUAUUUAAUCACAUAUGAUUAAAAUGGAAUAAAUAAUUAUAUAAUCGAGAAUGCGAAAAUAAAUCUUAGCCACAUAAAUCGUAUGUGAUUAGAUACAUAUAAUCGCAAGUGAUUAUAUGUAUCUAGGAACAUAUGAUUUAUGUGGAAAAUAUUCAUUUUUGUGUUCUAUAUUCAAUAGUUGUUCUCGUGUAUUUAAUCAAACGUGAUUAUACGUAUCUAGUAACAUAUGACUUAUGUGAACAAGAUUCAAAUUCACAUUCUCAAUUCAAUAGUUUUUAUCACGUUUUUAAUCUUGUUGUAAUCAUGUAUUUAAUCGUAUGUCAUUUUAUGUAUUUAAUAAAAUAUUAUACGAUUAAUAUGAAGAAACAACAACUAUUGAAUCAAAAACACAAAAGUAUUAUACGAUUAAUAUGAAGAAAGAAUAACUAACGAAUAAAGAACAUGGAAAUGAAUCUUGUUUGCUUAUCUCACUAGAGAACAGACUACAUUCUGCCUUUCCUUGUUUACUCUACCGGAUUCAGGUAUCCAUGAACAAUAACAUUAAAUAAGUAAUGACUACAUAAUAGGAGAGUUAGUGUAACUCACCUCCUUGAACUUGAAAAUUAGCUAGCGUGAGCUAGAUAUAUCCUUUCCUUUCCAAGAACCUACACAAAAAUAUUACAUUAUUUAGCUUGUGCUUGUUGUAUUACUCUUAUAAAACUUAUGUGCAUAUUUCCUUAAUUUCUCUUUGAUUGUAGUUCUCUGUUUGGGAUAUGUUUUCUUACCUUUCAACCUAUUCUUAAAUUUCCAUAAACAACAUUGGUAAAGUUCCCUCUUUUAUCUUUUCAGGAAUAUAAAGAUAUUGUUCUAAUGAUUUUCGGUUGAUUUUAUAUUAAAUUUACAAGUCAGUAGCCUUAAGCUAUCAAUUUCUAGACGACUCAACACUCUUGGAAUAAACUGUACCAAUAUACUACGAAUUACUUCAGAACCUAUCUAGUAAGGAAACUAUACAUCCAUAUCUAACUAUAAGAUUUGGAAUCUCGGUAUUUGGAGUUCUAAUGAAUUUAUUAUGAUUUUUUGAAGACAAUGCAUGAAAUCUGUGAGAGCAUGGCCUAGCCUGAGAAGAUUGCUAAUUUUACCCCUGAAGGAUUUGGAAUUUCGAAAUAUGAUUUAAAGUUUGAAGAAACUAGACACACAAAUAUUUAAAGAAAACUAAGUCUCGUAAAUUUAAGUAUUCUAAUUGCCUUCGACGGAUUUUAGAUGUUCAAGGACAGAUUUGGGAAAAUUGAUCAAAUAGCUUUUUAAUCACUUUUGGUGUUCUAUUAAGGACUUAAUGGUUGACCCUUAAGUUUAUCACUUUUAAAAUGAUUGUUGGUUACUUUUUAGGAUAUUAAGAUGCGAAAUUCAAUUUAAGCUAAGGGCCUUAAUGCUUGUGUAACGCCCCAAUUCCCGAGUAUCAAUUUGUGGUUAUAAUUAUUCAUAAAUUGCAAGGUCUAGUCGACGAGUUGGAUGCCUUGACUCGUCGAGUAGAAGCGGUUUGGGGCACAUUUUUAAGUGACCUACUAGCCGAGUUCAAGUUAGGAUUCGACGAGUAAGAGUUGGAGGAUGAAACCCUAAUUCUAGGGUUUUGCACCCUAUUUAAAGGUCCUUAACUUUCCUUCCCAGCCUCCCUUGUCAUCUUCACAUCAAGAGAAAACCCUAAUAGUUAGCCAGUCUCCAUUAUUGAGUGUGUAAGACCAAAAGAGAGUGAAUUGGAGUGUUUAUUGAAGAGUUGAGAGCUUGGGACAAGAAAGAGCUUGUAGAUCCAGCCUUUCUAGUAUUAUGGCAUCAAGAUUAAGGUAUAAAGCUACCACCUUUACAUUUAAUUGCUUAGAUCUCCCCUUUGUGGAAGAAAAUGGUCAUUUCUAGGGCAAGAUAGAGACAUUUUCGGGUUUGAGCUUGUCACAAGGGAAAAGUUUCAGAUCUUGACUCCCCUAGGCUUUGUGGACAGAAUCCUUCAAGCUUUAUGAAGCUUUGACCCUCUUUCAUGUCCAAAACCUUUGCCUAAUACUAGUUAUGAGUGUUUUAGUUCCAUAGAACCUUGCAUGCAUGUAAAGUUAGCAAGUUUACAUGAUAAAAACACCCUAGGAGCCUAGAUCUAUAGUUUGGAGCCUUGGUUUCACGAAGAAGCUUCUAUAUGGAUGAAGGACUGAAGGGACUCGACGAGUUGCAUGGUCAACUCGGAGAGUCCGAUAAAGAUUGUUGUUGACCCGGCGAGUCAGAUGAGUUACUCGACGAGUCGGCUAGGGUUUUCCCAAACUUUGGACAUGUAUGAACUAGACAAGUUACAAGGGAGACUCGACGAGUCGGCCAAGGAGUUUUUGACCGCAAACCUUAGAAACUCGACGAGUCACUCUAGUGACUCGACGAGUUGGCGAGUUAUGCAAGGAAAUCGGCGAGUAGCUAAGGGUACUCGAUGAGCUGAGGUCAACAUGGAUUGUUGACCUUAACCGUUAACUUUGACUUUGACCAAGGGUUGACCGGUUUGACUUUUAAGGAUAAUUGGUAAGCGGGUAUUUAUGAAUUGGAUCAUUGAUUGUUAUAGGUAUUGGAGUUUGGGGCAGUGUUUCGGGAGCAUGAUUUCAUGGUUUAGUCUGGCAUUGCAAGGUGAGUUAUCCUCACUAUAUCAAAAAGGUCUAAGGCACUAAGGCCAGCUCUUUAUCGAUUUUGUAUCCGGGUAUUUGCUUGAUAUGUUUAUUGAUCUGCUAUAUCUACAUCCCGGUAGAUAGGAUGAUAUUAUAUUAAUGGCCUGGUUUAGGUUGGUAUCUUAUUAUAUAGGAUGAUUUUAUGUAAGUGACUAGUUAGGUUGGUAUCCUGGUUAUAGGUUGGUUGUUGUGUUACUUAUCUGUUAGAUCGGUAUGAUUAUCUGUUAUAUACAUGAUAACGUAUGAUAUUUAUGUGCACAUGAUUGUUUGAUUAGUAUGGGGGUUGGGUUGAGGUGGGUCCCGCUUUGUGCUGUAGGCCAACAUAUAAAGGGCGGACUGAAUAGACUGCAGGCCUGGGAGGGAACCUAGUAAGGCCGAAGGCCCGACGUGCGGUACGGAUAGGCUGAAGGACCUGAGAGGGCAGUAGAGAUGUGCCGAUGCUCGAAGAGUGGGCCAUAUAGACUGAACGCUCGGUGCGGGCGGUCCAGUCAUACUGUAGACUCAGAGAGUGGACCAGGUGGACUGAAGGCCCGGUACGGGCGGACCAGUCACACUGCAAACUCGUGAUGCAUGGUUGUUUCGUUACAUAUAUGUUUAUAUGAUAUGGUUAUCUGUAUGGAGUUGUUAUUUUGGGGGUAACUCACUAAGCUUUUGGGCUUAUAGUUUUUGUUUAUUGUUUCAGGUUCAGCGGAUGGCCGCUGGAAGGCGAAGGUGUGUCCGUACACUUCCUCGAUUGAUGAUUAUGAUUUCUGGGAACUCUGAUGUUUAAGCUAUUUUGAAAAAGAAUUGUAGUAACUGAAUGGUUUUAAAUGAUUUAAAAAGUUUUAAAUUGACUCGAAUCUUAAGGAUGUUACAACUUGGCUUAAUGAGGGUUCAAAGUUAAGAGUUUUCACAUAAAAUGCAACUUUACAUUUAUUGGGUUCUUUUCAGAAAAUAUGACAAACACCUUGUGUACAUGAAAUCCUACAGUGAUCCUCAACUAUCUAAUUGAAUCCAAUCCAACCCCUAGAGCUUACUAUUAUUAUUUAUCAUCGACACCGACAAUUAGCAUAAAGGAGUAAUCCAUGAUUAUAAAUGGAAGAGUGGUAAACAAAUUGAAGGUAAACUCAGGUUAAAUAAUUGACCAAGACUAAUAACCACUACAACAACUCAAAAGGGUCAUUUCCUUUCUGUAAAUGAUUCAUGAUAGGGAUCAUUGCCUAAUAUUCUAGUUUCAGAGUCUAAAUCUAUAAUAACUCAAGUUAAGAGUGGAAGAGGUUUGUUUACUAAUAAAAAGUUGAAAUCACUCCCUGGAGCAUAUCAUCCUUCAUCCUCUAAUUUCUGAUCCACACCUUUCGAUUGAUUGUCAAAAAUCCACAAAAUUAGCUUUCAUGUGCCAUCUUUCAUUAUCGAAUACCUUAUGCGUAGCUUCCAAUUCAAUUUUGAUUUUCUCAACAUCUCCUUCCGGAUGAACGAUGCUAAAUUUCACAAUAUCAUGAAUCUGACUCAUAAUUCGACCGGAUCCAUCAUUUUCCUGAUCAGAGUACAAAUCAAAUUGAUUCUUCUCAGGAUGAUCAUUAAUUUCUUAGCAUUAUACAUAGAUUCAUUCACUAAAAAAGUUUGGCAUUCAAUGAUGCUUAAUUAUACGAACGGAGAAGCUCAAAGGAGUAAAUCAUGUUGAAUUUCCUGAUAUAUUGAAGUGCUUGAGCUGAUUUUUUGGAAGUAAUGUUGAAUGACCUACAUUUCGACACACUCAUUUAAUUUAUUUGAUGCAUGCAUCUGUUAAAUUGUUCUCAAAUUUAUAAUUGUUCUCAUUUGAUUAUAUAUAUAUAUAUAUAUAUAUAUAUAUAUAUGUGUGUGUGUGUGUGUGUAUGUGUGUGUGUAUAGAGAGAGAGAGAGANNNNNNNNNNNNNNNNNNNNNNNNNNNNNNNNNNNNNNNNNNNNNNNNNNNNNNNNNNNNNNNNNNNNNNNNNNNNNNNNNNNNNNNNNNNNNNNNNNNNNNNNNNNNNNNNNNNNNNNNNNNNNNNNNNNNNNNNNNNNNNNNNNNNNNNNNNNNNNNNNNNNNNNNNNNNNNNNNNNNNNNNNNNNNNNNNNNNNNNNNNNNNNNNNNNNNNNNNNNNNNNNNNNNNNNNNNNNNNNNNNNNNNNNNNNNNNNNNNNNNNNNNNNNNNNNNNNNNNNNNNNNNNNNNNNNNNNNNNNNNNNNNNNNNNNNNNNNNNNNNNNNNNNNNNNNNNNNNNNNACUAUAAAAUCAUGAGGAGCGGUACGAUCACGCCUUCGCCUAGCCACGAUCUCCUGAAGAACCUGAAAACAUAAAACCACAACUGUAAGCCCAAAAGCUUAAUGAGAUACCCCCAAAAUACCAACCACAUAUACGCCCUUCCAGGCCACGACCUUCCGGUCCAAAACAUAUUGCCUUCCGGUCCAUAACAUAUUGCCUUCCGACCCAUAACAUAUUGCCUUUCGACCCAUAACAUAACAACAUACAUAACAUAACAGAACAUAGAACAACCAUGCAUACCGGGUCACACUCCAGUCCAAGCAACCGUGUGCAUAUAACAUAUAAUCAUAUAACAGUUCACAGUCAGCCAAUCGGUCAAACAGAUCACAUAACAUAUCAUCACCCUAACCAAUAUAUCGGCCUAGCCGAUCACUAGCGUAACAUCACCCUACGACUCAUCCAACAUACUAAUUACGCACACACGCCUUUCCAGGCCAUGACCUUCCGGUCCACAUCAUAAUGCCUUCCGGCCCAUAUCCCGCAAUAUCAUAACAACAGACAACUCCCCGGAUUUGCAUCCGAUAAAGGGUCGGCCUUGGUGCCUUAAACCCCGUUGAUAUAGUAAGGAUAACUCACCUCGAAAAUGCCGUCUGAACAGAUAACCCAAGUUGCUCCGAUCACUGAUACGAUCUCCACCACCGGACAACCACCAAUGCACUGAACUCAAAACAAUAAUCAACAAUUACCAAAAUGCCCCUGGAAACCACUGGUCAACCCUUGGUCAAAGACAAGGUCAAAGUCAACCCCUGACUGACUCUACUCGCCGAGUCAACCCGAUGACUCGCCGAGUCCCCAUACUCAGAACUUCCCUCAAUCCGAGAACUAACUCGCCGAGUCACCCCGAGACUCGUCGAGUUUAACAACUCUGAGUCCACUCGCACACAACUCACCGAGUCAUCCCUUGACUCACCGAUUCUCGACUUGACAAGAAAAUAUUGGGACUCUUCGAUAAGACUCGUCGAGUCCAAGAAUAGACUCGCUGAGUCUAAGGCUAUCUUCAACCUACUCGCCGAGUUGUUCUUCCAACUCGUCGAGUUCCAGCUCAUCUUCAAGCAACUCGUCGAGUACACCCAUGUGACUCGCCGAGUACCACCGGUCUGAAUCCAUACAGAAGCAUUCCAGGCCAUGCAAUUGCUCCAAAACAUAGAUCUAGCCUCCUACAACUCAUCCAUCACGUAAAGUGGCAAACUUUACGUGAAUCCAAAGAGAUCUAUGCAUUUUGCACAUUAGGGCUAAGGUUUGGGACAUGAUAGCUUCAUCCAACACUCAACACAGGGACUUUCAUGCAUUCCAACUCUUCUCCAUUCCAGAUCUGAGGUAGCAACCUCAGAUCUAACCUCUAAACUCCAAUACAUCCAAAGAUAUGAUCUCUAAUAUCCCCAAAAUGAUGCAUCUAAGAAAUAGCAGCUCAAAAACGAGAUAUUACCUCAAAAGAACGCCCCAACUGCAAUGAAACUUGAAUCCAAGCAAAGCCCCUUGCUCCAAGCCUCUCCUUCUCUAAGAUCUCUUCAAUAACCACCUCUCCAAGCUCUAAUUUGCUCAACAAUGGUGCUUCUCCAUGAUUUUAGGGUUUCUGGGACUCAAGGGGUGAUAAAGAGGCUGGGAGGAAAACAUAAUGUUCUUUAUAUAGGGCUCAACCCCGAGAAUUAGGGUUUUCUCCACUCAGCGCCUACUCGCCGAGUCCACCUCAUUGACUCGCCGAGUCGGCUACUUAACACGCGACCAAAUCGCGACUCUACUCGCCGAGUCCAUCCAUGGACUCGCCGAGUCACUCCUUCCCAAAUUACACUUUUAGCCCUUCAACUCUACUCUUGCUAUUUCGGGAUGUUACAAUUCUCCCCCACUUAAAUUAGGCUUCGUCCUCGAAGCCUACAACAAUUCAAUCCCAAAGAUACUCCCACAACGCGCCACCUGGCCUUAACCGGGCCAAGUCCCUCAAGGCAUACCCAUCGAAACUCAAACACACUUCCUCUUUCCUUACGGUGUCCUGAGCACCGUCUCGAACCGGGAACCGGCUGUACCCUCUGAUAAUCACACUCAGCAACCAAGAAUUACCCAUGAAGCAUCACUACCCCAAAUCUCGACAAUCACUCGUCUCAUAAGGGCUAGAAAGCCAUGAACCAUCGGAUCCCCGAUCUGAAUUCCACUCUAUCCAUUUCGUGAUGACGGAAAGACCCAUUCUCGAUCUCAAAGAAACUCCCACGAGUUCUCCUCUUGCAAUCACAUACACAUGCGGAACUUGCUCCAGCACCCUCAGGUUGGGAAAACCCGAUACACUGAUGAUAUCCUCCAACAUCCCCCAGGAUGAAUCACUAAUACAUAUCCAAUACCAUGAUCAGAAUCACACUAAGAGCCCAAGACUCUCUCCCUGCAUCCCUUUCGAGUCUCUUGGUUCUACAUCUGCGGAAAUCUCUCUCGCGUCGUCAGCAGACAUCUCAUCACGCUAUCAUUCGAUACCCCCAUCGCAAUCACGCUGCUCAAAGACCACCGUCGGACCACUCCGACCAAAACUCUACACCGCCGCUUUCACUUCCGUGAAUGUGCUCUUCCUCUCGGAGCUACACUCCUCUCCCUCUUUCCUUACCAAGGGAAUCCACUUGGCUGUCUUGUCACCACAACAAGUGCCACGGUGCUCACCUAACGCUGCACCACCCCUUUAUAACGUAACCGCUAUCCAUGCAAUACAUAUGCCCUGAAUCAGCUCACAAGGAGUCUCGAGUCCAUGCACCAUCUCUACUAAUCAAGAUCAAUACCCGGGGCCAGACCUUCUCGUGCAACACAUCACAACAUAACCAAUCCAUUUCCUCGGACCGAUCCGAUAAUACCUGCAGAGUCUUCAGCAUGACUAGACCACCUCACCAGGUCUUCAGUCUGGCUGAACCGUCCUCCCGAGCCUCCGGUCUGACUGAUUCGCCUUCCGGCCGUCAGUCUCUCUGGACCGCUCAAACAGCACUCAUCAUACCGAGCCAUCCCUCCGGGAAUCCUCCCAUGCAUACUGUUCUCGCCCUCUAAGGGUUCCGAACUCUAUCUCCAACAUACAUACUCAAUCCCGACCCGAUUUCCAGGCCCUCCACACUCAAAUGCCCCAGGUCUGUAAUCCGCCCCGAACGCCUGCUACUCACCCAUACCAGCCUGCUCUCGGCUGAAUGAAAUACCGCCGAAAUCCCAAGCAGCUAAACAGCCUCUCAAGUCCAUCGAUCACCCGGAGAAUCCUCCGAUUCUCCCCCACUUGGACACUAACUAUCAUCCACCGGUCGCCAUCACCGACCUCCCAGAACAACUCUUUCACAAAGAAAACACUUACACGCGGACUGCUUCCCACAAGCAUAAACAACCUCAACGAGAUCUCACAUCAACACCGAUCAACCUGCUCGAAGGAAACUCAAUCUGCAUCUAACCACUCCUCAGAAAGCAGAUGCUACCUGGCCUGAAUCCCAAUGCCGGGUUGCCACUAAUAACCCUCGUGAAUGAUAACCAAUGGAAUUCCCAAAACAAUAACCCAUAACCAAAACCACAACCCGCAAAAUGACGAAUACCGCAUCGAAAACCCCACAAAGAUACCAGCACAAAACAAUACACCACAAUAAUCACAAGAUAACAAGACGUCAAGAAAGAAACAUACCCGCAGCUGCAUCCGGCACUGCCCUGACCUCCUGUGCUACAAGCUGAAAAGCACGACCCUGAGCCCUUGGGGGCUCUACUCCACCCUGACCUCCCCUGUGAUCCUCAAAGUGGCCGGUGCUGGAGCCUGCACCGGUCCUGCAACAAGCUGUGAGUUGACCCUCAAAUGCCCAACCUGAUGACAAUGAUAGCAAAUCCUCAAAUCCCGAACUGGCGCUGACUGCCAAAAAUCCCUCGCAUAGUGCCCCUCCUUUCCGCACUUGCGGCAUGCACCACCGGACCAACAAACUCCGGCGUGACCCUUUCCACACUUCCCACAAGUGUGACUACCCUGCUCUCCUACCCUGGAAUCGACGGUCUUGGACCGUUUCGGCACCGACUGCAACUGCACCGGAGCCUGCCUCAACUCACGCAACCGCAAUUCAAUCUGUAACUCACGCCGCCUGGCGGCCUCCUGCAAUUCCAACAAGGUCUCGCACCUCUGUGUAGACACCCACUGUCUGAUAUCCCUCUUGAGCAUACUUAGAUAUCGGGACAUCUGAGCCUGCUCCGAAGCGAACUCAGGGCAAAACAUUGCCCUCUCAGUGAACAUUCUAGUGAUCUCCGUCACCGACUCCGAACCUUACUUCAGCUCAAGGAACUCCUGAGCCAAUCUCUCCCUCUCAACUUGCGGAGCAUAACGAGUGAUGAACAUUUCUCUGAACUGAUCCCACAAAUACGCAGCCCUCUGCGCAUCCGAAUAUGACCCCGUCGUCAAUCUCCACCAAUCCUUUGCCCCGAGCCUCAACAGGUUCAGAGCACACCUCACCCUCUGAUCAGCAGGGCAUGAACACGUGAAGAAACACCCCUCCACGUCNGAAUCCUCGCAUCCAACUCGUACAUGCUCAUCUGACCGAUGACCUCGGGCGGCACCGAUCCGCCCGGAACUCUCUCUCCAGCUCCCGAUCCUGAUCCGGAUCCACUCUCAUCAUGCCUCGGAAUCUCCAUACUGGAAAACACCACACAAAAUCUCAGACUCUUCCCACUUAUCCUAGGAUCCAACUCUCUCAACCCAUCCCUAGAGAUCAUGGUUUCCCUGAUACGCGUAUGGGUCCUGUGCUUUCAGUAGUACGGGCCCAUACUACCUUCCACACCUACCCAUAUUUGUAUGAAGUACUACCACAACGCCCUAGAGAAACAUGCAUAACAACGCUCAACCCUCACCACUAGAGGAACACUGAAAAUCUCCCAUAAGGAACCCUAGGCUACAGACAUCACAAAUCAGGCAACAUAUCAUGAAAUCCUGAAGAUCCCUAGCCUAUCACUAGCAUGCUGUUCUAUCAAAGCUCAUUAAAACAAAUAUCAUGAAUGGUAAUUUGGGGAUACUUACUGGCUCCGGCUGAUCGUACCUCCGCGUCCUCCUCUUACUUAAUUUAAAAACCAUUUUAAUUUCUCUUUUAAAACCUCCCUCGAUUUGAGACUGGAGUCACACGAGUGUUCCUCCAAUUCACUCAAACCAAGGCUCUGAUACCAACUUGUAACGACCGAAAAAUACAACCAAUUUUAAUUUUUUUCAAAACAUCUCGAUUUCAUUAAAAUCUUUACAAAAAGUUUUUCAAUACAAAACAUUUAACGAGUUCCUAGAAUCACAUCACUAUAAAAUCAUGAGAAGCGGUACGAUCAUGCCUUCGCCUAGCCACGAUCUCCUGAAGAACCUGAAAACAUAAAACCAAAACUGUAAGCCUGAAAGCUUAGUGAGAUACCCCCAAAAUACCAACUACAUAUACGCCCUUCCAGGUCACGACCUUCCGGUCCAAAACAUAUUGCCUUCCGGCCCAUAACAUAUUGCCUUCUGGCCCAUAACAUAUUGCCUUCCGGCCCAUAACAUAACAGCAUACAUAACAUAACAGAACAUAGAACAACCAUGCAUAUCGGGUCACACUCCAGUCCAAGCAACUGUGUGCACAAAACAUAUAAUCAUAUAACAGUUCACAGUCAGCCAAUCAGUCAAACAGAUCACAUAACAUAUCAUCACCCUAACCAAUAUAUCGGCCUAGCCAAUCACUAGCAUAACAUCACCCUACGACUCAUCCAACAUACUAAUUACGCAUAUAUGCCUUUCCAGGCCAUGACCUUCCGGUCCACAUCACAAUGCCUUCCGACCCACAACAUGUAAUGCCUUCCCGCCCACAACAUAUAAUGCCUUCCGGCUCACAACAUAUAAUGCCUUCCGGCUCACAACAUAAUGCCUUCCGGCCCAUAUCCCGCAAUAUCAUAACAACAGACAACUACCCGGAUUUCCAUCUGAUAAAGGGUCGGCCUUGGUGCCUUAAACCCCGUUGAUAUAGUAAGGAUAACUCACCUCGAAACUGCCGACUGAACAGAUAACCCAAGCAGCUCCGAUCACUGAUACGAUCUCCACCACCAGACAACCACCAAUGCACUGAACUCAAAACAAUAAUCAACAAUUACCAAAAUGCCCCUGGAAACUACUGGUCAACCUUUGGUCAAAUACAAGGUCAAAGUCAACCCCUGACUGACUCUACUCGCCGAGUCAACCCGAUGACUCGCCGAGUCCCCAUACUCAGAACUUCCCUCAAUCGGCGACCUAACUCGCCGAGUCACCCCGAGAAUCGUCGAGUUUAAUAACUCUGAGUCUACUCGCACACAACUCACCAAGUCAUCCCUUGACUCACCGAUUCUCGACUCGACCAGAAAAUAUUGGGACUCUUCGACAAGACUCGCCGAGUCCAAGAACAGACUCGCUGAGUCUAAGGCUAUCUUCAACCUACUCGCCGAGUUGUUCUUCCAACUCGUCGAGUUCCAGCUCAUCUUCAAGCAACUCGUCGGGUACACCCAUGUGACUCGCCGAGUACCACCGGUCUAAAUCCAUACAAAAGCAUUCCAGACCAUGCAAUUGAUCCAAAACAUAGAUCUAGCCUCCUACAACUCAUCCAUCACGUAAACUGGCAAACUUUACGUGAAUCCAAAGAGAUCUAUGCAUUUUGCACAUUAGGGCUAAGGUUUGGGACAUGAUAGCUUCAUCCAACACUCAACACAGGGACUUUCAUGCAUAAAAACUCUUCUCCAUUCCAGAUCUGAGGUAGCAACCUCAUAUCUAACCUCUAAACUCCAAUACAUCCAAAGAUGUGAUCUCUAAUAUCCCCAAAAUGAUGCAUCUAAGAAAUAGCAGCUCAAAAACGAGAUAUUACCUCAAAAGAACGCCCCAACUGCAAUGAAACUUGAAUCCAAGCAAAGCCCUUGCUCCAAGCCUCCCCUUCUCUAAGAUCUCUUCAAUAAUCACCUCUCCAAGCUCUAAUUUGCUCAACAAUGGUGCUUCUCCACGAUUUUAGGGUUUCUGGGACUCAAGGGGGUGAUAAAGAGGCUGGUAGGAAAGCAUAAUGUUCCUUAUAUAGGGCUCAACCCCGAGAAUUAGGGUGUUCUCCACUCAGCUCCUACUCGCCGAGUCCACCUCAUUGACUCGUCGAGUCGGUUACUUAACACCCGACCAAAUCGCGACUCUACUCGCCGAGUCACUCCUUCCCAAUUUACUCUUUUAGCCCUUCCACUCUACUCUUGAUAUUUCGGGAUGUUACAAUGUGAGACGACUUAAUUUUAUGAGACCGUGAGACGUAAUCUUAACCACUCGUUUAGUAGAUAAAACAAAAACAUUUUUAAAAUGCUAAUUUUUUUAUAAGGGCGUUAUAAGGUUACUACCUAUAAAAUGGCAGUUUAAUGGACGUCCACUCUCACCCACCACUUCUGUGACUGGUGGAGGGUCGUUAGCUGAACGGGUAGGAUAGGACUAUAAUUCUCCUUAAGUAUAAUGAUAAUCAUAAAGUAACUAAUCCUUUUAUAAAUUCUUAAUCUUAGUUACUUUAGGAAAAUGUGAAAUUGAUGCUAAUCAAUGAAAAUUGCACGUUGCACUUUACCAAUUCGUUGAUGGAGCGUGUGUGGUUAAUCGACACAUUAACUUGGACUAGUAAGGGUGGCAAAGGGUGGCUUGAUGUUUAUCAUAAGAUCAAUGGAGCAUGUGUGGUUAAGCAACACAUUGAUUGGGUGAUAAAAUCGAGGGUACCAAGCACAUUUUGCAUGGUUAUUCGCACCUUGUUUGUGAUCCUCGAUAUCCCAGUCACAAACCUGAAGGGCAUAAUCGAGAUUUAAACAUGCCAUUGAAUUGUUCAAUGAAUCUCAAAGGAUCUUGAGUUUCAAUCCAAUUACAACUUAAUAAAUAUUUUGUUUUUCAUGGUGAAACUUGGUAAAUCGUCAUUUACCUACCUUUAAAUAUUUUGGAAGUUAGAUUACGACAUCCCUCUUCCAAAUUGUAAAGUAUUGUGUUGGGUCCUAGCCUUAAUAUUUCAUUUGGGUGUUUUAUUAAGGACUCUUUAUCUAAUCUAAACUUGUCUUUCUUUCUUCUCAGAUGUCUUGCAACACUGCGUCUGGCUCAAACCCUACUGGCUCCUUCGCUCUCAUGAACCUUUGUGGAAGAGUCAUCUUUGAUGGUUCCAACUUCAAUUAAUGAAGUAGGAACAUCAAGAUGGUCACUCGUUAUGAGGACAAGGAGUAUGUCCUUGACAAGGAGCUAAAGGAAAUUAACGAGUCUUCUGCUCCUCCUAAGGAGAUUGCUGUGUUUAGGACACAUGAGAAUGAUGCCACCAAGGUGGCUUGUAUCUUGCUUGCCACUAUUUCAGCUGAACUCCAAAAGUCCUAUGAGGACUUCUACCCUUUUGAGAUGCACCAGGACCUGAUGGAAAGAUACCAUCAGAGUGCUCGUCAAGAGAGGUAUGAAAUCAUCUCGCCAUGGUAACAACCAGGAUAAAGGAUGGUGAACCUAUCAUGCGCCACUUGCAGAAAAUGCAAAGAUUUGUGGACCAGUUGCUAAAGUUGAAUAUGAACUUUCCUGAGGAGUUGGCUAUAGAUAUCAUUAUACACUCUUUACCUCCAUGUCAUGAUCAGUUCCGAAUGACCUAUCAUAUAACCAAGGAGGAGGUCACACUUAGCAAACUUCAAGGGCUUUUGAGGACUACCGAAAGUGGUCUCAAAGGUAAAUCGGUUGUUACUACUCCUAUCACUUCCCCUGUUCUGGCAAUUGGACAAGGGAAAGGAAAGAAGAGGAAGGGUUCCUCAAAGAAUCGCAAGGGAAAGUCUCUUGAUGGAUACUUUUCAAGUGGGACCAUGGCUGGUUCUGCUACUCCCAUUUCCAUUCCUAAAAAGCAGAGUGUUUCUAUUCCCAUGAAAUGGGCACUGGAGGGGAUGUUGUCCCAAAUACUUGCAGGAUGUUAAAGAUGAGAAGGUUAAACCCACCCAUGCAAGUGUUUAUACUAUUCUAUCUAAAAAAUCAUCACAUACUAACUCUUGGGUGCUUGAAACAGGUUGUGGAUUUCACAUUUGAUCUGAUGUGUAGGGCCUAAAUAUGAGUAAGGAUGUGGAGCACGGGAAGAUAAACUUGAUCAUCGGGAAUAGGAAGGUGUCACCUGUCACUAAGAUUAGAGUUUACUCUUUAUUGCUUAGUAGUGGGUUAGGAAUAGAUUUGAAUAAUUGUUUCUACUCGUCUGAUAUGGCGAGAAAUAUUAUUUCCUUUCAUGGUUUGUACAAACAAGGUUUCACAUUUUCGUUUGGUAAUGAAAUUGGUGCAAUAAAUGCUUAUUAUAAUGGUGUUUUUUUAUUUUAAAGUAUUGCCUUGUAAUGGUGUAUAUGAAACUAUGAAUGUUGUAGACAACUUAGGAAAUGAUGUGCUACAUAUCGAUUCUUCCAAUGAAUUAGAUAAAGCAUGCUUGUCGCAUUGUCGUCUUUGAUAUGUCAACAAGAAGCGUAUAGGCCAACUCCAAAAGGCUGGAGUUUUGGAGUCAUUCGACUUAAGGUCGGAUGAUUCUUGUGAAUCUUGCUUACUUGGAAAGAUGGCUAAAUUACCCUUCACUGGUACUUAUGAAAGGGGUGAAGUUUUGUUGGAUCUCAGACACACCGAUGUGUGUGGGCCCUUUAGAACCGCCACAAGCGAUGCUAACUGUUUCUAUGUGUCUUUUACUAAUGAUUACAAAAGAUAUGGCUAUAUCUUCUUAAUCAAUCAUAAGUCAGAAACCUUGGAGAAAUUCAAAGAGUUUAAACAGGAAGCGGAAAAUCAGUUGGGCAGGAAGUUGAAGAUGCUCCGAUCUGAUCGGGGUGGUGAGUAUCUUCGUAUUGAGUUCCUAGACUAUCUUAAGAAGUGUGGAAUUUUUUCACAUUUGACGCCACCUAGGACACCACAACUUAAUGUUGUGGCUGGGAGGCACAACCGAAACUUGUUGGACAUGGUUUGUUCCAUGACGAUUCGAGCUUCGUUACCAAUCUCAUUACGGGGGUAUGUCUUAGAGACUACUACCGAUAUCCUUAAUCUAGUCCCAACUAAGAAGGUUGCCAAAACACCUCACGAGAUGUGGACUGGGAAGGCUCCCACAUUAGGCCACAUCAAGGUUUGGGGUUGUAAUGCUUUUGUGAGGCGCAAGACUCACAACAAGCUCGAACCUCAGAGUAAGCAGUGUAUUCAUCAGCUAAGCACAAAAAUCAUUUGGUUAUCUCUUCUAUAGACCGAGUGACAAUGUUUUCUUCGUUGAGAGGAGAGGAUUCUUUCGCGAGAGAGAGCUAAUAGGCCAAGGAGACAGUGGGAGACAAAUUGACCUUGAAGAGAUUCAAGAGUCAAGCGGUUAAGGAACCUCAAACACUAGCGUUCAACCUGAGGAGGAAACUCCUGUUGAACCAAUCGACAAGUCUGUACCUCUAAGGCAUUCCUGUAGAGUUAGUGUUCCACCUGAGUUCUAUGGUUUCCGUAUUACUGUAGAAGGUGAUACAUUUAUUAGUGAUAGCACACUGGUAAAUUUGGAUGAACAUAACAACUACAAGGAAGCCCUGGCAGGCCCUGAGUCUUCUAAAUGGAAAGAGGUGAUGGACAACGAGAUUCAGUCCAUGUAUGACAAUCAAGUUUGGAACUUGGUUGACAAUGUACCAGGUCAUAAGACAUGGAUGGAAAUGUAUACACUUAUAAGUCGGGACUGGUCACGAAGGACUUUUCUUAAACUCCGGGAGUUGACUCUGAUGAGACCUUCUCGCCAGUAGCGAAAAUUAAGUUUAUUAGGGUGAUGCUAGCCAUAGUUGCAUUUCAUGAUUAUAAAAUAUGGCAAAUUGAUGUCAAAACCACUUUCCUUAGUGGGAAGUUGGUUGAGGAUGUUUACAGGAGUCCACCAGAGGGUUUUGUCGAUGCUAAGUACCCUAAUAGAGUGUGUAAGCUUGAGAAAUCCAUUUAUAGGUUGAAAAAAGCAUCUCACAGAUGGAAUAUUUGUUUCGAUGAGAAAGUCAAAGAGUUUGGUUUUUCGAAAAGCAAGGAUGAGUCCUGCGUAUAUGUCAGAGCUAGUGGGAUUAUUGUUAGCUUUUUAGUACUUUAUGUGGAUAACAUACUACUCAUAGGAAAUGGCAUCCCAACCUUGUAGGAGGUGAAAUCUUGGAUUGAGAAAUGUUUCGCUACGAAGGACCUUGGAGAUGGAAUAUUUGUUUCGAUGAGAGAGUCAAAGAGUUUGGCUUUUCGAAAAGCGAGGAUGAGUCCUGCGUAUAUGUCAGAGCUAGUGGGAUUAUUGUUAGCUUUUUAGUACUUUAUGUGGAUAACAUACUACUCAUAGGAAAUGACAUCCCAACCUUGUAGGAGGUGAAAUCUUGGAUUGAGAAAUGUUUCGCUACGAAGGACCUUGGAGAAGCUGCCUAUAUCCUAGGGAUAAGGAUAUUGAGAGACAUGAGUAAGAGAGUAAUUGGACUUAGACAAAGUACCUACCUAGACAAAGUGUUGAAGAGGUUCAACAUGCAUAAUUACAAGAAAGGUGACUUACCGAUCCAGAGCAAUGCCAAACUGAGCAAGGCUUAGAGUCUGAGUAAAGAAGCUGAGAUACCUGAGAUGUGUCGAAUACCAUAUGCUUCCCCUGUUGGCUCGAUCUUGUAUGCUAUGACUUGUACUCACCUUGAUGUGGCUUUUGCUUUGAGUAUAGUCAGCAGAUAUCAAGGGAAUCUAGGAAAGGCUUACUGGAUAGCGGUAAAGAACAUUCUAAAGUACUUGCGGAGGACUAAGGACUGGAUCCUUAGCCUCGGUGGGAGUGAUGACUUGAGAGUGACAGGGUAUAGUGAUGCCAGCUUUCAAACCAACAUAGAUAAUUUCUGCUCUCAUUCAGAGACUGUAGUUUAUUCAAAGCUCCAAGCUGGAGACUGUAGUUGAUUCAAAGCUGGAGACUGUAGUUGAUUCAAAGUGCGAAUCAGAGUACAUAGUAGCAAGACAAAACAACAAUGGAGGAGCAGUUACUUGGAAAAGGUCCAAGCUGGAGACUGUAGUUGAUUCAAAGUGCGAAUCAGAGUACAUAGUAGCAAGCGAAACAACAAAGGAGGCGAUAUGGCUGAAGAACUUCACCAGAGAUCUUAGAGUUGUACCAGCUGUACAAGAGCCUGUGGAAAUUUUCUGUGAUAGCGGUAGUGUGGAAUCGAGGGAUCAUGGCAGGUCCAAACACAUCGACAGGAAAUAUCACUUUGUAAGACACAAGAUAGAAGAAGGACUCCUCGUGGAAAAGUGGGUAUCAGCAGACGAGAACCCGAUAGAUCCCCUCACGAAGGGGCUGAGUAGGGUUAAGAAUUUACAGCAUGCGAGGCGCAUUUGGCUGAUGGAUCAUAUUAGUUUUAAUGAUUAGAUAGCUUUCGAAACAUGUAAUAGUUGAAAUGUAAUUGACAUUUGAUUCAUAAAUAAAAGGUGCUUUUUAUUUACUAGUAUUGUACUGUCUUGUGUCAAUCAUUUACUAUUGUUUCACUUUGCAUGUUUUGACUUCUUGAAUAAUUAUAUUAUUCAAACUAUCCACAGUCGAUCAUACGUUGGAAGUAGGUAUUAAAUUAAGACUAUCAUGAAUUUGGUUUGUAGAUUUGUCUGAAUGGUAUUAGACAUAGCAAAGUUUUGCUGCAACAUUCAUGAGUGCUCAUAAGGUCUAAGUAUUGGAUUAAACCCACACUCACUUGUAUCACUUUAUGGAAUUCAUCUCGAGUGAUCGUGAGAUGAUAAUAUCAUAUAAGUCUUCAAAUCUAGGUAUAUAAGUUGUUGACUAUGAGUUGGUUGUACAUUGGUAGUACGAAAGCGCAUCGGUAACUCGAUGUUAUAAAGCAUGUUGUUGUGUAUGAUUAAAUGAAUAGUUAGUACAAGCAUAUACUGUCGAAGUUUAUCUGUUCCUUUUAGUCCUUGGAAGAUUAAAAGUGAUAUCUUGGGUCCCUCGAUGAUUUUUUUUAACUAUGUGUCGGGCCCGGUCAUAACUCAAUUGAUGUGUUCGAUUAAGUUGUAUGUCAAACAAAUCGGAAAUCGGGAAACAAAUUGUUGGACAAUAAGUAUGGCAUUGUUCCAUGUAUUUGACUGGCUGAUAUCUUGAGAAGAGAGGAUUAUAUGAUCACUUGUCUGAAAUGGCGCGUUCUAGUUCAACAAAGUUUUAAGAGCUACGAUUGCCGGUUGGUUCCUGAAGUCGUACUUGCAACUAUAGUUAUUAGACUUAUCCAAGUAGGAGACUAUUGGAUAAGGUGUCUAAGUCCAUAACUAUAUUUGGUAUCUACUCGACUCGAGAGUAGCAUGGUCCAUUCGGGUUGCACUUUACCAGAACAAUUUCUACGAAUGGACUUUUGAGAAAGGUUAUUUUUGGUUUAUUAAUAUGAAAUCAUAUUAUUUAAUUAGUAUUGAUCAAGAAUUAAUUUUGUGAUCAAAAGAGACUAAUUAAAUGUAUGGGUAUUGAUUGCGUAAAUCAUUCAUUCUUAUAUAGUGGGCUUAUGAUCCAUAGUUCUCUAUGUUGGGCUAAACCAAUGUGGUGACCCAUGGAUACUCCAUGGAGGUUCAAACCCAUGGAGCCUAAAGAAUGUGGAAAGUCAUGAACAUUGGCGUUUGCAUGGUGUAACCCUAAUCAUGAAACACUACAUAAGAGAUCCCUUAUGUGACAACCCGAAAUUUCCAUUCUGAACAAACCAUAUCAAGCCAAUAGAAGUUGGAACAGUUACAGAGAAAUUCCAGACUUUGGGUAUAAGUUUGAGUAUUUCAGGUUUAACACUUAAGGAGAUAUCAGGAGAGUGGAUGCACUAGGGUUUUGUGCAACACUGUUAUUCCAAUACUCUAUGAUAUUAGAGUUCAUUCCGGGAAUAAAAUAUUUUCUGUUAAAAAUCUCAGGACUAUAAAUAGAAUUCUGAAUCAAUUUCAUUCAUUAUUCACAUUUUCAACUAGAGAAAAGCCAUUUUCUCUCUCACAGAUUUUCGGGUUUUCAUCCCAAAUCGUGAGUACCUCUCUCUAGUAGUGUUAUAUAGCUUAUAAUGUGUUUAUAACAUAUAUUACAUAGCUAAACAACUAGAUUUAGGAGUUUACUCCCCAAGGUGUUCCUGGGCGGUAAACUCCCGAAACAAUGCCUAGCCUUUCCCCCGUGAUAUGUUACUACCUUAGGCUUGUAUAUAGGUGUAAUUGAGACAAGAAAACAACAAUGAAAAACCAAAGUUUGGGUGUUCACGGCCCAAGAAGAUCUUGGACCAUGAACUCCAAAAAAAACAUGGACCAAAGAGUGCUUUUAAUGCACCUAAAGCCUUGGACUAUCAAAUAGAAUUAAUUCCACUUAAAUCAAGGACUUUAAAACAUCAAAAACCCCUCCCAAAGAGAGAUUACGGCCGUAAUCUCUAAGGGAAAAGGCUCUUGGGCCGUAAACAUGAAAGAAGGGCACCAAUGUGUGCCUAAGGCCUUCAUUAGCCUUAGAUAAAUGUGUAGAACCUAUCCUACAUGAGUUUGGGGCUUGAAAGCACAAAAAUAUCCACUUCCACAUGAGUUUACGGCAGUAAACUCAAAAGGAAAUGGCCUUGGGGCCAUAAACUCCUCAAAGGAGUGUAUCUAUGCCCUAAACCCUCCCAAGAAAUUAACCACCAAAUUGGAAUACUUCUAAGGAUCAUUUGGAACUUCAAAACAAAAAAUGUCACCAAGCUUGUGAGUUCACGGCCGUAAAAUCAAGAGUUUACAACCGUAAACUCCUUGUGUGUUGGUUAUGAUAGAGUAAACUCAUGUAUAGAGUCCUUUGGAACCCUAAACCCAAUUGCAUUGUCCCACAACAACUUAGAUGCGAUCCUUAGGGCUUAUAACACUUAUAUAAAGUUUUUAUUAUGUUCUAGGAUGUCUUAACAUUAUCAAUUAGUAAUUUAAGACUAAUUGAGUGCAUAUAUGUGUGAUUAUAUGUUCAUUAGGAUCGUAGUGUGUGUACAAGUCCUCACUUGACACCUAACAAUCAUACACCGUCCAGUUCAUCCAAACCACCAUCUACAGGUGAGUUCAUACCCCUAAAUCAAUGUUUUAAAUGAUUUUAAAUGCUUUAAUGGGGGGAAUACAAGUAGAAAACAAUAUGUUAUUAAAUCACUCUUAUGUAUUUUAUAACUGUGUUUUCAUUCAGCAGAUUUCACAUACUACAAAAUGUGAUGCAUGAAAUGGUUUUCUAUCUUAAAAAUACUUUGUUAUCAAAUGUAUUACUUUUGAAGUGUAUAUUAAAAUGACAUCAAGUCAUCGUUAAUUAUUAUUCAACACUCUUAGAUGUCUUAGAAAACCAUUUUUACCUUCUUAAACAAAACUAUACUUAUACACUUAUGUUCAUAUAAAUGUUUUGAGAUUAUAGUUUUCGUCUUUCGUUCAGUUUCCUACACUCUUGUGUAGCAAGGGUGUAUAAACCUACUUGAACAACGAAUUAGCUUUAAGUUAACUAUCAUAGGGAUAGUUAGAAGAUAUCAAACAUUAUUCCUAUUACAAGGAAUCACACAAGAGUUAGUUCAUUCAUGAGUCCAUACAAGUACAUUACAUGAUACAUGAGUACACUUACAUAUGCUUACAUGAUACAUGAGUUCACUUACCUGGAUACUUGUACCUAGAGUUAUGAGGAAGAUUUAUUUGUACUUUCUGUGUAAAUUGUCAUGUCUAUCCAAGUACCCAGGAUAACUGGGCGGGACUAACCAUUCCAAAUCCCAACUGAUUAGCACCAGUGGUUGAUGACCAUCUACGGAGGUCUAUGGUUACUACUUAUAAUAGGAACAUCGAUUACGGGACUAAACCUUCCUUCCCCCUGCUGCUGCUACAGAGGAUAAUUGGACAAUCUUCGGAUGUUCAAUAGGUUAUUCAUUUUGCUUACUACGAUGUUGUGUUAGUCCUAGUACCUAGUGAUAACACUUACAUUAGUACUUUUUCCUAUUUACUUUAUUUUGUGAUACAUUCACAUAAACGAGGAGUUAGACUAAGUACUUUAGUACUAGUCAAUAGAAGGGAAAAACUAUCAUUUUACUUAUAGAGCGUUCAGGUCUUGGUAGAAGACUAUCAUAUUCUUUUGUAGUGUUAGUCCUAGUACCAAAGGAUAACACUUAUAUUAUAUUCUUUUCCUACUUGACUUUAUUUUGUGAUACAUUCACAUAAACGAGGAGUUAGACUAAGUACUUUAGUACUAGUCAAUCGAAGGGAAAAACUAUCAUUUUACUUAUAGAACGUUCAGGUCUUGGUAGAAGACUAUCAUAUUCUUUUGUAGUGUUAGUCCUAGUACAAAAGGGUAACACUUAUAUUAUAUUCUUUUCCUACUUUACUUUAUUUUGUGACCCAUUCACAUAAACGAUGAGUUAGACAAAUUACUGUUUGUAAUAGUCAAAAAGGAGGAAAAACUAUCAUUUUCAUAACAGAACAUUCGGGUCUUGGUAGAAGACUAUCAUAUUCAUUUCCUAAUUUACUUUAUUUUUGUGAUACAUUCACAUAAACGAUGAGUUAGACUAAGUACUGUUUGUAAUAGUCAAAAAGAAGGAAAAACUAUCAUUUUCAUAGCAAAACAUUCGGGUGUUGGUAGAAGACCACUUUUCAUACUAGUAGGAAAUAAGGGAUUUUCUAGGGUUUUCAAAAUUAUAUCAAUUGUUUCAUUUAAAGAUAUACAAGACAUUCAUAACAGUUUCCCAAAACAAGACAAUGACACGUAAAUACUUAUGAAUUCAUUAGCUUUAGGCUGAUACUCGCUUUCAAAAUAACUUAUAUUCUCAGGUCACCAGUUAGACAAGUAUGAUGUCCAGGCCUUGAGAAGACGGAGCACAGUCAAGACUCGUCUUAUUUUGAUUAUUUAUGUUAUUGUUGUACAUUAUGAAAGAACACACAUGUACUAAAAUUUACUUUACUGCAAUGGAUGAUGUUGUUGCUUGUUUACUACUUCACACUGUUAUGAUACUACACAUGACGUCCUCCACCCCGGACCAUUUCCGCCGUUCUUGGUUUUGGGGUGUGACAGAUUGGUAUCAGAGCUUUGUUUAUAGUGAAUUAAGUAUAUCAACCCAUAAAAGAUAUACUAACUAUAAUUACAUUGGGAUUAAAACACGCUGUCUAAGAGUUUAUACUUUUAAAUAAUAAAAUAUUUAACAAAGUAUACGUGCCUGCAUUCAUACUAAAAUCCAUGUUACAAUGACAAGAACAAAUGUAUUGCGAUUGUUGAAUAUCACAGGUAAGCUCGGCGAUGUAUUGGUCAGUCUUGGGAGUGGUAUAGCCUGAUCAACUAUGCUGUUCCAAGGAGUGAUUAGCACAAGCCCAAGAAUGGUUGUGAUAUGGCAACAAGUCUAAAAACUUACCACAUUACCACAAUGAGAACAUUAUAACAGAACCUAAGUCUAAAAUACCAUAGGGGUGUUUUGCGUUACUAUAAGUACGUCAUACUUGAGAACUAAAGCGGGAUCUUCAUUACUAAGUGGAUAGUUGCUAAGUUGAUACACUAAAGUUAUAUGUAACUAGGAUGUUAUAGACUUAGAAUUGGUGAAAUUUUUGCUUUAACCCUAUUCCUUGUGAAUUUGGAGUUGAGGUCACUUAUUCGAAGGCCUAUCCUGUGUUGAUUACAUAUAACUGGUAUGCACUUUACAAAUAGCGAUGUAACUAAUGAAGAUUUCUUAAAUAAUUAUCUAGAUAGUUUGUCUAAUAAUUAUUUUCUUACCCUAAAUUCUCGGGUAGAUAACAUGGCUGGAAUCCAUCCCCAAGUCAACCUGUUACUUCCGAACGAAGUUAUUGCUGGAUGGUUUGGAGAAGAACCAGAUAAUGAUCAUCCGAUCCCUCUGAAUGAUCACCAUGCUGAAUACCUUUCAGAUGGUGCUAACUCCGAACCCGAGGUUGAGGAUCCACCCCAGGCAGCUCCCGUUCCAAUUCCUAACCCUCGUUCAGCUUUUCAUGGCCCGACGCCUCCAUGGGUGGAAUAUCUGGAAACAUGGAGCGAAGAUCAAGAUCAAUCUAUGUCGUUCAAUGGAGACCAAAGUUUCUACAACGUAAGUGAAGGGAGCUCAGCAGACAGAGUUCUACCAAUUCUGGUCCGAAGAGUUGCCAGAAACGAAAUUCAGGGCAGGACAGCCCUACAACGUAUCGCAGAAGUUGAUACAAAUGAAGGAAUGCAUAUGCUUUGCACCAGUCGCCUUGAACAUGCUCGUGAUAGAUCUGAGAGAAACCAUGAAACCCUGCUGCAAGCACUGGCUGAAUCACGAGCCGAAGUCAUAGAACUUCGAGUACGCCAGAGAGUGUAUGAAAGACACCUACUUGAUCUAGAAUGCCAACUGGCUGAAUAGAUAGUUCACCAGAGGGAUGACCAUCGCUAGUAGUAGAUACUUUACUUUAUAUUCCUUGUUAGAAAGGAAUCGUGUUUCUGUCUAUGCCCAACGUGGCAUCUUUUAUGAAACUAUCUUGUGCUGUAAGUACUUUUGGUUAGGUCUUUACGCUGUCAAGAACUAUCUUCUCUGGAUAUGAUGUAAGACCUUUUUACAAGGUCAUUUUCCCGAACUUGUACGUCAUGAAUACCAAGGAUAAUGACAAUCGGCUAACUUCUGCGUCAUUCUUUAUUCAAAUAAUUUUAUCAUACUUUCAUUAGAGUCUAUCUGAAACAUGCUUUCAUCAAUUCAUUGGACUAUAGCCAUUUAACUCCGGAGAUAUCUCCAAGUCUCUUUUAAUGGUUGGAUCACGUUAUUCUCCAACCAACGAUAUCUCGGUUAGAACGACAAACAUCUUGAGACCAUUGUACGAACUUACUUCCGAUCUUUUUAGGACUGCAUCAUAGGUAUGUAGGUCAAACCUUCGUGAAUAUACUCCCAUUCCGUACUAGGACUGCAUCAUAGGGAUGUAGGUCGAACCUUAGAGAACAUACUUCUAUUAUUUUCAUGAGCGAUCGAACUACGUAUAGGUUCAACCAUUUUCGCUCACAAAUUCAUUUUUUUCGGUAUAACAGAAUCAUGUCACCCAAGAAAAACGAUCAGCCCAUCAACCAAACACCAACUCUUCAGAUUGAUGCAGCUACCUUUCAAGCUGCCGUGUCAGUUGUUCUGACCCACCUGAACGCUAACAACGCAAGUGUUGGCAGGAUUGUUAACAAUCAUUCCAAUCCAAGUAACAAUCAAGCACCUCAACAAACAGCAAACUACCAUGAUACCUCGAAUUCCAAGACCAAGAGUAAAAAACGGAAGUCUUGGAAUAAACCUAAGGACAAGUCGCUUUGAAGGGCGAACAGGAAUCAACCACUAGUAACAACCUGCACAACCACGACAUCAGUACCUCCUACUACCAUCCCUUCGGGCAUCCCAAUUGUCCCUAAACCAGCCAAGCAAUAUGCUGGCAAUCUCCUAAAAUGCGUCCAAUGCAGCUUUCACCACCUUGGACGUUGUGGGGAAAUGUUGUGCUCAAAAUGCAACAGGAAGGGGCACACCAGACGUUUCUGCAGGAUCCUGACAAGGCCGAUCAACCAAGUGCCCAGCACUGGUGUGAACCAGGCUUGCUACGGUUGUGGCAAGGUAGGUCACUACAGAAGAAACUGCCCAGAGGCAGCAAAUGCUGGCACAGACAAAAGUGUGCUAACGACAACCACCGCAAGAGAGUCUACUCCAGACCCACGUUAAUGUAAUUUAGGCAUUUCGUUGUAACAGACUUAUGAACCAUCCCAAAACUAUUGAAACCAGAGUCUUAUCUUUUGCGAGAUCCCGUCCGUUUAGGGAUGCUCGUGUUGCGUAUACUUGUCUUUUGUAGUAUACCUUGUCCGCAGCAAUAGUCUUGUAGUAAAUCCUAAGUACAGUAACUCUGUUAAUGGUUGCACUGUUGUGUUUUGUCUGUAACGCCUUAUGUUCAAAUCUAAUGUAUUUAGUUUCCAUAUGAAUCCGACUUUAUCAUAUGACUCGAGUAAAUUCGAUCCUCGCAAUACCAGCUUCAUAAGUACAUCUCUUUCUUAGUAAACGUCUUUUAGCGAAGCCGUCAUAUCAGAACACCGAGGUACUCGUGCAUGAAGUACCUUAUAGUUCUUUUCCUUUCCGAAGGAAUCCCCAUAGUAUUACUCGUGCAGUACGUCAAGUUCAAUUCCAGGAUUUAUACGGUUGAUCUAUCACUGAAGAAUGUAUACAUGAGAGUGAUAUAUAAUCAAUGUUCUACAGUUUUAGAAUUGAUGAUUCCACUUUAACUUCUUUUCCGUUGAUGGGAUGUGAGAUUAAGGAAUAAUCAGUUAUUCGACUACUUUUUCAACCUUAAUUAUAUACGACUCGUAUACACGAGAUUGUGACCAUUGAACCAUGUAUGAAUUCUAAUAUGAACUUCAGGACGGAGAUUGUCCAAUAGUACGAGUAAAUUGCAUUGGCGUAGGAACAAACUUAGAACCCAGUAUGACUCUUAUAACCAGAUCGCCUUACAGUCUAAACACCUACGGAAGAUACAAGAACAGCCCGGACAACACAGCGAACUACUCAACAAUAGAAUUAGAAGACCAGGCUUUUCACCCUUGAGAGCUCCAGUCUUAUUCUUACCAGAAGUCGACGGAGUGCAUCAUAUGUACCUCGACGACUGGAGACUUCAUUAAGAUUUCCUUUAGAAAUCAUUGUCUUUGCCUCGCAUAGACGAGUUGAUUAAGCAAACAUAGGGAAAGAGUUACUUUCAGAAAUGGACCUGAGAUCCGAAUAUCGCCAGUUCGAGAGUUCGAGAGAUAGGGAAGGAUGUCCUGAAGACUAUCCUCCGAACUCGAUGCGGACAUUUCAAGUCCGUAGUGAUACCCCUCGGAUAGGACCAAUACGCCCAUAGUAUUCAUGAGCUAAAGGAGUAGGGUACGUCUUUCUUACUGAGAUCAGUUCGUCAUUUCUCCAUGUAAUGACUUACUUAUCUACCCUCGUAGUGAGAAAGAACCGAUGGAAACAUUACCCUCGGAGAUACUUUUCACAAAGUUCUCUGAACAUGAAUUUUGGAAUUAAAGAGUCAAAUUUCCUAAGACACACUAUUAGUGAUGUGUAAAUUCUUGAGUACUCUGGCAAGUUAUCCAAAACCGUUGGAAAAUUGUCGGCACCUUACUCACCGACGGAAAAUUCGCCAAAUUCUAGGUCUUACAGACCUACUAUCAUAGUCCAUUCAAAACUCCUCGGAAAUUUCAGAAACCCUUUGGACUUUGACCCAAGAAGGGGCGACCCUUGACUGGGAAGUUAAGCGAGAGAAAUAACCUUUGGAAUUCCAAGUGAGAGGCCCGAUUUCUUUAAGAAACCUCACUCUGGGAAUGGUUCAAUACGCUUCAUAAAGCGUGGAAAGCUAAAUCCAAUGUAGUUAGGACCUCCGAGAUUCUUAUCAGAAUCGGUCGUGCGUCUCACAAACUAGACCUACUCUGCGAACUCAAUAACGUACCUUUUACCCUUCGCGUCUCGAACAUGAAAAAAUACCUUUCCGUUAGGACUCUCAUAAGCCCUCUCGACGAGAUCGAGAUUAACGAGAUCCACACCUUCGUAUUUGAACCGUAGUGACCCUCGACCGAGAGGUCAAGCGGAUGAAGCAACGCCGUCGCCCUUUACUGAAGGUUCGUUGGGAUACCAACCGACAACCCGAUUUCACUUAGGAGCGUGAGGAACAAAGAGAUAGGAAGUUCCACUUCAUUACUCGAUCAUUCGUACCUACUUCCUUGCCUAAAUUCUAAUUUAGGAACGAAAUUCCCUUUAACAGGGGGAUGAUGUGACAACCCGAAAUUUCCAUUAUGAACAAACCAUAUCAAGCCAAUAGAAGUUGGAAUAGUUACAAAGAAAUUCCAGACUUUGGGUAUAAGUUUGAGUAUUUCAGGUUUAACACUUAAGGAGAUAUUAGGAGAGUGGAUGCACUAGGGUUUUGUGCAACAAUGUUAUUCCAAUACUCUAUGAUAUUAGAGUUCCUUCCGGGAAUAAAAUAUUUUCUGCCAAAAAUCUCAGGACUAUAAAUAGAAUUUUGAACCAAUUUCAUUCAUUAUUCACAUUUUCGACUAGAGAAAAGCCAUUUUCUCUCUCACAGAUCUUCGGGUUUUCAUCCUAAAUCGUGAGUACCUCUCUCUAGUAGUGUUAUAUAGCUUAUAAUGUGUUUAUAACAUAGACUACAUAGCUAAACAACUAGAUUUAGGAGUUUACUCCCCAAGGUGUUCUUGGGCGGUAAACUCCCGAAACAAUGCCUAGCCUUUCCCCCAUGAUAUGUUACUACCUUAGGCUAGUAUAUAGGUGUAAUUAGGACAAGAAAACAACAAUGAAACACCAAAUUUUGGGUGUUCACGGCCCAAGAAGAUCUUGGACCGUGAACUCCAAAAAAAACAUUGACCAAAGAGUGCUUUUAAUGCACCUAAAGCCUUGGACUAUCACAUAGAAUUACUUCCACUUAAAUCAAUGACUUUAAAACAUCAAAAACCCCUCCCAAAGAGAGAUUACUGUCGUAAUCUCUAAGGGAAAAGGCUCUUGGGCCGUAAACAUGAAAGAAGGGCACCAAUGUGUGCCUAAGGCCUUCAUUAGCCUUAGAUAAAUCUGUAGAACCUAUCCUACAUGAGUUUGGUGCUUGAAAGCACAAAAAUAUCCACUUCCAUAUGAGUUUAUGGCAGUAAACUCAAAAGGAAAUGGCCUUGGGGCUGUAAACUCCUCAAAGGAGUGUAUCUAUGCCCUAAAACCUCCCAUGAAAUUAACCACCAAGUAGGAAUACUUCUAGGGAUCAUUUGGAACUUCAAAAACACAAUAUGUCACCAAGCUUGGGAGUUCACGGCUGUAAACUCAAGAGUUUACAACUGUAAACUCCUUGUUUGAUGGUUAUGAGAGAGUAAACUCAUGUAUAGAGUCCUUUGGAACCCUAAACCCAAUUGCCUUGUCCCACAACAACUUAGAUGCAAUCCUUAGGGCUUAUAACAGUUAUAUAAAGUGUUUAUUAUGUUCUAGGAUGUCUUAACAUUAUCAAUUAUUAAUUUAAGACUAAUUGAGUGCAUAUAUGUGUGAUUAUAUGUUCAUUAGGAUCGUAGUGUGUGUACAAGUCCUCACUUGACACCUAACAAUCAUACACCGUCCAGUUCAUCCAAACCACCAUCUAUAGGUGAGUUCAUACCCCUAAAACAAUGUUUUAAAUGAUUUUAAAUGCUUUAAUGGGGGGAAUACAAGUAGAAAACAAUAUGUUAUUAAAUCACUCUUAUGUAUUUUAUAACUGUGUUUUCAUUCAGCAGAUUUCACAUACUACAAAAUGUGAUGCAUGAAAUGGUUUUCUAUCUUAAUAAUACUUUAUUAUCAAAUGUAUUACUUUUGAAAUGUAUAUUAAAAUGACAUCAAGUCAUUGUUAAUUAUUAUUCAAAACUCUUAGAUGUCUUACAAAACCAUUUUUACCUUCUUGAACAAAACUAUACUUAUACACUUAUGUUCAUAUAAAUGUUUUGAGCUUAUAGUUUUCAUCUUCAUUCAGUUUCCCACACUCUUGUGUAGCAAGGGUGUAUAAACCUACUUGAACAACCAAUUACCUUUCAGUUAACUAUCAUAGGGAUAGUUAGAAGAUAUCAAACAUUAUUCCUAUUACAAGGAAUCACACAAGAGUCAGUUCAUUCCUGAGUCAAUACCAGUACAUUACAUGAUACAUGAGUACAAUUACAUAUUCAUACAUGAUACAUGAGUACAUUUACCUUUGAUUACCUGAUACAUGAGUACGUUUACAUAGAUACAUUUAUCUGAAUACGCUUACAUGAAUACCAUACAUGAGUAUUGUUACAUAGAUACAUUAUCCUGUAUUCACUUACCUAGAUACUUGUACCUAGAGUUACGAGAAAGAUUUAUUUGUACUUUCUGUGUUAAUUUUCCUGUCUAUCCCAGUACCCGGGAUAACUAGGUGGAACUAACCAUUCCGAAUCCCAACUGAUUAGCACCAGUGGUUGAUGACCAUCUACGGAGGUCUACGGUUACUACUUAUACUAGGAACAUCGAUUACGGGACUAACCCUUCCUUCUCCCUGCUGCUGCUACAAAGGAUAAUUGGACAAUCUUCAGAUGUUCAAUAGGUUAUUCAUUUCGCUUACUGCGAUGUUGUGUUAGUCAUUGUACCUAGUGAUAACACUUACAUUAGUACUUUUUCCUAUUUACUUUAUUUUGUGAUACAUUCACAUAAACGAGGAGUUAGACUAAGUACUUUAGUACUAGUCAAUAGAAGGGAAAAACUAUCAUUUUACUUAUAGAACGUUCAGGUCUUGGUAGAAGACUAUCAUAUUCUUUUGUAGUGUUAGUCCUAGUACCAAAGGAUAACACUUAUAUUAUAUUCUUUUCCUACUUGACUUUAUUUUGUGAUACAUUCACAUAAACGAGGAGUUAGACUAAGUACUUUAGUACUAGUCAAUAGAAGGGAAAAACUAUCAUUUUACUUAUAGAACGUUCAGGUCUUAGUAGAAGACUAUCAUAUUCUUUUGUAGUGUUAGUCCUAGUACCAAAGGACAACACUUAUAUUAUAUUCUUUUCCUACUUUACUUUAUUUUGUGACCCAUUCACAUAAAUAAUGAGUUAGACAAAUUACUGUUUGUAAUAGUAAAAAAGGAGGAAAAACUAUCAUUUUCAUAACAGAACAUUCGAGUCUUGGUAGAAGACUAUCAUAUUCUUUUCCUAAUUUACUUUAUUUUUGUGAUACAUUCAGAUAAACGAUGAGUUAGACUAAGUACUGUUUGUAAUAGUCAAAAAGAAGGAAAAACUAUCAUUUUCAUAGCAAAACAUUUGGGUCUUGGUAGAAGACCACAUUUCAUACUAGUAGGAAAUAAGGGAUUUUCUAGGGUUUUCAAACUUAUAUCAAUUGUUUCAUUUAAAGAUUUACAAGACAUUCAUAACAGUUUUCCAAAACAAGACAAUGACACUUAAAUACUUAUGAAUUCACCAGCUUUAGGCUGAUACUCGCUUUCAAAAUAACUUGUAUUCUCAGGUCACCAGUUAGACAGGUAUGAUGUCCAGGCCUUGAGAAGACGGAGCACAGUCAAGACUCGUCUUAUUUUGAUUAUUUAUGUUAUUGGUGUACAUUAUGAAAGAACACACAUGUAUUAAAACUUUACUUUUAAUGCAAUGGAUGACGUUGUUGGUUGUUUACAACUUUACACUGUUAUGAUACUACACAUGACGUCCUCCACUCCGGAACGUUUCUGCUGUUCUUGGUUUUGGGGUGUAACACCUUAGCUCAUGAAAUCGAAACUAGAGAGUCUUUAGAAGAGCAUAUCUGAUUUAUUGAAGCAUGAAAUAUUCUCUCAAGUCUUCCAAUUAUUGCUGGUGAUUUGUGGUUCCAUUUGAGGCAUUCACAUUAUUGGUGCUAGGAUCUUAAAGCUUUAAGGUUUGCAACUACACUAAUUUAUGUCAUGUAACUAAAAUUUUUUAGUAUAUAUAAUCCAUUUUAUGCUAGUUAAUACGAUGCUUCAGAAUUUUAAAUGUUUGCAUGUAUAUUAGAGAAAACAUAGAUCCAAAGCAUCUAGGGUUGCAUGUACACCAUGGGAGUGUUAGAAUGCUCAAAACCAUUCAGUUGUUGUUUCUUUGACAAGAAUCACUCUUUUGAGCAUGUAGAAAAGAAUCUCUAUUAAGGCCAGGAUCCUUCCAAAUUUCAGGAUCCUCAAAUAUCCAGGAUCCCCAACUACAUCAGGAUCCCAGCUAAUUACCGUUAUUAUUUUUAUUGAUAUUUAUAACGGUCAUAUUUAUCUAUAACUAACACAUGUGCAGAAGUAGUCAAGAGAAGACUAAUUCUCAGCGAAAAGUCAUCUCAACUUUGCUAAAGACCCAAAAUAGUAAGUCAAAUAAUGUCCAAGAAGCUGGUCAUAGAUGAUCCAGAAAAUAUCAGACAUCUUGUUGGCUAGAUUAGACUAUAAAUUGACACUUGUAAUCUGCACAUAACACACUAUUCUAUAGCCUAAGCUCACUCUACAAAUUUCUACAUUCAUUUACUAAGAAAUCACUGUAAUCUUUACUUUAUAUCAAUAAAAUAAUCAAGGCAGGUGAUCAUUAUCACCUCCUAAGGUUUUAUGCCGGAGAUUCUAGCAAGGAUCAAAGGUUGUCCUUGUAAACCAUUAUGUCACUUUUCUUUUACUACUUGCUAUUACACAAUCUGAACAUCAUAGCUUCUCAUUCAAGUUGGUUGAUUAGUACUUGUGUAAUUUUUGACCAAAACAACUUGGUGCUUACCAUGGGGCCGUGGUGUUCAAAAAUCCUCAAAAAACAUCAUGUCUACACAAUUAAUCCUCUCUUAAUCCUUUGCUCCUUCCAUUCCAUCCAAAAACCUACUACCUCCUCGUAUUGGACCCCCCACUUAGAAGAAAACACCUGACACUUCUUUGAAAAACACGCCCCUCAAUCGUUAGUCCAGGAAGUUUUGGAUCCUCAAGGCUCCAAGAUCCAACUGCCUCAUUCGCUACUGCAGAACUCUACAUCGUGAUGAGGAAAAUGACGCAAGAGGUGACCCAACUACAUGAGGAGAAUAGAUCACUGCUCAUAGAAGUGUAGAGAAUAAAGGCGGGAUUUCAGAAAUCCCAGGAAACUAUGCCCAUAGUUGUGCAAACAAGGAUCCUAGACUUCAAUAACAUAGGAUCCUCAGCAAAUCACCAAAAGGAUACAGUUCCUACCAUUGUGGCGUAACCCUGGGGGCAACUAUGGACAACCGAUCAUCCAUGAUCAAUGGUCUCAAUGAGCCUUUCAACACUCCUAGAAACCUUGAUUCUAGUAAGUUCGUAAACAACAAUACUAUUAAUACUAACUAUACUAACGUUGAUGCAGGAAUAAACCCGAAGAUUACUAGGGAACAUCAACAAUUAAUAAAGAUGAUCGCCAUUGUAACCGGAGUGGUCCAAACAAUACCAGAAGCAUCUCCUAAAAGCCACAAGAUCUCAAAAUUCACUCCUACAAUAGCCGAUACCGAAGUUCCUAAGCGCUUCCAAACUCCCAACAUGAAGUUGUAGGAUGGAACUAUAGACCAUGAAGAGCAUAUGGCCCAAUACAGAGAACAAAUGGUGAUCAUUCACAUCCUAUGGUACUUGAAAGAAGCUUACCUAUGCAAAGGCUUUGGUUCUACCCUUAAGGAUUAGCCCUCAAAUGGCUGUUGAACGUUCGCCCAUAUUCUGUUACUUCAUUUAAACACUUCAUCAAUAUCUUUAAUAACCAUUUUUCUUGUAGCAGAACGUUCGGGAUGAUCACUAGUGAUCUCUACCAGGUGGUUCAAGAUCCUAAGGAGAAGCUUAAGGACUUUGUUAACAGAUUUGGCAGGGAAGCUUUGAGCAUCCCCAACAUCGACAUUGCCACCGUUGUGGAAGCUAUUAAAAUGGGACUAAGAAAGGAUUCACCCUUCUAUGAAGACCUAAUGAUGACCUCUUGCAAAAGACUAGACGAAGUCAGGUGUCGGGCGUUGAGAUUCAUAAGGCUGGAAGAGGAUAGAGAGAUCCAAAAGAAAAGCAACCCUUUUGGAUUGAUAUGAGAACCCCAACAGCAAGCUCGAAUCCUCAACUCAGAGAUCCUACAAAUGGAAGGCCUAUUCCAAACCGGAUAAUGGCAGGGUUAAUGCCCUUGAAGAUGCAUGAGAAGAACAAGAGCUUGCUAAAAUCAUUGACUAUUGUUUUUAUGUAGAUGUUUCAGGUGAAAUUCAUGCUAUGCAGGAUCUUGGAGAUAAAGAAAGAUGGCUAAAGAGAGACAGCAAAUCCAUCGCUUGGAAAGACAAGUCCAAAUGGUGUGCUUACCAUGAAGACUUUGGCCACAUGACGGAGGAUUGCAUAGCCCUACGAAAAGCAAUCAGCUACCUCCUUAGCAAAGGACACCUCAAAGAGAUCUUAGGCAGAAAAAGAGAAAAAUCCACGGAGAACAACCAAGAUGAUCACAGGAUCCUGGAGAAACUAGGAUCUCCACCAUCUAAUGCUAAGAUAAUUAGCGUUAUCUCAGGCGGAUCUAACAUCUGUGGUACCUCUUAUUCUCAGGCUAAAAGACACGCCAGGGUCUCCAAAAUAGAAAAGGAGGAUAGACCACGAAAGAAUACAAUGGUCAGUAGUGAAAAAGAAAUCACAUUCGAUGAGACCGACAGGGAAGGAAUUCAGGAUCCUCACCAUGACGGCCUCAUGAUAACACUGUACAUGGCUAACCAUUUCGUCAGAAGGAUCCUUGUUGACGGAGGAUCCUCUAUCAACAUCGUACUCCUACACGCGCUGAAGAGAAUGAACAUCCUGAAAUCAGAGAUAGUCAGAAGAUACUCCGUCCUCAUAGGAUUUAGUGGGAAAAAACAGUGGGAGAAAUAAAGCUUCUGGUAUGUAUAGAAGAGGUAAACUCCUUACAAAAUUUCUAUGUUUUUGAUACCCUGUCUUCUUAUAAUGUGAUACUAGGUAGACCAUGCAUCCAUGAGAUGAAAGCGGUUCCAUUAACAUACCAUCGGUGUGUAAAGUUCCCCACUCCCUGGGGGAGGAUGAAGAUCAUGGGAGAUCAGAAAUAAUUGAAAGAAUGCUACAAAACCUACAUGAAAUAUAUGACGAAACCCCAACAAGCAUAGAAAUUAAGGCAGGGGGGCACGACAUGCUCUAAAGACAAAGGAACAAGACGUAAAGGAAUUGCCUAUGGGCAUUGAGGAUUCCUAAGCUAAAGUCCUCAUAGGAUCCUCAAUGCAUGAGCAGAUCGAGCCAGAUUUAUUAAAUUUCUUAAGAACCAGAAGCAAGACAUUCGUACGGAAACACAAAGAUAUGACAGGUAUAGACAAGAGUAUUAUUACUCAUUAACUUAAUAUUAAUCCUUCUUUCAGACCAAUACACCAAAAGAGAAGGAAGUUUGCACCUGAAAGGAAUCAAAUCAUCCAAGAGGAAGUAGAGAAGCACCUCAAAACAGGGUUGAUCAAGGAAUUAAAGUUCCCAAGAUGAUUAGUCAAUGUGGUUGUCGUACAAAUGAAAAACGACUAAUAGAGGGUGUACGUAGAUUACACAAAACUUAACAAGGCUUGUCCUAAGGAUCCUUUCACCCUACCACAUAUUGAAUCUGUGAUAGACGCCACGGAUGGGCAUGAACUCCUGACCUUCAUGAAUGCUUCAGUAGGAAUCCAAGAAUAUACUACAUUCAUAACACCAACAGGUAUAUAUUGUUACACCGCAAUGCCUUUUGGUCUUAAAAAUGUAGGUGUGACAUAUCAAAGAUUAGUGAAUUAGAUGUUCAAAGACAAACUAGGGGACACCAUGGAAGUUUAUAUUAACAUCAAUGAAAGUCGAAUAUCACCUUAGAGACCUAAAUGAAGCAUUUGACAUCCUGGACAAGUACAAUAUGAAGCUGAACCCACUCAAAUGUCACUUUGGAAUGAUGUCAGGCAAGUUCCUUGGAUACAUGGUAACCAAGUUAGGGAUAGAAGCAAGCCCAGAUUAAAUAAAAUCAAUCAUGGAACUAAGACCCCCAUCUUCAAUAAAGGACAUCCAAAGGCUAACCGGAAGAUUAACAUCACUCAAUAGGUUCAUUUCAAGAUCCUCAAAAAUGUGCAAUCCAUUUUACGAUAUCUUGAAAUAGUACAAAAGAUUUGAACACAAGGAGGAACACGAGAAAGCCUUCAAGGAACUGAUAGAAUAUCUAAGCUCUGCCCUGCUACUAGUAAAACCUAUAGAUGGAGAACCACUUAUUCUCUACCUCUUUAUAUCCUCAAACACGGUAAGUGUUGUUCUGGUCAAGGAUCUUAACGGGGAACAACAUCCUAUCUACCAUGUAAGUAAACGUCUCCUACAUCCCAAAACCAGGUACUCUCACCUCGAAAAGUUAACUCUUGCCUUAGUGACUGCUUCUACUAUAUUAAGACAAUAAUUCGAAACACACACUAUACAUGUAAAAACUAACUGUCCAAUCAAGAAUGUUAUGAGAAAACCAUAAAUGUCAGGAAGGAUGGAAAAAUGGUUGAUGAAUUUAAGUAAAUUUGACAUCAAAUACGAAUCAAGAUCCGCCAUAAAAUCACAAGCACUAGCAGAUUUUAUGGUUGACUUUAAUUAUGUUCUACAAAACGAUGUAGACAUGGAAGCCAAGAGACUCCUAGAAGACGAACAUGAAGCUCCAUCUAUGAAUAAUGUCCAUUUUCCCAAGUGUUUAUCUUCUAGGAGUUGUUUGGUUUCAAUGUCUACUUCGUUUUAUGGAUCAUCACUAAAUUCAACCACAAAGUCCGCUAAUGCUUUUGACUUUAUGGCGGAUCUUGGCUCAUAUUUGAUGUCAAACAUUCUUAACUUCACUGACAAUUUUGCCAUCCUUCCUAACAUCUUUGGUUUUCUCAUCACAUUCUUAAUAGGAUAAUUAGUUUUCACAUGUAUAAUAUGUGUCUCGAAAUAAUGUCUUAACCUAGUAGAAGCAAUCACAAAUGCCACAAUUAAUUUUCCGAGAUGAGAAUACCUGGUCUCAAGAUCCAUAUGACUUUUACUUACAUAGUAGAUAGGAUGUUGGUCUCCGUUAAGAUCCUUAGCUAAGAUAGCGCUUACCGUAUUUGAGGAUACCAAGAGGUAGAGGAGAAGUGUUCUCCAUCUACAGGCUUCACCAACAAUGGUGUGGAAACUAAGUAUUUUUUGAGUUGCUAAAAAGCUUCUUCGUGUUCUUCAGUCCAUUUAAACUUCUUGCUCUUCUUCAAGAUAUUAUAUAAGGGCUUACACCUUUUUGAGGAUCUUGAAAUGAACCUGUUGAGUGUCGCUACUCUUCCGGUUAGCCUUUGGGUGUCUUUUGUUAAAGAUGGAGAUUUCAGCUCGAUGAUUUCUUUGAUCUGCUUCGGGCUUACUUGUAUUCCUCUCUUGGUUACCAUAUACCCAAGGAGCUUGCCCGAUUUCAUCCCAAUGUGGCAUUUAAGUGGAUUCAACUUCAUGUUGUAUUCGUCUAGAAUGUCAAAGGCUUCUUUGAGAUCCCUGAGAUGAUCUUCAGCUUGCUUUGACUUCACCACCAUGUCAUCAAUACAGAACUCAAUGGUGUCCCCCAACUUGUCUUUAAACAUCCGAUUCACCAAUCUUUGAUAUAUUACACCUGCAUUUUUAAGACCAUAAGGCAUUGCAGUGUAACAAUAUAUACCUUUUGACGUUAUAAACAUUGUAUCUUCUUGAUCGGAUGGUUCCAUCUGGAUUUGUUGGAAUCCUGCUGAAGCAUCCACGAAGGUCAAGAGUUUAUGGCCAGUCAUUGCAUCUAUCAUAGAGUGAAUGUGUGGUAGAGGGAAAUGAUCCUUAGAAAAAGCCUUGUUAAGAUCCCCGUAGUCUACACAUACUCGCCAUUUUUUGUUCAUCUUCAAUACGACAACCAUGUUAGCUAACCAUCUUGGUGUAACGACCAAAAAUUUUAACCAAUUUUAAAUUUUUCAAAAACAACUCGAUUCCAUUAAAUCUUUACAAAAAGGUUUUCAAUAAAAAACAUUUAACGCAUUCCCAGAAUCACAUUACUACAAAAUGAUGAGGAGCGGUACGAUCACGCCUUCGCCUCGCCACGGUCUCCUGAAGAACCUGAAAAACAUAAAACCACAACUGUAAGCCCAAAAGCUUAGUGAGAUAUCCCCAAAAUACCAACCACAUAUACCAUACACGCAUAACAUGCCAUAACAUAUCCGAUCACAGAACAACCAUGCACUUCGGGUCUACUGUGUGACUGGUCCGCCGCACCGGCCUACAGUCCACCUGGUCCACCCUCUGAGUCUAGCCAUAAACCUCGAGUCUACAGUGUGAUUGGUCCGCCCGCACCGGGCCUUCAAUCCACCUGGUCCACUCUCCGAAUCUAACCACAUACAUCGAGUCUGCAGUGUGAUUGGUCCGCCCGCACCGGGCCUUCAAUCCACCUGGUCCACUCUCUGAGUCUACAGUAUGACUGGUCCGCCCGCACCGGGCCUUCAGUCGGCCUGGUCCACUCUCCGAGCCUCGGCACGUCUGGUCCGCCCUCUUGGGGCCUACAGCCUAUCCGGACCGCUCGCUGGGCCUUCGGAACAACCGGUCCGCCCUGGGUAUCUUGGCCUACAGCACAAAGCAGGACCCGCCUCAACCCAACUCCAGUCCAAACAACCAUGUGCACAUAUACAUACAAUCAUAUAGCAAUUCACAGUCAACAAGCAGAUCAAACAGAUCACAUAACAUAUCAUCAUCCUAACCAGGAUACCGACCUAACAGGUCACUAGCAUAGCAUCUCCCUAUCUCUCAGGAUACCGAUCUCAAUCAGGUCUCUAACAUAUACCAUCCUAGCUCUCAGGAUGCAAACAUAUCAAAGCAGUAACAUAACAACAACUACCCGGAUCUCAAUCCGAUAAGGGCCGGCCUUGGUGCCUUAGACCCUGUUGAUAUAGUGAGGAUAACUCACCUCGAAACUGCCGGCUGAAAGGAUAAGAUCCCGCUGCUCCAAACUCCGACACGAACUCCUCCACUGAACACCAAAACACUCAACUCAAUAAAUACCCUUAAUUACCAAAAUACCCCUGAAAGACAACUGGUCAACCUUUGGACAAGGUCAAAGUCAACCCCUGACUGACUCUACUCGCCGAGUCAACCCGAUGACUCGCCGAGUCCCCAUACUCAGAACUUCCCUCAAUCCGCGACCUAACUCGCCGAGUCACCCCGAGACUCGUCGAGUCCAACAACUCUGAGUCCACUCGCCCACAACUCACCGAGUCAUCCCUUGACUCGCCGAUUCUCGACUCAACCAGAAAAUAUUGGGACUCUUCGACAAGACUCGCCGAGUCCAAGAACAGACUCGCCGAGUCUAAGGCUAUCUUCAACCUACUCGCCGAGUUGUUCAUACAACUCGCCGAGUUCCAGGCCAUCUUCAUCCAACUCGCCGAGUUGUUCUUCCAACUCGUCGAGUUCCAGCUCAUCUUCAAGCAACUCGUCGAGUCCACCCAUGUGACUCGCCGAGUACCACCGGUCUGAAUCCAUACAGAAGCACUCCAGGCCAUGCAAUUGAUCCAAAACAUAGAUCUAGCCUCCUACAACCCAUCCAUCACGUAAAGUGGCAAACUUUACGUGAAUCCAAAGAGAUCUAGGCCUUUAACACUUUAGGGCUAGGGUUUGGGACAUGAUAGCUUCACUACACACUCAAACACAGGGACUUUCAGGCAUUCCAACCCUUCUCCAUUCCAGAUCUGAGGUAGCAACCUCAGAUCUAACCUCUAAACUCCAAAACACCAAAAGAUAAGCUCCCCACAAACCCCAUAAUGAUGAAUCCAUAAGAAUAACAGCCCAAGGACGAGAUAUUACCUCAAAAGAACGCCCCAACUGCAAUGGAACUCGAAUCCAAGCAAAGCCCCUUGCUCCAAGCCUCCUACCCUUCAAGAUUUCCUCAACAAUUGCUUCUCCAAGCUUCCCAAUGCAAUAUGAUCACUCACACACGAAGGCUAAGGGUUUCUGGACUUGAGGAUGAGUAAAGAGGCUGGGGGAAUGAAUGUUAUGUUCUUUAUAUAGGGCUCAACCCCGAGAAUUAGGGUUUUCUCCACUCAGCGCCUACUCGCCGAGUCCACCUUACUGACUCGCCGAGUCGGCCACUUAACACGCGACCAAGUCGCGACUCUACUCGCCGAGUCCACCCAUGGACUCGCCGAGUCGCUCUUUCCCAAUUUACUCUUUUAGCCCUUCAACUCUACUCUUGAUAUUUCGGGAUGUUACAAUUCUCCCCCACUUAAAUUAGGCUUCGUCCUCGAAGCCUACGACAACUCAACUCCAAAAUACUCCCACGACGCGCCACCUGGCCCUAACCGGACCAGGUUCCUCAAGGCAUAACCAUCGAAACUCGAACUCAUUUCCUCUUUCCUUGCGGUGUCCUGACCACCGUCUCAAACCGGGCACCGGCUGUACCCUCUGAUAAUCACACUCAACAAUCGAGAAUUACCCAAGAUGCAUCACUGCUCCAAAUCACAACCAUCACUCGACCCAUAUGAGUUAGAAGAUAACCAUGCACCACCGGAUUCCCGAUCCGAGUCCAACUCUAAUCAUUCUACUGACAGAAAGACACAUUCUUCAGAGCAACUCCCAUGAGUUCUCCACUUGCAAUCACAUACACAUGCUGAACUAGCUCUAGCACCGUUAGGUUGGGAAAACCCGAUACACUGAUGAUAUCUCCAAACAUCCCCCAGAAUGAACCACUAAUACAUACACAAUUCCCUGAUCAGAAUCACACUGAGAGCCCAAGACUCCCUCCCUGUAUACCUUCCGAGCCUCUUGGCUCUACACCUGCGGAAUUCCCUCCGCGACCUCAGCAGACAUCCCAAACCGGAUGUGCUUCUAUUCCACUGCCGCAAACACGCUGCUCAAUAACCAUACUCGGAUUACUCUAAUCAUAACUCCGCUCUGCCGCUUUCACUUUCGUGAACUUGCACUCCCUCUCGGAGUUACACACCUCUCUCUUUUCCUUUACCAAGGAAUCCACUUGGCCGCAUUGUCACUCCGACAAGUGCCAUGGUGCUCGCCCAACGUUGCACCACCCUUUUAUAGCGUAUCCGCUAUCCAUCCAACACACAUACUCUGACUCCAAUCACAGGGACUCUCAAGCCCGUGCACUAUCUCAACUAAUCAAGAUCACUACCCGGGGCCAGACCUUCUAAUGCAAUCACACUGCAACAUACACAAUCCAUAUCCUCAAACCGAUCCAACAAUACCUGCAGAGUCUUCAGCAUGACUGGACCGCCUCACCAGGCCUUCAGCCAAUCUGGACCACUCUCAGAACCUUCAGCCAAUCUGUACCGCUCUCAGUGCCUUCAGUUUGGCUGGAUCGUUCUCCGAGCCUUCGGUCUGACUGGUACGCCUACCGGCCUUCAGUCUAUCCGGACCGCUCAACUAGCAUUCAUCAUUCCGAGCUAUCUCUCCCGAAAAUCCUCCCAUGCAUACUGUUCUAGCCCUUUAAGGGUUCCAAACUCUGUCUCUAUCGCACAUGCUCGAUCCCGGCCUGCUCCCAAGCCCUCCACAAUCGAAUACCCUAGGUCUGUAUCCCGCCCCACAGGCCCGACACUUGCUCCUAUCAGCCUACACUCUGGACUGACGGAACACUGCUGAAUCCCAACAGCUAAGCACCCUCAAAUACUCAUCGAUCUCUCGGAGAAUUUUCCAAUUCUCCCCCACUUGUAGCACUGAUUAACAGCCACCGGUCGCCAUCACCGACCUCCCAAAACAACUCUGCAAAAAACCAACACUUUCACGCGGACUGAUUCCCAGAAGCAUAAACAACCUUAACAAGAUCCCACAUCAACACCGAUUAUCCUGCUCGAAUGAAUUUCAACCUGCAUCUAACCGCUCCUUAGAAAGCAGAUGCUACCCGGCCUUCAAACCAAUGUCAGGUUUCCACUAAUAACCCUCAUGGAUGAUAACCAACGAAAUUCCCAAUACAAUAACCCAUAACCAAACCACAACCCUCAAAAACGACGAAUACCGCAUCGAAGAUCACACAAAGAUACCAGCACAUAAACAAUACACCACAAUAAUCACAAAAUAACAAGAUAUCAAGAAAGAAAUAUACCCGCAGCUGCAUCCGGCACUGCUCUGACCUCCUCUGCCGCAAGCUGAUAAGCACGACCCUGAGCCUUUGGGGGCUCCGCUCCACCCUGACCUCCACCUGUGAUCCUCAAAGUGGCCGGUACUGGAGCCUGCACCGGUCCUGCAGCAAGUUGUGGACAGUUGACCCUCAAAUGUCCAAUGUGAUGACAAUGAUAACAAAUCCUCAAAUCCCGAACCGGUGCUGACUGUCGACAAUCCCUCGCAUAGUGCCCCUCCUUUCCGCACUUGCGGCAUGCACUACCGGACCUACAAACUCCGGUGUGACCCCUCCCACACUUCCCACAAGUGUGGUUGCUCAGAUCCCCCACUCUAACAUCAACGGUCUUGGACCGUUUCGGCGNGCCCCGGGAGCCUGCCUCAGCUCACGCAUUUGCAACUUUAUCUCUAACUCACGCCGCCUAGCGGCCUCCUACAACUCCAACAAGGUCUCGCACCUCUGCAUAGACACAAACUGUCUGAUUUCCCUCUUGAGCAUGCUCAGAUAUCGAGAUAUCUGAGCCUGCUUCAAAGCGAACUCUGGGCAAAACAUCGCCCUUUUAGUAAACAUCCUGGUGAUCUCAGUCACCGACUCCGAACCCUGCUUCAGCUCAAGGAACUCCUGAGCCAAUCUCUCCCUCUCAACUUGUGGAACAUAACAAGUGCUGAACAUUUCUCUGAACCGAUCCCAUGAAACCGCAGCCCUCCGCGCAUCUGAAUAUGACCCCAUGGUCAAUGUCCACCAAUCCUUCGCCCCGAGCCUCAACAGGUUCAGAGCACACCUCACCCUCUGAUCAGCAGGGCAUGAACACGUGAAGAAACACCCCUCCACGUCUGAUAACCAUCUCAUAGCGACAAUCGGGUCCUAAACUCCAUCAAAGGUGGGAGGCUUCGUAUUAUCGAAGUCCCGAUACUGAAAGCCACAACCAGCUCCUCCCCCUGCCGCUGCUACAGCUGCUGUAGCCGCCACGACAGCCGUCUCUGUGAGAGCCGCAUAACGCUCAUCAAAAUACUCAACCAUGGUGGUCUUGAUCGACCCAAACAGCUCCGGCAACUCAGCCCGGAACAACUCAGCAAUCUCAUCACGCAGGAUCUCACGAGUCCUCGCAUCUAACUCGCACGGGCUCAUCUGACCAAUAACCUCGGGCGGUUCUGACCCGCCCGGAACUCCCUCUCCUGCUCCCGAUCCUGACCCGGAUCCACUCCUAGCAUGCCUUGGAAUCUCCAUACUGAAAAUCACCACAAAGACUCAGAUACUUCCCACUAUCCCAGGAACCAACUCUCUCCCUACCCACCCCUAGAGGUCAUGGUUUCCCUGAUACGCGUAUGGGUCCUGUGCUUUCAGUAGUACCGGCCCAUACUACCUUCCACACCUACCCAUAUUUGCAUGAAGUACUACCACAACACCCUAGACAAAACAUGCAUAACAACUCUCAACCCUCACCACUAGAGGAACACUGGAAAUCUCUCACAAGGAAACCCUAGGCUACAGGCAUCACAAAUCAGGCAACAUUAUCAUGAAAUCCUGAAGAUCCCUAGGCUAACACUAGCAUGCUGUUCUAUCAAAGCUCAAAAACAAAUAACAUGCAUGGUAUUUUGGGGUUACUUACUGGCCAGUCAUUGCAUCUAUCAUAGAGUGAAUGUGUGGUAGAGGGAAAUGAUCCUUAGAAAAAGCCUUGUUAAGAUACCUGUAGUCUACACAUACUCGCCAUUUUUUGUUCAUCUUCAAUACGACAACCAUGUUAGCUAACCAUCUUGGUGUAACGACCAAAAAUUUUAACCAAUUUUAAAUUUUUCAAAAACAACUCGAUUCCAUUAAAUCUUUACAAAAAGGUUUUCAAUAAAAAACAUUUAACGCAUUCCCAGAAUCACAUUACUACAAAAUGAUGAGGAGCGGUACGAUCACGCCUUCGCCUCGCCACGGUCUCCUGAAGAACCUGAAAAACAUAAAACCACAACUGUAAGCCCGAAAGCUUAGUGAGAUAUCCCCAAAAUACCAACCACAUAUACCAUACACGCAUAACAUGCCAUAACAUAUCCGAUCACAGAACAACCAUGCACUUCGGGUCUACUGUGUGACUGGUCUGCCGCACCGGCCAACAGUCCACCUGGUCCACCUUGUGAGUCUAGCCAUAAACCUCGAGUCUAUAGUCUGAUUGGUCCGCCCGCACCGGGCCUUCAAUCCACCUGGUCCACUCUCUGAGUCUACAGUAUGACUGGUCCGCCCACACCGGGCCUUUAGUCGGCCUGGUCCACUCUCCGAACCUCGGCACGUCUGGUCCGCCCUCUUGGGGCCUACAGCCUAUCCGGACCGCUCGCUGGGCCUUCGGAACAACCGGUCCGCCCUGGGUAUCUUGGCCUACAGCACAAAGCAGGACCCGCCUCAACCCAACUCCAGUCCAAACAACCAUGUGCACAUAUACAUACAAUCAUAUAGCAAUUCACAGUCAACAAGCAGAUCAAACAGAUCACAUAACAUAUCAUCAUCCUAACCAGGAUACCGACCUAACAGGUCACUAGCAUAGCAUCUCCCUAUCUCUCAGGAUACCGAUCUCAAUCAGGUCUCUAACAUAUACCAUCCUAGCUCUCAGGAUGCAAACAUAUCAUAGCAACAACAUAACAACAACUACCCGGAUCUCAAUCCGAUAAGGGCCGGCCUUGGUGCCUUAGACCCUGUUGAUAUAGUGAGGAUAACUCACCUCGAAACUGCCGACUGAACAGAUAACCCAAGCUGCUCCGAUCACUGAUACGAUCUCCACCACUGGACAACCACCAAGGCACUGAACUCAAAACAAUAACCAACAAUUACCAAAAUGCCCCUGGAAACCACUGGUCAACCGUUGGUCAAAGACAAGGUCAAAGUCAACCCCUGACUGACUCUACUCGCCGAGUCAACCCGAUGACUCGCUGAGUCCCCAUGCUCAGCAUUCCUCAAUCCAUGACCUAACUCGCCGAUUCCAACAACUCCGAGUCCACUCGCACACAACUCACCGAGUCAUCCCUUGACUCACCGAUUCACGACUCAACCAGAAAAUAUUGGGACUCUUCGACAAGACUCGCCGAGUCCAAGAACAGACUCGUCGAGUCUAAGGCUAUCUUCAACCUACUCGCCGAGUUGUUCUUCCAACUCGUCGAGUUCCAGGCCAUCUUCAUCCAACUCGCCGAGUUGUUCUUCCAACUCGUCGAGUUCCAGCUCAUCUUCAAGCAACUCGUCGAGUCCACCCAUGUGACUCGCCGAGUACCACCGGUCUGAAUCCAUACAGAAGCAUUCCAGGACAUGCAAUUGAUCCAAAACAUAGAUCUAGCCUCCUACAACCCAUCCAUCACGUAAAGUGGCAAACUUUACGUGAAUCCAAAGAGAUCUAGGCCUUUUACACUUUAGGUCUAGGGUUUGGGACAUGAUAGCUUCACUACACACUCAAACACAGGGACUUUCAAGCAUUCCAACCCUUCUCCAUUCCAGAUCUGAGGUAGCAACCUCAGAUCUAACCUCUAAACUCCAAAACACUAAAAGAUAUGAUCUCUAGCACCCCCAAAAUGAAGAAUCUAGACAAUAGCAGCUCAAACAAUGGAACGAUACCUCAAAAGGAAGCUCCAAGAGAAGAUUAACCCGAAUCCUUGCAAAGCCCUUUGAUCCAAGCCUCUUCUUCUUCAAGAUCUCUUCAGCAACCACCUCUCCAAGCUCCAAUUUUCUCAACAAUGGGGUUUCUACACGAAAUUAGGGUUUUUGGAACUCAAGGGAUGAUAAGGAGGCUGGGGAAGAAACAUAAUAUUCUUUAUAUAGCGCCCAACCUCCGGAUUUAGGGUUUUCUCCAUUCAGCGCCUACUCGCCGAGUCCAUCUUACUAACUCGCCGAGUCGGCCACUUAUCACGCGACCAAGUCGCGACUCUACUCGCCGAGUCCACCCAUGGACUCGCCGAGUUCCCCUUCUAAUUUUACUCUUUUAGCCCUUCAACUAUACUCUUUGCUAUUCCGGGAUGUUACACUUGGGAACUUCAGUUCCUUGAUCAUCCCUGUCUCUAUGAGCUUUUCCACUUCUUCUUGGAUGAUAGUCUCCUUUCAAGUGAAAACUUCCUUUUCUUUUGGUGUAUUGGUCUGAAAUAUGGAUCAAUAUUAAGUUUUUGAUUGAUAAUACUUUUGGCUAUACCUAUCAUAUCUUUGUGUUUCUGAUUGAAUGUCUUGCUUCUGGUUCAAAGGAAGUUUAAUAGGUCAUGCUCGAUUUUCUCAGGUAUUGAGGAUUCUAUGAGGACUUCGGCUUCAGGGUCCUCGAUGCUCAGGGGCACUUCCUUCACAUCUUUCUCUUUUGUUUCUAGAACAUGUUGUGCCCCCUACCUUAAUUGCUAUGCUUGUUGGGAUUUAGUCGUAGGCUUCGUAGAUGUUUUAUAACAUUCCUUCGAUUCUUGUUGAUAUCUCAUUAUCUUUACUGUUCCCCAUGGAGUAGGCAUCUUUACACAAUGAUGAUAUGUUGAUGGAACCGCUUUUAUCUCAUGGAUCCACGGUCUACCUAAUAUCACAUUAUAAGAAGAUAAAGUGUCAAUAACACAAUUUUUUUAUGGAGUUUACCCCCUCGAUGUAUAUUGGUAGCUUUAUCUCUCCAACAAUGUGUUUCGUUUCCCCGAUAAAUCCUAUGAGGACCGAGGAUCUUUUGAUUAUAUCCGAUUUCAAAAUGUUCAUCCUCUCUAGUGCUUUCUAAGAGUACGAUAUUGACCGAGGGUCCUCCGUUAGAAGGGAUCCUUAUGACAAAGUUGAUAGCCAUGUAUAGUCUUAUCACAAGUCCAUCACGGUGAGGAUCCUGGAUCCCUUCCCUGUCAGUCUCGUUAAACGUGAUUUCCUUUUCAUUGCUAACCACAAUAUUCUUCCAUGAUCUAUCCUCCUUUUCUUUUUUAGAGGCCUUGGCGUUUCUUUUAGCUUGAGAGUAAGAAGUACCACAAAUAUUAGAUCUUCCUAAGAUAACAUUAAUUAUCUUGGCAUUUGGGGGUGGAGAUUCUGGUUUCCUCGGUAUCUCAUAACCAUCCUGGUUGUUCUCCAUGGACUUUUCUUUCUUCCUCCCGAGGAUCUCUUUGAGAUGCCCCUUGCUAAGGAGGCAUAUGAUCUCCUUUCUUGGGGAUAUACAAUCCUCCGUCAUGUGACUGAAAUCUUCAUGGUAAGCACAACAUUUUGACUUGUUUGUCCAACUGGUGGACUUGUUAUCCUUCUUUGGCCACCUUGCUUUGUCUCCGACAUCCUACAUAGCAUGGAUUAUACCUGAAACAUUCAUAGAAAAACUAUAGUUAGUGAUCUUAGGAGUUCGACUUCCUCUCCUUCAUCUUCGAGGGCAUUAACCCUAUGAUGAUCCGGUUUGGAAUAUGGCUUCGAUUUGUAGGAUCUUCGUGCUGAGGAUUCAUCCUUCCUAUUGGGAUUGUCGUAUUGACUUGAAGGGUUUCUCCUUUUCUGUAUUUCUUUAUCCUUUUCAAUCCUUAUGAACCUUAAUGCUCAAUUCCUAAGUUCUUCCAAUCUCUUGCAUGGGGUCAUUACAAGAUCUUCAUUGAAGGGUGAAUCCUUCCUUAGACCCAUCUUUAAGGCCUCUACAGCAGUCGCCAUGUCGAUGCUGGGAAUGCUUAGGGCUUCCCUGCUAAACCUUUUAACAAAUUCUCUAAGUCGUUCCUUAGGAUCCUGAACUACCCGAUAGACAUCACUAGUGAUCUUCUUGAAGGUUAUGCUAUAAGAAAACUGGUUAUAGAAAUAUUGACUAAUUGUGCAAAUGAAGUAAUAGAAUAUAGAGGAACAUUUAGUAGCCAUUUAAGAGUUUAUUCUGUAAGGAUCGAACCAAAGCCUUUAUAUAUGCAAGCUUCCUUCAAAAGCAUUGGGAUGGGAAUGAACUCCAUUCUUUCUCGGUAUUGUGGUAUGUGCUCUUCAUGAUCCGUAUUUCCAUCAUAAGGCUUCAUCCUAGGAGUUUGGAAGCGCUUAGGAACUUCGGUAUCGACUAUCACAGGAGCAAAUCUUGAGAUCCUGUGACUGGUUGGAGAUGCUAUUGGUAUGGGUUGAACUACCCUAGGUGUGCUUGAGAUCAUCUGUUUCAACUGUUGAAGUUCCCAAGCCAUGUUUGGACUUAUUCAUGCAUCAACAUUUGUAGAGUUAGUUUUGAGAGUAUUCUUGUUUAAGAAAUUACUAGAAUCAAGGUUUCUAGGAGUAAUGAAAGGCUUAUUGAGUUCAUUGAUUGUAGAUGAUCGAUUGUUCAUAGUUGUCCCCCAGGGUGACACAACAGUGGCAGGAGAUGUGUUCCCCUAGUGAUUUCCUAAGGAUCUUGCAUUAUCGAAGUUCAGGAUCCUUGGUUGUACAACUGUGGGUGUCGUUUCCUUAGAUUUCCGAAAUUCCACCUUCAUCCUCUACACUUCUCUAAGCAGUGUUCUAUUCUCCUCUUGUUGUUGGGUUAUCUUUUGUGUCAUUUUCCUCAUCAUGGCAAAGAGUUUUGUAGUAGUGACCGGAGCAGUCGGAUCCUAGCGUCCCUAAGAUCCCAAACUUCCUUGGUUACUGACCGGAGGAGUAUUUUUUUUGGAAGUGUUAGGCACUUUCCUCUGACCAGGGGUUCCACUUGGAGGAGGUGGUAGGUUUUUGGUUGGAAUGGAAGGAGCGGAGGACGAAAAAAGGAUUGGUUUUGUAGACAUGAUCUUUUCGAGGAUUUUGAACACCACGACCCCACGGUAGGCACCAAAUUGUUUUUGUCAAGAAUUACACAAGUAUUGAUCAACCAAAUUGAAUGAGAGGAUGUGAUGUUCGAAUUAUGAAAUAUAGAAGUGUAAAGAGAAUGACACGAUUGUUUACAUGGAAAGCCCUUGAUCCUUGCUAGGAUCUCUGACACAAAACCUUGGGAGGUGAUAAUGAUCACAUGCCUUGAUGAUUUUAUUAGUAAAAAAAUUAUGAUUAUAAAGACUUUUCAAAUUUAAUUUUGUCCUUCUAAUUACUUAAAUCAUGUAGGAAUUAAAUAAUUAUCUGAACUAAAACAUUAGUUAAAUAAUUCAAAUUUAAUCCUAUCCUUCUAAUUUACGAAAAUUAGGUUUAAGGGUUUUCAAGCUUUAAUUGUUCAAAAUUUAAUUAAUUUAAGAUAACAAGACAUGGAAACUAGAAACACUAUGAAACUGUAGGUUAUUUUCGAAAAUAAGGGUUGGAGGCUAAGGUUUCCAGAAACCUAGAAUAGUCAAAAUUUUCAAGGGAAAGGGUUUAUUGUCGAUAAACCCUAAUCAAGAUCAACUUAUCUCAAGAGCAAAUCAGUAGAAAAAAAUGGCUCUGAUACCACUGAUGUGUUCUAUAGGUUAUCAAAAACAUGUAAUGACCUAUGUUUUCUCUAAUUGAUAGAAACAUACAAUGAAGAUAAAGAACCCUAAUGAAACCCUUGUAUAAUCAAAAUACAAGAAUUAGGGUUACAUAUCAUUGAUUUGUUGUAGUAAACAAGCAACUUCAAUCCUUUAUGUUUGUGGGUCUUGGAAAGCUAGCAACAAAAGGAUGAUGCCUCUAAUGGCUCUCAGAAAAAAGUAGAAACCCUAGAAUGAGAGCAGAGAGGAGAUAUGAAGGAAUUUUUGUUCAUAUGCCAUUUGUUAAUGUCAUGAACAAAAUUUGCAUGCCAAGGGGUCAUAUUUAUAGUUAGGGGAUCACAAGGAUAAGGCCUAAUUUUGAUUUUAAAAUAAUUAUAUUUUAAUCUAUUCAAAUCCUUAUCCAUAUCAACAAUCAAGAAUAUUCUAGAAACCCUAAAAGGCUCCAAGAAAUUUUCCAACCCUAGGAACAAUCUAGAAUUGCCUCUAUUGUUCAACUAUUGAACAAUUACAAUUCAUCCCUUGCACUUUUAUUUAAUUCCAUUUACUCCUGAAUUAAUUCUAGAUUAAUUUUUCUUAAUAAUUAGUCAAUUCUUGUUUAUUUCACAUUAAUUUAUUAAUCAUAUAAAUUAACAAAUCAGUUAAUUAACAAAUUAUCUCAUGUUAAUUUAUUAAUCACAUAACAAAUCAACCAAUCAACUAUCUAUUUAUUUUCAAUUAAUAUAAUAAUAACAUAAUAUAUUAACAAAUCAUUUUCCCAUAAUUUCCAAUUAGUUUAUUAAUCAUAUAAUAAUCUAAUAAGUCAUGUUUCUCUCUCCUAAUAUCAUUUCUAGCUAUUUCUAGUCAUGAGGGUAACCCCAAAAGGAGUUUGCUUCUAAUUGCAAGAACAUGCCAAUUUAGUUAUGAACUUAGACACCUUAAUCUAACAUUCCUUUAUGUCAUCCAUGUUAAUUAAUGCAUCUCCUAAACCUGUUGAUCCUCUAAUCACUUAAUGGAUGGAUAAGUGGAUGUUGAAUCCCUGUGAAGUUGAUCAUCACCCCUAUUCUCCAUUGGGUGCCCAGGAAACCUUAUAUCCUUCUGAUAAGGAUGCAUCUAAAGUGAUUUUUGAGAUUGAGGAAGAAGUUUCGUAUGAUGAAUCAAAUGAAUCUGAUAAUAACGAUGAAUAUGAUGAUAUAUAUGAAGUUGAUUAGGACCUUGAAUUUUUUUUACAGUGCAUUAUCUUUAUGGACUUUUUCGCGUUCUCCUUCUAUUACAAUCAGGCAGCCUGUAUUUCGUCUCCCAUAUAUCGUUGUUACAGAUACUGCCAAAGAGUCCCCACCUCGACCAAACAAGCAUACUUACUUUAAGUCUUACUCUUCCUCUUCCCAAGGUACUCCUGAGAUUACCAAAUAUCUUAUGGUUGAUCAUCGUUUUGGUUUUAAUAAGGCCCUUUCUCCUACUCAACUACGUGGAAAUUCUUAACAACUCGAGGAGUCAUAAUCAUUGGAUAAUAUUUCCAUACAUUCUCAGGCUAAGGGAGAGCAUGAUUCUAUUUAGCAAGAAACGUUGUCUCAUGAUUUACUAGCUCUUCGUAAGUUGUUAGAAGUUUAUAUGUGUUUGCUCAACGUAUGGAGUGGCUCAAAACAGAUGUUACCACUAUCAAGAAGGCAGUUAUUAUGACCACUUCAACCACCCAACCAUCAUCAAGUAAUCCACCACCACCUUCUAAUGAUCAAUAACCUCCUAGUGAUCCUCUCAUGCCACCGCCAUCCCAUACUAUACCGUCAACUCACAAUCAACAACUGCGUCCUUCUGCCCAUGUAACUCAUGCUUCCACUCCGCUUGCAGAUAUUUCCUACGAUGAUGUCAAAAAUGGGGAGAAUUAAGUUAGGAAGACCCUCAUGUUGUUGUUGAUGAAGUUAUGGUUGAUGAGGCUUCAGACUCUCAUACUAAUAUCGACGAAGAAUGAUUUUAGAGCUUGAUUUAUUGGGUGAUUCAGUGCAUGCUCAUUCCAUGCCACUUCCAAUCUCUACCAUUUUUUCAACUGGGUCACAAGCUAAGGGAGAGUCUCUACCUCAAAGGGAGCAACAUGUCAACAGUGAGAUAUAAUCUAAUGAUAACCAACCCUUGUCAAGAAAAAGGAAGUCUCCUGCUGCCUCAAGCUCCUCUUCUCCCAAUUGAAGGAAACCCCUUAAUGUUUAUGAUGUCAAUAAGGAAUGAGAUUUAUCUAUUGAAGAAGCCAUAGCUUUUAUCGUAGACGACAACAUAACAACUCUCAUUUGAGUCCUAUAUCAAUAUGAUUCUACUAAAUUUGUUCUAUAAGUUUCUUCUUCUAAAGGAAUUUUGUCUAACCACAUGGUAUUCAUGCAUAUGUGUUAGAGCUUGUUGUUGUCUUGAUGAUAAACAUGGUGAUGAAUCUCAAUUUAGUUCCUCUUCUAGAUGUAGCUUCUACAUCGUCUACGCUAGGUUCCCAAGGGAAAAAGAAAGAAGUCCAAGCAUGAAAAGCUUUUAUUGACUUAUGGAACUGUCUACAUUAAUAAUUCUUUACCAUUAGGAGUGGAUCAUGUUCAACAUCUCUUCAUAAGAAAACCAAAGCAUGAAAUGUUUUAUAUUAAUAAUCAAGACCACAUGUGAGUUCAAUGAUCUACUGAUUUGUGUAAAACUCAUAGUGAAAAUUUGUUUCAUCUAAUAUUAGAGUGCAAAGAAAAAUUAGAAGCUGACAGUUAUUACUGGAUAGUAUCUUUCAAGCUGAAUAAGAGAAGAGAAGAACUCCUAUGUGAUCAUUUCAAGUGGAUCAAGCCUGAAAUUUUGAUUGAAGGUGAUAAAGUCUGGCAUCACGACUUUCAAUUGGAUUAGGAUUUGACAUCAUCUCGGGGAGAUUUUAUGGUCAAACCUUACAGUCUAAUGAGUAAAAACUUGUGACGCAUUGAUUAACUAUACAUGAUACUAUUAGCCACUAUCCGGGCUUUCACAGCGGUUUGUUACUUUAUUCAGCUAUUGUAACAACCCGUUAUUUCAAGUCAAUGUAAUAAAUAAAAGUCGAGUCUUGUAACCUCUUUGUAAAGUAAUAAGAAUAUCCUCGAAAAUCAAAUGUUCAAAAAGCUCUGUUUGGGUACACUUUGUGGUAGAUAUCGUGAUAAGGUUUCCAAAAAUAUAAAGAACACUAUAAUCCGAGUUAUAACGAAGGAUUUAUGACCAAUCAUAGAUUCGUAACACUACCGGUAAAGCGUUGUUAAGCAUGAAACGGGAAAUUUCAAUAAAAUACUUUUUAGCCGUAGGUAUCUAAAUGAAAGUUGUAGAUAUCUUUAAACCGCCAACAUACAUCAAAAGAACUCCCCAAAUCUGACUUCGUAUGAGGAAGUUACGAUUUUUCGAAGUUUCUGACCUAGCAGUAGAAAGAUAAAAACUUGAAAUAGAGAUCGAGCGGUCUUUAGCCGACACAACCUAAAAGAAAGUUGAAGACCCCGAAAAUAGGAGUACAACAGUAAAAAGUCUAACGAAAAUGGACACCAGAUGAAGGAGUUAUGGAUUUUAAACAGACUUUUCCAGGCCCAGCCUGUUAAAAAUAAUAUAAUAAAAAUAAAGUCAAAAUUAGCCGACGGAGUCUAAACGAGAGUUGUAGAGCCUUUUCACACCUACACGUGCAUAUAAAGAACGUCGAAAUCGGAGGUCGUAUGCAAAAGUUACGAAUUUUACGAGUUCGCGACACAAAACCCGAGGCUGACUCAGCCUCAUGAUGUGAGGGAACCAUGAUCACGACGUGAGCUCGUGACUGAUGGAUUCCAUAGUGUCAGCCACGUCAAAUCGUCGAAGAGGAUCAUGCUGACUAAGCGUCACGAUGUGAGAAAUCCAAAACUCACGACGUGAGACCCCAAAUCAGCCCCUAUAAAUAGAAGCUUAAGGGUGCCGGGUUUGGUGGUCAUCUCUUUCCCUCUAAGUGUCGUUACUCUGCAUGAUUACCUCGAGAAGCCUUCCCAAAGCCCUGGUUUUUCAUACUCGAGUCCCGAAGGAAGUUCUACACUCCCGAGAUCCCCGAGAAUCCCGAGAUUUCAACUAUCUCUAGUCGAAGUUAUGCUCGAUUCUUUUCUCGACUACUUCAAAAGAACCACUUCAAUAAAGUGAGUUCAUACCCCUUUUAUACACCUUGAAAUACUUUAUAAUGUACUUUUAAUACAUUUCGGGGGAGAAUACAAGUAAAUACCCGGUUAAUCCCGAGUGAACAAGUGAAAACUCUUGUUAUACCUUGCAUGCACAAGAUUUAUACACAAUGCAUAGUAUCCAGGGUAGCCAUCCUUGUUAAACCAUUUUAUGCAUUCAAAAAACUGAUGAUUUAUGCUUUGUCAAACAUUGUGAAAGAGGAUAAACAUUGCAUAUAAAACUAUCACUUUAAUACUUAGUUGAGAAUCUGUGAGACGAUUACAGACUUAGUUGAGAAUCCGUGAGACGGUUACAUCCGCCAGCCGUCCGACCUCCAUCCAUUCGACCUCCUUUCAGGAUGGGAUUUCAAGGACCAACUCCCAUCUGGGGAGAAGCCACAUCCAUCAUUGGAGCCAGUAGCAAGGAUUGCGUCCUCCUUACGGUAUGUGUCGGGACAUCUACGAUGUCAAUGGAGGAAGUUCAGCUCAUCGAGCACUUCUAGUUAUGGUAGGCAAACUUGCGAAUCAGGCUUAUCAAUCCGAAGUCCAGGCAAACCGGAUUCACGAGGUUGACAUAAGGAUGGAGGAAAACGCAGCUGAUAUCCGACGCCUGGACAUGCUACAAGGGAAUGCUCAACUCCACACCAACUCUCUCCAAGAGCAAAUGACUGCAGCUCUCUCCGAAAUGAGAGAUUUAAGGGAGCAACAAGUUGCCUUUGACAGGCGUCUCAUGGGAGCCAAGCAAUUGGAUGCAGAAUCGAGCUGCAAGUGCAAUCCGCACCGUGAGUAGUACUCGCCUAAAUCCCAAAUUUUUAUACAGAAUAGGACCAUUGGCUAAAAGUCUUACUUUCUUUAACUUUCUGUAAUCGGAGAGCUUUAGAAAGGUCAAUUUUGUUCUAACUUCGGAUAUAACGCAACCAUAUGUUUAAUAUAUAUAAGGCAUAUCUCUUUCGUGUGUUAAUUCUUUGCUUUUCAUUCGAGUUCAUGAGUUUAUCUAUUGCUAUUCAAACUCCAUUUAUGAAUCAAAAUCAAAGCCCUGUAUAGGUCAAACCAAAGUUUUAAUCUAUUAAAGAUAGUUAACUCAUUAUCAUUCAAACCUCGACCGAGAAAACUAAUGAUCUUUCAUUUUUAAUUCUUGGCGGUGCAAUGCCUCCUCGUCCAAACCUAAGACCCAUGUCGGGCACUAUACCAACACUACCUCCACCACCAACUUAUGACCCGGCCAUCGUACAGGCUGCUAUCACAACAACAGUAACUGCCGCCCUCUCACAAAUAAACUCCAACGGAAAUGGAAGGGAAGGGAGUAGCACGAAUCAUUCCGACCAUGGCAGUGGUCAUGGUCAAGUGAGGGAAUGUACUUACAAGGAUUUCGCCAACGCAAAGCCAAAAACUUGUAAUGGCACAGAGGGAGUCAUUGCACUGAUGCAAUGGUUGCAAAAGACCGAAACGGUCUUUGAGAUCUGCUCCUGGAAAGAAGCGAUCAAAGUCAAGUUCACCGCUUGCACCCUCACUGAUUGCGCUCUCACCUGGUGGAAAAGCCAUGUGAGGUCCGUGACUCUCACCGUCGCCAACUCCUUAAGUUGGGAGGACUUAAAGGUCCUAGUACUGGAGGAAUACUGCCCAAGGGGUGAGAUACCAAAGCUAGAGCAGGAGCUCUGGAAUCUGAAGAUGACUGGGUCUAACCUAGUAUCCUAAACGGCCAGGUUCAGCGACCUUGCCGCCUUGUGCCCUGCCAUGGUCAACCUAAAACCAAAAAAGGUUAAGAGCUACAUUUGGGGGUUGUCACCCAGAUUUAUGGUCACGUCUUGGCCUCCAACCCUAUCACUUUCAACAGCGCUAAGCGCCUGGCUCAACGACUCAUCGACCAUGGGGUCAAACAAGGUUUUGUUGCAGCUAUUGCCGAUCCAUCAAAGGAGGUAUAGGGCCAGGGAAGGCCUUGUAACAAGAGAAGGGGGCAAACCCUACAGGGGAACCCCAAGAAACAACAAGUGGUAGCAGCUCUUGCUGUUACUGUUCCUACCACCACUGCAGCCACAAGUUCAUACAGUGGGAGAUUUCCGAAGUGCAACCAAUGCAGCUUCCACCACCACAGUCUUUGCAGUGACUUUAAAUGCACCAGGUGCAAUAAGAAGGGGCAUACGGCCCGCUUCUUCAAGGAGCCAGCCCAACAAGCCGCCCCUACUACUAAUGUCGGAGUACGCCACGCUUGCUUUGAGUGAGGAGCCAUGGGGCACUACCGCAGGGACUGCCCAAAGGCGAACAACAGGGAUACCGACGGAAGGGCCCCUGUGUUUGCAAUGGGACAGGAUGAAGCCGUUGCAAACUCCACUGUUGUUACGAGUAUGUUUCUUCUCGAUAACUCGUAUGAAUGCAUUUUUUUUGAUAGUGGAGCGAAGAGGAGUUUUGUAAGUCACAAUUUUAAAGGCCUGCCGAAACAAACACCCCAAUCAUUAAGUGAAUCGUUUAUAGUAGAAAUGGCCAACGGUAAAACAGAGGGCACUAAGUAGAUAUACUUAAAUUGUACCCUAACCGUAACGAUAAUCCCUUUCCAAUCAGCCUCAUGCCAGUCUCGUGUUCGAUGUCAUCAUAGGCAUGGACUAGCUGAGUUCUCAUCAUGCGGACAUUUUAUGUUACGAUAAGGCCGUUCGCCUUAAUCUGCCAACCGGCGAAACCCUCAUUAUCUAUGGCGACAAACCCAAUACCACUCUUCAUAUUAACUCGUGUAUCCAAGCUCAGAAGUGCCUGCGCAAGGAAUGCCAUGCGUUUUUAGCACAUAUCGUGGAUGUGAAACGCGAAGUCCAGGUCAUCAAGAGCGUGCCUAACAUAUGCGAGUUUCCCGAUGUUUUUCCCGAAGAUCUUCCUGGAAUACCACCUGCGAGACAAGUCGAAUUCAGAAUCAAUCUUAUUCCCGGAGCUACCCCAGUAGCCAAAGCGCUCUAUCGAUUAGCCCCAGCGGAGAUGCAGGAGAUAUCCAGCCAACUGAAUUAACUACUCAGCAAAGGAUUUAUCAGGUCGAGCUUGCAAAAAGAAGGAUGGGUCAUUUAGGAUGUGCAGCGACCACUGAGAGCUCAACAAACUUACCAUCAAGAACCGAUAUCCCCUACCACGAAUUGACGACUUAUUCGACCAACUCCAAGGAGCCAACUACUUUUCCAAGAUCAAUCUUAGAUCGGGAUAUCACCAGCUGCGAGUCCUAGAGAGUGAUAUUCCCAAGACGGCCUUCCGAACAAGACACGGGCAUUAUGAGUUUGCAGUGAUUCCAUUCGGACUAACCAAUGCCCCUGCCGUAUUCAUGGACUUAAUGAAUCGGGUGCGUCGUCCAUUCUUGGAUAAAUUUUUGAUAGUAUUCAUAGAUGACAUACUCAUCUAUUAAAAGAGUAAAGAAGAGCAUGGCCAACAUCUGAGACAAGUCUUAGAGAAAUUAUGAGCUGAGAGACUUUAUGUGAAGUUCUCAAAAUGCGAGUUUUGGAUUAGGAAGGUGGACUUCCUAGGUCACGUGAUCGGAGAAGAAGGAAUCCACAUGGACCCAUCUAAGAUCAAGGCUAUCGAAAAUUGGUCUGCACCAACUACACCAACGAAGAUUCGCCAAUUUCCAGGCCUUGCUGGUUAUUAUCGAAGGUUCAUUCAGAACUUCUCCGGCAUCGCAAAGCCUCUUACCUCCCUAACUCAGAAAGGUGUGACCUACAACUGGGGAGAAAAGCAAGAUGCUGCAUUUCAUACUUUGAAACAGGCCCUAUGCAGUGCACCCAUUCUUUCUCUUCCAGAGGGGAUCGAAGAUUUUCUGGUGUAUUGCGAUGCUUCGAAUCAAGGGUUGGGAUGUGUGCUAAUGCAGCGAGGAAAAGUUAUUGCAUAUGCCUCACGACAACUGAAAACAAAUGAAGUCAACUACACCACUCAUGACUUAGAACUUGGGGCUGUGGUCUUCGCUCUAAAAAUAUGGAGGCACUACCUAUACAGUACCAAGUGCACCAUUUUCACAGACCACACUUCAACAUAUAUUCGACCAGAAGGAGUUGAACAUGAGACAACGACGUUGGGUUGAAUUGCUCAACGACUACGAAUGUGAGAUUCGUUACCAUCCGGGAAAGGCGAAUGUAGUGGAUGAUGCCCUUAGUCGUAAGGAGUACUCUGGUCGAAGAGUGAAGUCAUUAAGCAUGUCGAUCCAUUCUCAUCUUUCGACACAAAUGAAGGAAGCUCAAAUAGAAGCCUUGAAACCCGAAAAUGUGAUAGGUGAAACCCUUAGAUGGAUGGACAAGAAUCUAGAAAUCAAUAGUGACGGAGUGCACUACCUCAUGAACCGAAUCUGGACACCAAAGUUUGGUGGGUUUAGAGAGAUAGUUAUGAACGAAGCGCACGGGACUCCAUACUCCAUACACCCAGGUUCAAAUAAGAUGUAUCUAGAUCUCAGACAACUCUACUAGUGGCCAAACAUGAAAGAAUGAACUUCUAUCUAUCUGAGGAAGUGCUUGACUUGUGCCAAGAUAAAAGUAGAACACCUGAAGCCCUCAGGUCUACUCCAUCAACCCGAAAUACCUGAGUGGAAAUGGGAACAUAUUUCCAUGGAAUUCAUAACAAAACUACCCAAGACUUAGGGUGGUCACGACACCAUUUGGGUGAUCGUCAACAGACUAACCAAGCCUGCUCAUUUCUUACCGAUCAAGGAAACUGAUAAGAUGGAAAAGCUAACGAGAACCUACAUCUGAGAGAUCGUGCGACUUCAUGGAGUGCCGAUGUCUAUCAUCUCGGACAAAGACAGUAGAUUCACUUCCAGAUUCUGGCAAUCAUUGAAAAAAUCCAUGGGAACAAGGCUGGAUAUGAGUACAACCUACCACCCACGAACUGAUGGACAGAGUGAGAGAACGAUCCAAACCCUAGAAGACAUGUUGCGAGCAUGUGUAAUCGACUUUGGUAAAGCGUGUGAUGUUUACUUACCAUUAGUCGAGUUCUCUUAUAACAACAAUUAUCAUACUAGUAUCAAGAUUGCUCCAUUUGAAGCCCUUUACGGCCGUAAGUGCAGAUCACCUCUGUGCUAAGCGGAAAUAGGCGACACGUAGUUGGCAAAAGGUCUAGUCCCUUAUGGCACUCUCACUGGUUCGGAGAUCAUUAGAGAAAAAACUGAAAAAGAUCUUUCAAAUUCGAGAAGGUCUAAAAGCCUCGAGGGAUAGGCAAAAGAGCUAUGCCGACAAAAAUCGAAAACCCUUGGAAUUUCAGGUUGGUGACCGCGUUCUGCUGAAGGUCUCACCCUGGAAGGGAAUGAUAUGCUUUGGGAAGCGUGGAAAACUAUAUCCAAGGUACAUUGGACCCUUCAAAACUCCUUCAAGGAUUGGCCCAGUGGCUUAUAGACUUCAACUUCCAAUCGAGCUUAACAAAGUACAUCCAGUGUUUCACGUAUGAAACCUGAAAAAGUAUUUGUCCGGUGAAACUCUUGCGAUUCCACUCGAUGAAAUCGAACUUGGCAAAAAUCUUAACUUUGUGGAAGAACUCGUCGAGGUCAUGGAUAGGGAAAUCAAACGAACUAAACAGAGUCGCAUACCAAUAGUGAAGCCCGUAUGGAAUGCUAAGCGAGGACCUGAAUUCACAUGGGAGCGAGCAGAUCAGAUGCAACAGAAGUAUUCGCAUCUCUUCCCUAGUCCCUAAACUUUUAUUUUGUAAUUAAUUUCGGGACAAAAUUCCCUCUAACGGGGGGAUGAUUUAACAACCCGUUAUUUUAGGCCAAUGUAAUGACUAAAAGUCGAGUCUUGUAACCUCUUUGUAAUGUAAUAAGCAUGUCAUCGAAAAUGAAAUGUUAAAAAAGCUCUGUUUGGGUAUGCUAUGUGGUAGAUAUCGUGAUAAGGUUUCCAAAAAUAUAAAGAACACCAAAAUCUGAGUUAUAACGAAGGAGUUGUGACCAAUCAAAGAUUCGUAACACUACCGGUAAAGCGCUCUUAAGCAUAAAACGAGAAAUUUCAGUAAAAUAAUUUUUAGCCUUAGGUAUCUAAAUGAAAGUCGUAGAUAUCUUUAAACCGCGAACAUACAUAAAAAGAACGCCCCAAAUCUGACUUCGUAUGAGGAAUUUAUGGUUUUUCGAAGUUUCAGACCUAGCAGUAGACAGCUAAAAACUUGAAAUAGAGAUGGAGCGGUCUUUAGCCGACACAACCUAAACGAAAGUUGAAGACCCCGAUAAUAGGAGUACAACAGUAAAAAGUCUGAUGAAAAUGGACACGAGAUGAAGUAGUUAUGGAAUUUAAACAGACUUUUCCAGGCCCGGCCUAUUAAAAAUAAUAUAAUAAACGAAGUCUAAACAAGCAUUGUAGAUCCUUUUCACACCUACACGUGCGUAUAAAGAACGUCAAAACCGGAGCUCGUACGCGAAAGUUACGGAUUUUACAAUUUCGGGACAUAAAACCCGAGGUUGACUCAACCUCACGACAUGAGGGAACCAUGCUCACGACGUGAGCUCGUGACUGAUGGGUUCCAUAGUGUUAGUCACGUCAAAUCGUUGAAGAGGAUCAUGCUGACUAAGCCUCACGAACUAAGAAAUCCAAAACUCAUGACGUGAGACCCCAAAUCAGCCCCUAUAAAUAGAAGCUUAAGGGUGCCGGGUUUGGUUCUCAUCUCUUUCCAUGUAAGUUCUGUUACUCUGCGUGAUUACCUCGAGAAGCCUUCUCGAAUCCCUGGUUUGUCAUACUCGAAUCCCGAAGGAAGUUCUACACUCCCGAGAUCUCCGAGAAUCCCGAGAUUUCAACUCUCUCUAGUCGAAGUUAUGCUCGAUUCUUCUCUCGGCUACUUCAAAACAACCACUUCAAUCAAGUGAGUUCAUACCCCUUUAUACACCUUCAAACACUUUAUAAUGUACUUUUAAUACAUUUCGGGGGAGAAUACAAGUAAAAACCCGUUUAAUCCCGAGUGAAAACGUGAAAACUCUAGUUAUACCUUACAUGCACUAGAUUUAUACAAAAUGCAUAGUAUCCAGGGUAGACAUCCUUGUUAAACGAUUUUAUGCAUUCAAAAAACUUUUGAUUUUUGCUUUGUCAAACAUUGUGAAAGAGGAUAAACUGUCACACCCUGAAACCGAUGGCGGAAAAGUUCCGGGCUGGAGGACGUCAUGUAAAGUAUCACAACCAAUGUACAUAGUAAGCGUAGUAAACACAACCAUUACAUUACAUAGAAGUAUUUACAUUUGUUUGAAACUAAGUUAUACAUGAUUAUAUAUAUAUAUAUAUAUAUAUAUAUAUAUAUAUAUAUAUAUAUAUAUACACAUACAAAAAANAUCGCGGGGUACCUGUCUAAUGUGGACCUGAGAAUAGAAGCAGUUUUGAAAAUAUCAGCAUAAAGUUGGUGAGUUCAUAAGCGGUUAUGUUUAUGAAAAUGAACAAGUUUCCUUUGGUUCUCUGAAAAAGUUGUUAUCCAAGAAAAUCCCAUAUUUUCUUAUAAGGAAAGUCUAGUUAUCCAUUUGUUACCCAAUCUGGUUAAGAAUAGUUCAAUUAUCCAAGGAAAAACCCUUAUUUUCCUAAAAGUUUGUGGUUGGUUAUCGGUUCGGAAUGCAGUGUACAAGUAUCUACCAUACUUAAAGUGUUUGUGUAAAGUUUCCUGAAAGCCUGGUUAACCUUGAAAGGUACAUUAGUUUUAACACGUAUAUAAAACUAAUAAGCUAGUAGAAAAGUUUUCAUAAUCUAAGUUGCGAGUUCCAUAACCAUACAAUAGACUAGAUAAGGCUCGGAAUGGGGCCAAUAUCGUUUUAUGACUUUUGUCACCCUUGGACCUUUCGGUCCGACUGUAGCUAGCAGCCAGGUGCGGGGUAGUCAAUCCCAUAUAGAUCUAUACACUCAAGUCACGUUCUCCCUCCAUGAGAUUCUGGUUACAGGGGUAGUCCUACACUCUCGUAUCUAGGGGGAGUGUUACCAAGGACGCGUCUCCAAUCUUAAGAUUAAUGAAUUUUAAAAGUAGUCCCUCACUCUCGAAUCUAGGGGGAGUGUUACCAAGGACAUUUUAAAAUUAAUAAUAUGGAAAACUCUGUUUAUUAGUCCUUCACUCUCGUAUCUAGGGGGAGUGUUACCAAGGACAUUUUAAAAUUAAUAAUAUGGAAAACUCUGUUUAUUAGUCCUUCACUCUCGUAUCUAGGGGGAGUGUUAUCAAGGAUGUUUUUAAAGUUCUAAGGUUCAUGCUUUUAACAAUAAUGAUAAGGAAAAUCGAUUUGUGAAAUAUAAAAUACAACAUUUUAUAAUGAGUUUCACAAAUAGUUUGACAAUUUACUCUGCAAGUUGAACAGUUGGUUAAUACGGUUUUCAGUGUUAAAAGCAUACGAAAUAUGAAACAUUUGAAAUGAAAUCAUAAGUUUGAGUACAAGGUUUCCUUGUACUUUUGCUUGUAUUCCCCCUGAAAACAUUGAAAAAGAAGAUUCAUGAUUCAUGACUCAUAUGUUUUGGUGGUUGAACGUUAAGCAUACAAAGUUGUAGACCCAAAUCUAAGCCAUACAAGGUGUUAGGGGCACUUUUACACCCUUAAAUGGUGUUUAUGGUCCAUGAAUGAGGGUUUACGGUCCAAGCAUGUUCUUGGGCCGUAAACUAAUGUUUACUCCUCAAAUGGUAAGAUUUUGGUGCUCUAAGUCCAUUCAUGCAAGCCCCUAAGUCAUAUCUAAGCACUAGAAGUGAUUUGGAAGGGUUUUGGGGGCUCCAAAACCCCAUUUAUAGGUGUUCACAGUUUGGGGAUGUUCCUGGACCGUAAACACAAGUUUUUGAUGCAUUUGGAUGGUUUAAACAUGAAUUUGAAUUAUAAACAAGCUUAGUAACAAGCUUGGAUAGAUUACUUACCAAUUUGAAGCUUGAAAGGGGUGUUUUUUGGAUCAAACUCGAGUUUUAGAGAGAGAGAGUAGAGAGAGAAAGUUACGAGGUGGUGGUAAAAAGCUAAAUUGAAUUUCACUCAUCCUUUAUAUAAGUAUUGAGUUUGUGCCCCGGUGGAAAUCUACCCGAUACCGACGUUAAACGGGGUUUAUGGUCGUACCCGAUUUAAUUGUCCUAAUUAAAAAACAUCCAAAUAAAAAUUUGGGAUGUUUUAACGUGUUUUUAAAUGGGUUUGGACACUCAUGAGAUCAUAAUAAAGGUCUCAAUUUAAUUUACUUAACCCAAAAGUUAACGGAAAAAUUUGGAAUACAAAUAGUUUUAUUUAACGGGAACGGUUUACAAUGACGGAAUAAAUUAUGGGUUGUCGCAUAAACAUUGCAUACAAAACUAUCACUUUAAUGCAGACUUAGUUGAGAAUUCGUGAGAUGAUUACAUCUUCAAUGCUACCUUUUUGUUAAAAGGUACUACCUAAAGUCCUGUCUAUUAUAAUCAAAGUCUCCCGUUUGGAGAGUGUGUCAAAUGUGUAUAGAUCUAUAUGGGAAGUCAUGAUCCCGCACCAUGACUGUUAGCUACAGUCCUUUGGGUGACAAUUUGUCAUAAACGUUUCGACGCCUGAAGAUCGUCGCCACAAGCAUAUUAAUUUUAGUAUGGUUAUAAAACUCACCGGAUAGACAAUUUUUAGGGUAUUCUGCUUUUAUGAAUGGGUAGCUAUUAAAACUAUUCUUCAUCUAACGAGUGCGAUCUUCUUAUAGCUUUAUUAUAUAAAACUAUGCCUUAACCUUUUAUGCAUGUUAGUUGCUUGCGAUUUUCGGUCUUGGACAUUAAAGACUGCCAGUUACUUUACGAAAAUAAGGGAUUUUCCUGUAUCCAAAACAAUCAACUAAUAGGAAAAUAAGGGAUUUUCCUGGUACAACUAUUUACAAUUCACGACGCGAACGUUCAUAUGCAUUUCAUACUUUGUAUAAGAAAAUAAGGGAUUUGCUUGUAAAAUGCACGAACUUUGGAAUGGCAUACAUUUUCACAAAACCGCUUAUGAACUCACCAACUUAAUUGUUCACACUUUCUCUUUCAAAUAACUUGUGAUCUCAGGGAACCACUAAGCAUGUUUGGAAAUCAACUUUUGGGGAUUAACGCUCUGACGUUAAUUACUUCUUUUGAAAGAUGUUUAUGUAUUUAUCUUUUGAAACAUGUAACAAAUACAAUUAUGUAAACAUUUUUGAAACUUUUUAUAUAUAUGAUGGUGUGUACUUUCCUUACUAUGAACUGUUAUGAUACUGAAUAUGACAUCCUCUGCUCCCGAACGUUUCCGCCGUUCUGGUUUGGGGCUGUGACAACUAAAAUCAUAGAUCUGUUAUCUUAGUGAUAGGAUCGUUUAUGUAUAAUACAUAUGUUUUGUGUAUGAGUCCCUGAUGUAUAGGGAUCUCAUUCUAGGAUAGUCUCUACCCUAUUAUAUAAGUUACACUAGGGUUGCAUGUUAAAUUACGUCGCUUUUUGCAUUCUCUCUUUGUGAGAAUACUUAAUUAAAAUUUUCUUUCGAUUAUUCUUUUUUGAUUAUUGUAUUAGAGCGAGUAACGAGGGUUCGAUCUCUCAUGGAGAAAUUUCUGAGGGGGGGGGGGGGUUGUUGNGUGGCGAGGGUUCUAUUCUCUCAGGGAGCAAUUUCUGAGGGGGGGAUUGUUGGGGGUCAGAAAUGGCAUCCACCAAGUCCUCGCACGAUGGCCUGGAGUGCCGGAAUCGAAUGCUUUGUUCUGGAGGACUGAAUGCGCUAUAUGGGUAAGGUUGCGCCCUUUCUAACACCAAUUGCUUUUAGAUCAACCGGUAGCACUGUUGCUCAACAAUUGGUAUCAUGAACCUGAGGAGAUCUUUCCUAUGAAAAAUCCGAUGAUGAUUCAUCUUUGAAAUCUCUACGAGGAAUUCAUGAAAUUGUUUGAUGAACUAGAAAAGGUGAUAUCUUUAUAAUCUAAAGCAAAAAAUGAUUGAGAUAAUGAACUGAAGAAGAUCAUUGAUGAUGAAAUGAUAUUCCAAUCCAGGGGGAGCAUCUGAUUCCAAACGAAGUGCCACAUGCAACAUUCUAGGGGGAGAAUGAGAGCGAAUAUAAUGACUCAGAUGCUCAGUCGAAAUUCAUAUAUGUAAAUGUAGAAUUGGAUCUAUCUUAUAAUCCGAACUACCCUACAUUAGGUAAAUGGACAAAAUAUCAUCCUAAAUCACAAGUGAUUGACACAGCUUCUUCCGGUGUUCUUACUAGAGCUGAACAAUAAGCGAAUAAGAGUACAUUAUUUUCCAAAAAUGGAAUUUUGCAAUUUUAGGUCGUUCAUUUCUAAGAUUUAUCCAAAAAAAACAGUUAAGAUUGUUCUCGAUCAUUCUUAUUGGAUGCAAGCAAUGUAGGAAGAGCUCAACGAGUUUGAGCGUAAUAAAGUUUGGAGACUAAUUCCAACUCUAAAGGAUGCAUCGGUUGUAGGUUUAAAAUGGGUAUUUUGCAACAAGAUUGACAAAGAAGGCAACGUAAUUAGAAACAAAGAUUGAUUAGUUGCGAAGGGAUACUUCCAAGAGGAAGGCAUAAACUAUGAAGAAACAUUCGCACCAGUUGCAAGGCUAGAGUCGGUUCACAUUUUUCUUGUCUAUAUACCUCACAAAAAUUUCGAAGUCUAUCAAAUGUAGGUGAUGUGUGCGUUUCUUAAUGGUGAAUUAGAAGAGACGGUUUACGUGGAGCAGUCACCGGGUUUCGUAAAUAAGAAGUAUCGAAAUCACUGUUAUAUUUUCUAUAAGGAUGUGUACGGUUUGGAACAAGCACCACGUGCAUGGUAUGAAACCCUUACCCGUUUCUUAAAGCAAUCAUAUAUUCCCAUAUAUAAUUUUCUCUAUUUCUUUAUCUUUGGCACACUCUUGGAUGAAAAUCCUUGUAAUUUUUCAGAAGUCUAGUUUUUUAUUCCGAAUGAUUACAUUCUAUUCUGAGAACGGGUAUUGUUACGAAUGUGCAGAACUAAAAAAGGCGGUAUAAAAUUGAUAAGGUUUUGAAAAAGGUGCAUAAUCUUUUCAAAUCCCUGACAUUACACGUGGUCAGUUGUAAUGUCACUUGACACCUCCAAUAGUCACGUCUAUCAAGGCUACUUUAUUGGGAUACAUAAACGUCAAACAUGGUUUUCUCUCUCCACCAAUGAUGUAUGAAAGGGCUACUCAAUGAUUUAUUUUAUCACCACUUUCAAAAAUCUAUCAAUAUAAAACCCUUUUCUCUAUGCAUUGUUCAUCACCGUCUCCAACUGCUUCCGUGGCCGCUUCGUUUGAAACCACUUCUCAUGCCUGUCAAAUUGCAUCAACAUUCAUGCUCAACAUCAAACCUAAUCAGAACUGGUCCUUAGAUAUGAACUCUUCUUGAUACACUAAAGGUCUCAAACCAUUGAUCGAGUGUUUAAGCUAUUCUCCUCUUUAUCAAGCAUUAACUUUGGGGGAAUAUGUGCCCUUAGUUCAUCUCCCGAAGGCAUAUUCAUCUACAAACCACAACCCUAAUGACAGAGUUAUUACUUUUGAGAUUGACUCUUACAAAACCUCCAUCUCGAAGACCCAAUUCUUCAUCAUGCUAGGGCUUACUUCAACUGAGGUUCCUGUUGAUCCUAAGUCGAUUUCAUCAACCGCCACCAUCAAGAGGCUUUUCCAGAUGGGAUAUCUUGGUGAGAUCACUCUUCUGUCAAAGUUUAAGAAACCUAACCUUCUACCAAUGUGGAAUGGUCUCUUCUCUCUACUUUUCAAGAUUUAUUGAGAAUGAGUUACUGGGUCAAACAGUGCUAGCAAACUGUUAUGUACGAUAAUCUAUGGCCUCUACACUGGGAUUAACCUUGAUUAUGGUUCAAUCCUCUCGGCUUUACUAGUUCAUAGCACUCUCUCUCCAACGAUACACUUUCAAAUUUAAUGCACUCGUUUUUGGUCGAUUGUUGUUAAAUGUGCUCUGGUUCGUCUUCAGAUUGAAGCUCCAGAUGACUCCGUGCUUGCUGCGAUUCCGAGCUUCCAUACUUAAAAUUUCAUUGUAUUGGAUCCUAUGAAGUUCGACUUUGUUGGUUCUCUUCUGGAGGCUAUGCUAAAAUCCUUUCCUACAAAAGAUGUUGUUAAUAAUGAGUAUUAGAAGAAGCCUAAUUCAAGAUUUUUCUCUAUGCCUGAUGAUCUACGAAAGGCAAUUAAUGAGGCUAGAAAACCAAAGAAGGGAGUAAAUCUUAAAGGCAAGACAGGACCCUCCGAACCUACUGCUACUCCAAAGAAGAAGGUUAGGAAAUCUGCUCAGAAGCCUAGGUCUUCGACUCCAGUUCAAUAAGCUUCCGAGUCUCGCACCCAUUCAGAUUUACAAGAGCGAGACCUAGUUCGAAACGAAGCGGUAGAUAUUGCAACAACUUCGAAAUCCAUGGUCUCGGAGCCCAUUCCGACUCAGUUUACUUCGAAGGUAUCAUCUCCAAUUCCCACUUCAAUUCCUUUAACAAAAUAUUACUUCAUGUUCCUUCUCCUACUGCUACUUCUACACCUAUCACCAUAGCUCCUUGUCCCAAUGUAUCUAUUGGUAUUUUGUAACCACAAAUCUAUGUUGCUCAAUCUACUCCAAUGUUCAACAAAAACAAGUACCAUAAGUUCACCUCAAGUGACUAUCAACAUAUCUGAUACGGGAGCAUGUGCUUUUGGUGUUACUAUUGCUUUCAGUUCUUCUCCUGUCUCGCCCUUAAGGGUUGAUGAUCCUGAUACAAUCUUUGGUCAUGAUGGUGAUGACGUUCAAGAUUUCCACUACAGCCCAUUCACUUUUUAUCAGGAGAAUGAUGAGGAUGAUGCACCCAUGAAGAAAGGGCGGUUCAAGGCCCUCAAUCAAAAAUUGGAUAGUUUGCUCGAGUCGUCCAAAUCUCCAUCUAACACUAAGUAUUCCUUUGACGCUCACAAAGCAUCAAUUGAGACUCGUACCAAGGAACAUGCCAAAAGCCUUGAUGCAUAUACCAAAGUUGUUGCAAACUUUGAUAUGAUAGUUCGUGAAACGACCAAAAAAGUCGAAAAACUAUUUGCUGAUGUUACUCAAUUUAUGGAGGGUUUUCAGAGUUCCUAUGAUAAUAACACAACAGCUGUGAACAAGGUGAUUACAAGUCUUGGCUCCACUCUUCAAAUAGAUAACAAGCCUUGUCCAAAAUUCGUUUAGACUUGAAAGUGGAUAAUCAUGAGAUGAGUGCCUCCAUCAUUUCAAUGAUUGAGAAGCUACAUGCAGAUCUUGCUAUGGAGAGUAAGAUCAUGGAUAAACUCAUUGUGAAGACUGAAAAGGUGAAGGUUCUUUCAGUACAACUUGCAGAUGCCAACCAGCAGCUUGAUGCUUUAUAGUCUGAAAAGGUUGUUCUCAAAAGCAAUGGUGCAAAUGUCAACCUUUUCUUGCAAAAUCUCGUAGAGACUCAUGACUCGUUGCUCAUAGUCUUGGUUCACCAACAUGUUGUUGACAAACUCCAACCAGUAUUCUCCAUGCUUAAUCGUAUCGAGGGUGUUUCAGAAUUUGCUUCUCUUCCAAAACAAGGGGGAGUAGCUACGAAGGCAUUUGAUGAAGAACCCAAGUAAAUAGCUGGUGAUGAUUCAUAUGAAUUCUAACAAGGGUCAGUAGAGCCAAAAAUAAUAUCAUCAACAUAAAUUUGAACAAGCAUUAGAUAAUUCCCAACUUUCAUUCGAAAAUAAAGUGGGGCCAACUGAUCCUUGUUUAAAUUUUGAUUGUUUUAAGAAAUUGGUAAGAGUUGCAUACCAGUCUCUUGGUGUUUGUUUUACCCCUUAAACAACUUUCUCUAAGAUACAACAAUGAUCAGGAUAUUCUUUAUUAACAAAACCUGGAGGUUGUUCUACGUAAAUUGUUUCUUGAAGUUCUCCAUUGAGAAAAGCACAUUUGACAUCCAUUUGAUAUAUACAUCAAAAUCCUUGUGAGAUGCAUAGGCUAAAAAUAUUCGAACAGCCUCGAGUGUUGCGACUGGGGCAAUGGUUUCUUCAUAAUCGAUACCUUCUUGUUGUAAAUAGCAUUUAACUACAAGCGUAACUUUAUUUCGAACAAUUUUUCCAUCUUUGUCGGUUUUUUUUUAAAAAUCCAUCUUAAACCAAGAAUUGAAACAUCUUCAAGCUUAGGAAUUAAUAUCCAAAGCUUGUUUCUUUCGAACUCAACAAGUUCAGAUUGAAUAGCAACAACCCAAUUUGAGUGUUCCAUUGCAACCUUAACUAUCUUAGGCUCUAUUUUCGAAAUAAAAACAUUAAACAUGCAAAAACUCUUGAUGUGAAUUAAGUAACCUCAUUCUUUGCACGAAUUUCAGCUCUUGUCAAUACUCCAUCUUAUAAAUUUCCAAUGACUUGUUCUUUUGGAUGAUUUCUCGUCCAUUUUUCCAGUGGUGGAUAUAACAAUGAUUAGGAUAUUCUAUAUUUACAAACCUGGUGUUUGUUCAACGUAAAUUGUUUCUUCAAGUUCGCCAUUGAGAAAAGCAAAUUUGACAUCCAUUUGAUAUAUACAUCAAAAUCCUUCUGAGCUGCAUAGGCUAAAAGUAUUCGAACAGCCUCGAGUCUUAAACCAACAAUUGAAACAUCUUUAGGUUUAGGAAUUAAUAUCCAAACCAUGUUUCUUUCGAAUUUAGCAAGUUCAGAUUGCAUAGCAACAACCCAAUCUGAGUGUUCCAUUGCAACCUUAACUGUCUUAGGCUCUAUUUUCAAAAUAAAAACAUUAAACUUGCAAAACUCUUGAUGAGCAUUAAGUAAUCUCAUUCUUUGCACGAAUUUGAGCUCUUGUCAAUACUCCAUCUUGUAGAUUUCCAAUGACUUGUUCAUUUGGAUGAUUUCUUGUCCAUUUUUCCAGUGGUGGAUAUGCUGGAUCAAAAUCCAAUGGUGCAUCUUCAUACAUUUCAUCAUUUUCUGAACCUGCAACAUAAACAUUAUUAGUUGAAUCAAGAAAAGUUUCAUUUUUAUUCACAUUCGACAUAUUUGUAUCAAUAUGCUCCCCCUCGACAUCUCUAUUCAUUCUCCUAUUCUCCCCCUCGAAAGAAUGCUCCCCCUCAACUUGAGAAGAUGAAUGCAAGUGAUCCCCCUCCAUUUGAUCAUUUAGCAUACUAUCAUCAAUUCUAGAAGAAUUCGAUGCUGAGUUUAAAUCUGAAUUUUCUUGUGUUGAUGUCGAAUUUUUAGAAUGGUUUGAUGCUUCAGGUAUUUGUUUGUCCCCGACAUUAACUUCAGCAUCAACAGCCCUAUCAGGAACACAAAAUAUUAACUCGUAAUCAAAAUCUGUCGAAUUAACAUUUGCAUAUUAAUCAUUUGAUUCAUUAAUAAUUGGAUGUUGUUCAAAGCAUUUCUCAACUAUUUUAACGUAAUAAUCAUCAAACGUGAGAUUAAAUGUUUCUUCCACUUUUUUCGUUCAUUUAUUCAAUACACUAUAUGCAACCAAUUUAUGUGAAUAUCCCAAGAAUAUUCCUUCAUCAGACUUAGAUUGAAAUUUCGAAAGAUUAUCCUUGAGAUUGAUAAUAAAACACCUGCAACCAAAAACAUGAAAGAAUUUGGCAUUAGCUUUUCGGUUAUUGAUAAUUUCAUAUUGAGUAAUAUUGAAAUGACGAUGAAUUAACGAUCGAUUUUGAGUAAAACAUGUUGUAGAAACUACUUCGGCCCAAAGAUAUUGAGGAAUAUUCGCAUAUGUCAGCAUCGUUCUUGCCACUUCACAAAGAGAACGAUUUCUUCUUUCAACUACACCUUUUUGUUGUGGUGUAUAUGGUGAAGAAAAUUUUUGCGAAAUUCAUUUAUCUGUUAAGAACGAAUCCAGAAUAUUGUUCUUAAAUUCAUAUCCAUUAUUACUCUUGAUUUUUCGGACGUUCUUUCUUAAUCUUGUUUCUAUUUGCUUGAUGAAGUCAAUCAUUGUUUGAGCUACUUCAGAUUUUAACCUGACAAAAUAAACCCAAGUUAAUCGUGUAAAAUCAUCAACAAUGACUAAAAUGUACCAUUUCUUGUUGAGUGUUUCAACAGUUGAUGGUCCACAUAAGUCAAUAUGAAGAAGUUCCAACGGUUCAAGAAUGUUCAAAGUUUCAUGUGAUGCGAGCAACCACUAUCAAUAUACCAUUUUUCGUCAUAUUGCUCGACACAUAAAACCUGCAAUUAAUGGAAAAAUUUAGGUACCCAAGAUUGUUUGGUUCCUUGGUUAUUAGUUUGAAAAAACAGAGUGUAAAAUUGAACUUAAGACCCAAUUUCGAACUUUUGAUUUGAAAGUAUCAAUUAAGUCCACAUCAUGAGUUAAAGACAUAGAAACAUAAACUUUUGAAGAUUUAGGAUUGUCACUGACAUUCUCCUUUUUCUUCUCAGAUAGAUUCUCAAAAUUCUUCACUUUCGGAAUUGGUCGCCAAGUUUGAACAAACGGAUUAUAUUCUUUUGAUGAAGAACUUCCACUUGAAGAUUCAUUCAAAUAUUUUUCAUAGGCAUCUUUGAUUUGUUGUUCAGAAAAUUUUCUAGAUUGGUAGAUUUUUCCUUUGCCUUCAAGCCAAUGAUCUAAGUUGUUCAUAUCUGAAUGACCAUUUAUGUAUGAAACUUUCGAAGGUGGUUUUAUAGAUGGAUUUGGAAUGUUUGGUUUUGUGGAGUGAAUUUUUUUACAUUUGGUUUUGUUUGAACAUUUUCAAACUUUCGAUUUGCAACAUUUGAGUGAAAACCUGUUUUCUAAGAAAAUUGAUUUUGAAAACUCGAUGAUUGUUGUGUAAAAGAAUUUUGUUUUGAAAAAUGAUUUUAUGAAAACCUUUGUUGAUUGUGGGUUCUAAAAGUCCUUGAUGAUUGAGAUGUAGGAAACUUCUUUGUGUGAUCAUGUUGAUUAAGAUUCUGAGACAAAGAUUUGGUUGUUUGUGAUUUGAAUUUCAUAGAAUUUUCUGGUGGUAAUGAUUGAGACAAAGACUUUUGUGUUUGAGCAGGAUUUUUCUUAAUAUCUGAAUUUGUUGAAAACAUUGUCUUACCAGAUGUAGACAUUAUCUUUUCAGCCUUUUUCUUUGUCAUAUCAUUUGGUUUCUUACGAUUAUCCACAACUUGCCAAAAAAAAUUAUUUCUUGCUUUUCUUUUCUAAAUACCAUUUUCUUUCAAAAAAAAUUCAAUUAGUUCCUUAAAAUCUUGCGAAUUGAUUUUAAGAAUUUUAUUUGUCUCAACAACAUUCUGUUUUGAAACUUCUUUUGUAAUUUGUUGUUUUUCAACCUAUUUUCGUUGUGGUUUUUGCAUUUGAAAAAUGUACGAAAUCUUUGUGAUAUUAUUUUCGACAAUUCUUUAAUUUGAAAAGAAUCCUUCAUCUGAUGUUUUCUUGUUAUCUUCUUCAACCAUCUUGUUAAAUUCCAAUUUAAUGUUCUUAAUAUUCCCAAAAGCGACAAACACUUGAUUAGGAAAGAUGAUAUCAUCUGUGCACUUGAAAUUUGGAUACACAACCGUAUUUGUUUCUAGAUAAUGAGCACUUUUUCAGUCAUCACUUUGUCGAAAUUUUCAGUAUCUAUAUACACUUGAUCAACAACAAUUCGAGGAAUGAUUGUUUCUUUCGAAACAUUCUUUUCUGACUUUGAAUUUUUUGAAACCUCAUCCUCAUCCUCAUCAUCACUACUAUCAGUUUGACUAUCUCUGACACUCACAUGGUCAACAUCAUAAACUUUCGAAGUAGAGGGUUUGUCAAUGUCAAUCUUAACCAUUGAAUCAUUACAUAUUUCUUUGCCUUUAGACUUAGAUGUGACAUUAAUGACAGACAUCUGAGAACAGUCAACACUUUCCUCUUCCUCAAUUUCACUGAUUUCGCUAAAACUAUCAGAAUUAUCUUCGAUAUUAGUGAAAUUAGAAUGACAGUUAGAUUUCAAAUUCUCAUUUCUUUUAAAAAAAUUUAGUUGUUCACUUUUGGUCAAUGUGUCAUUCACAAUCUCAACAAGUUCAUCAGCAUCAAGAUAUUCAUCUAUUUUAACAAUACCAUAAACAAAUCGAUUAUCAAGAACUCUGUCAAAUUCUGCUAUGGUUUUUUCACAGUCAUAAGAUAUGCUAUCAAACUUUUCUUUUUUAAAAGCUAGAAAAGGUAAUAACUUCCUAUGUUCUUUGCUUAUAUCAGAUGAAUGAUGCAAUUCAGUUAAUUUUGCAUAUAGACGUUUAGCAGAAUUACAAUAGAUGUUCCUUUGUGCUAAUAACAUCCUUACAACAUUGUCCAAAUUUUACCUAUCACAACUAAUAUUUUUCAAUUGAAGUUCUAGAUACUCAACCCUUCUUAUUUUCGAAUCCAACAACUUUUGAGUCUCUAGCAAUUGUAUAUUAUAUUUCUUAGCCUCAUUACUAGUAGACACAAUAAGAGUAUCGAAAUAAGCAAUAGUAUCAUCUAAAGUAGUUAUCUCAGAAUCAUAUGCUUGUAAAGGAAUAUUAAAAUAUUGAAGAAUAGAAUGUACCUUGGUAGUCAUUGGUGAUUUAUCUCCACUCUUGGUGAUGAAACUCAUGGGUUUUGAGCAUUCUAACACUCCUAUGGUGUACAUGCAACCGUAGAAACCUUGGAUCUAUGUUUGACUAAGAUACAUGGAAAUAAUUAUUUUUCCAAGGUUCUUAUCCUAUCUAGCAUGGCAUGGGGAACUUGAAUCGAAUAAAGAUAGUAGAAUUACUUACCUUGUAGUUGUAGUUGAUAGCUUGGAGUUUUAGAGCCUAGCACCAAUAGUGUGGAUGCCUCAAAUGGAAAUCACAAAUCACCACAAACUUUGGAACCUUGAGAGAAUAAUCACAACUAUCUUGAAAUCGACCCUCUUACUUUACUCACCACAACUAGUGUGAUUUCAAGAACCAAAGCCUCUUUAUAUAGUGUGGUGGAUUAGGGUUACAUCCAUGUAAACCCUAAUACCCAUGCCUCUUCAUUUCCAUGAGAUCCAUGGGUUAAAGCUCCAUGGAGUAUCCAUGGACUUUCCAUGCAAGCCUAGCCCAUCGAGUUACCAAUGUGUUUUCGUAUAAUCAAUGCAUAACCAAAUCAUAGGCAACAAAUCAUAUCUCUAGGCUUGAAGACUUAUAUGAUAUUACCGUCUCACGAUCACUCGAGAUAAAUUCCAUGAAGUGAUACAAGUGAGUGUGGGUUGAAUCCAAUACUCAAAACUUAUGAGCACUCAUGAGUGUUGUAGUCCCGGUUUGUCUAACAUCUUAGACCUCUACAAGCCAACCCAUGAUAGUCUUGAUUCAUAUCUACUUCCAACAUAUGAUCGACUAUGGAGAGUUUGAAUAAGAAGAUAUAAACCAUAACAUAUUUAUUCUGGAAGUCAAAACAUGCAAAAAGAAAUAAUAGUAAACGAUUAACAAGUGAUAGCAACACUUUACACAUAAAUAACAACUUUUAUUUAUCAUCAAAUGUCAAUUACAUUUGCAUGGUUACUUCACACCUCGUUUUGUGAUCCUCGGCAUCCCAGUCACAAAACUUGGAGGGCACACUCGAGAUUGAAACAUGCCUUUGAAAAGUUCAAUGAAUCUCAAAGAUCUAGGAGUUUCAAAACCAAUUAAAACCUAAUAAUACAUUUCGUUUAUCUUGGUGGAAAUUGGUGAAUCGUCAUUCACCUACCUUCAAAUAUUUUAUAGCUUGGAUUACGGCAUACCUCUUCUAAGUUAUAAAAUAGUUUGUUGGGUCCUAGCCUUAAUUUUUCAUAUUUGUUACGUCAUUCACCUACCUUCAAAUAACAACUUUUCAAGAACUUGUGGGUUAGGGAGAAUAAUUGGAGGAGGUGAAAGAAGUAUGAUAUCCAUGGGACAUCAUCUUCAUUUAGGAAACCUUGUUUCAAGAGAUUUGGGAAGAUCAUAGGUGUCUACUACAGACAUCUUUUGGGAGAUAUUCAAGAUAGUUGAUUUAAAGUCCUUAAUAUGACACCCAAUAUAAAUAAUUAAGGCUAGGACCCAACAAACUAUUUUAUAACUUAGAAGAGGGAUGCCGUAAUCCAAGCUAUAAAAUAUUUGAAGGUAGGUGAAUGACGAUUCACCAAUUUCCACCAAGAUAAAUGAAAUGUAUUAUUAGGUUUUAAUUGGUUUUGAAACUCCUAGAUCUUUGAGAUUCAUUGAACUUUUCAAAGGCAUGUUUCAAUCUCGAGUGUGCCCUUCAGGUUUUGUGACUGGGAUGCCGAGGAUCACAAAACAAGGUGUGAAGUAACCAUGCAAAUCACUUGGUACCCUUAAUAAAUUACCCCUCAAUCGAUGUGCCGGUUAACCACACACGCUCCAUCGAUACUAUGAUAAAUAUUAAGUCACCCUUUACCUACCUUGUUAAGUCCAAGUUAGUGUGCCGGUUAACCACACACGCUCCAC